RNAcentral lists this long non-coding RNA (159809 nucleotides) under Lactuca sativa (garden lettuce). Lineage: Eukaryota; Viridiplantae; Streptophyta; Magnoliopsida; Asterales; Asteraceae. The record is from RNAcentral.
UAAAACACUCCAUCCUCCUCCUUAAUCACCAUCACCAACAACCUUCUCUCCUCCCUCAAAAGUACCACCAUCUUUUCCGACAUGGCUACUUCUUCAAUCUUCAUGGCAACUCCCAUCACACUCCUCAAGAAAACUCCCACCUUCUCCGUCAAAUGUAUGUCACAAACACCUCAAAGCGGUGAACCGGAGGUUUCAAAACCAGCAACCACCCCAACACUACCACAGAUCAACAUUCCUCCUCCUCCGCCACCUGCUCCAAAGGUCAGCACGAAGUUCUCUGACGUGUUGGCGUUUAGUGGACCUGCACCGGAGAGGAUCAACGGAAGGUUAGCCAUGAUAGGGUUUGUGUCGGCGAUGGCUGUGGAACUGAGCAGCGGUCAAGACGUGUUCACCCAGAUCGGCAACGGCGGUGUUGCGGUGUUUGUCGGGACAAGUGUGGUGUUGACGUUGGCGUCGUUGGUGCCGUUGUUUAAAGGAGUGAGCGUGCAGUCGAAGUCGAGUGGACUGAUGACAUCAGAUGCAGAGCUUUGGAAUGGGCGGGUUGCGAUGUUGGGUCUGGUGGCUUUGGCUUUUACUGAAUAUGUUAAAGGCAGUGCCCUUGUCUAGAUAAUGUAGCAUAAACUUUUCUAUUACAGAAUUACAUCUAAGAUAGGCAAAUGUAUAUUCUUUUGAAUAUUUAUGUGUAUCGAUUUACCAUACAUAGUUCAAAUCAUGAAAAUCAUGUUUUUUUGAUAAUAUAGUAUAAAACAAAUAUGAUCAAUCAAAUCGAACGAUUGUGGUAUCUUUCAAUAUAAAAUUCUUUUUACAAAAAUAAACAAACAACAUACUAAGAUAAUUUUUUGAGGAAUGAACCUAGAUUAGCAAUAUAAGAGUCAAAGUCUACAAAGAUAUUGACAUCCUAGUUUCACAACUUCCUCUUUGAAUGUUGAAGGUGAUCAUUAAUUCAGACUGAAUAUGUGGCUAAGUCCAGCCUAGUCAAUUAGCCAAUUUAAGUUGACAAGUAUCCAAAAUUCAAAUAAACUACAUGGCUCAAUUUCAAAGAAAACUGAAAAAUGACUAAUGCUCACAAAAUGAUCACCGAAUCAAUUUAGGCUAUGAGGAGUGGUCACAUUCAAACCACCGGAAAAACGCUGCAAAGUCAGUGAUAUGUCAACUCCAUCACCUUCUAAACAUUGGAAACAAUUACCACUCCGUGUCAUUUAUAUUUUCAUUUUUUUUACAUUAGAUUAAAUAAAAAACAUAAUUACUAACUUAAGUAAUCAUUUUACUAAUUAAAAAAUCAACUAAACAUAUAUUAAUUUUCAAAAUUAAAUAAACAUAUAUAGUAUAUAUAGUUGAGGGUUUAACUUAAUUCAAAGAAAAGUAAGAGGGUAUAAUAAGAUUAAAAGACAUAAUUUUAGAGACCAAAUUUGUAACUUUAGUUAAAGCAAAUAUGAAUGGUCUUCUUCACAGGUCAUUGCUCAAUACCAUUUUUUUUCUUUUACUUCGAUGGAUACAAAGGAAAAGGGAAAAAAAGGGUCAAAUAAAUGACCGUUAUUGUUCUUGCUUUCUUAUCCGUCGUCUUCAUCCGUCUUUGCACCCACAUUACACCCAAACCACCGGCCUUAGGGGUGGUGGUGUUCACGUGUCCUUAGGCCGGACACAUCAGCAAGAUGUGUGAGUUAGUCCUCCCACUCCGAUUAGCCUUAAGCACUUAUUAAAAGCUAGUCUAUUUCUUGUUAGGUUGAAAUCUAAUGUUAUCAUCAAAUCUAUACAAGAUUGAGAUUGAUAUUAUAGUAACAAUCUCCCAAAGAAAAAUAAUAUAUUUAAAAGAAUAUAUAUAUANNNNNNNNUAUAUAUAUAUAUGAAUUAUGCCCCAAGAAGUACUAUGCAUGAGUAUAAGAUUACUAUUAUCUUUGGAUCCAUUAAUUGAUAACUAAGCAUACUUCAAAGUUACUAUAUGGUCGUAUGAGACCCGCGAAUAGGAAAUUGGCUGCACCCUUGGCCCGAUUCGAAGGCUAAAACCCAAAAGAACCAUGCACAUGAUUCGAACCAAGUGCUCUAAUGCUAUUUUGCCCAACUUACAUGAACUACCUCCAUACACAUACUUAAGAAACCCAUAAUCUCAUCCAGAUAGAGCAGGAAUGCCAGAGAUAAUCGGAAUAAUACCUCAAUCAAUUACAAAAAACAUCCGCAUUAUCGGUUGAAACAAGAUCCCAUACUUGAUUGAGACUGAACGGAUUCCAUCGCUACACAACUAGCUCGAGAAGACUUCCACGGAUCUCGAAAGUUGCCUAAACCUGAGUCUGCUAUGAAAUAGGUUCCCACUCCACCAUUGAGGGUAAACACACUUGAAGCCCCAAUGGACAUAGAUCAUACUAAGCUUGAUAACAGAUCAGCCUGACCACUACAUCUCGACUGACACAAUUAAACUUCCAAGUGAACUUUUAUUGAUUGAUGAACCCCACAACCAGUGGUCGAGGACACUUUAACACUUAGUCCAGAGAAUCAAGACCACAUAGAACUGAACAUACCCACUCAUGGAAAGAUCCAUCGACCAACGUCUGCCCAACUAAUAUGAAAAUAGUAAUCCAACAACAAACUGGGAAAUCCCUCAACAGCUAAAAAUACUCAACCUGAGAAUCCCGAUUCUCCUCCACUUAGGGCUUAAACUACCAUUCACUAGCGCUAAAACCAAAUCAUAAAUCAAACCAUAUUGAGGAUAUACUCCCUUCCUAACCCUGGAAGUUACGAGCCUCUUCACUCCUUCCCCGAACUCGGAAAAAAUGAAAGGGCAUAACCCUAGCCAUUGAUAAUGACGUUCCAAACCAACAAUCAACCACUUCCAACUGUAAAACCCAAGUCAAUCUUAAUCAUCGUCCCCUUCACGAGUCCCGCGACUCGAAUACCCGACCUCAAGCAAAACCCCCGAGGCCUCAAACAAAAAAGCUCCCUAGGUCUGCACCAAACAAACAAAAUCACUAACGCCACUGGGGCUCAAAACACUUACCAUAUCCAUCCGCAUGUCGGAGCAUCCACAAGCAAAAUAUUAACAGGAACAUAAACACUGCCGCGAAUCAUGGUAUCCAACCAUGCUAUCUUCACCGACCAACCCUUAGAAUCCCCAAAACCUUCCUUGAUUAGAUUAUGGAUCCUGUGCUUCAAGUAGUACUGGCCCAAUACUACCUUCCAUACCUAUCCAUACUUUCCUCAAGAAUCAUCCCAAGUCUUUUAAGUCCUAGUCAUAAAAUACUCCUGAAACUUGCUUAACAAUGAAGCAACCACGCUAAAAUACUCACCUACACUCCCUCUGCCAUCAACUGCUGAUAAACCCCUACCAAUGCCAGCUAACCACUUCAUGAAUACAAUUACACACAACCAAGCUUAAAUAAUCCUUCGAAUAAAGGGCUUAGCCCUACAACGAUUGGACUCAAACGAGAGCUGCACAAUAGGUUUGAGUCCUUCAUUCUAAGAUUAUUUAACCUUCAUAGCAUGUAAUUUUAUUAUAUUCACUUGAUGGUUAACUCCCAUCAACAUGGGUCCCACAAAGCACAAAGCAAGCAACAUUCGGGUAGAGAAGCCGACUGCGACUAAAACGCAACAAAAUCAGACAUAUCCUCAUAGAAAAUCCUCGAUCUCAAACUCCUCGCACCACGAGUGCGCCUUCACCCUGCUCUCACUCUCCCCAGAGUGGUUAAUCAUUCCUCGUGCUUACCCGCUAUACACUGCACCCACUCAUGAAACUUCCACCAACCCUACAACACUCGUGUAUGCUAGCCGUACAUAACACUGGAUCCUAUAGACAGUCGAAUAUCUGAUCCUACUCUAAGCCCUUCAUCAAACAAGAACAUGAAAUAAGGCCAAACCAAACAUUCUCAGGCUAUAGAAUCUUAGUUAUGUACAACUAUGAUGUAUACACUAAGUAACUGUAGUAGAUGAUGUCAAUUUCAUUUAAGGAAGAACCCUAGGCUAUCAGACAUCAUAUAAUCAUGCAACUUUGUCAUGCAAUUCCUGAAGAUCCCUAGCCUAUCACUACCAUGCUAUUCUAAUAUUUCACAAGAUCAAAUAAAGUGUGGUAAUUUGGGGUCUACUUACUAGCUCCGACUGAUCAUACACAUCGUAUCCUCUUUAGUUUGAAAGUUAUUUUUAAAACCUUUACUUUGAAAAUUACUUUUUUUAAAACACCUUUUCCUUAGUUUGAGACCGGAUUCACACGAGUUUUCCUCCCAUUCACUCAAACCAAGGCUCUGAUACCAACUAGUAACGUCACAAAAAUUUCAACAAAUCUAAACCUUUCAAAACAACCCAUAUGUUAACAAAAGUGAUUUGAUCCGCAGGCACUCUGCACGCCUUGAACUCCCGUAAUGAGGGAGUUCGAGCCCCAAUCUGACCCACAGUGAUCUCAGAUCGGAAAGAACAAUCCGCUCCUCCAUAUCCUCCAUGAUCCCCUCCUUGACGGUACUGAACCCGAUCUCGAACCUGAACCUCCUCGCGUAGCCAUCAUAAUCUUCAACUGAAAAUACAACAUAGAAAGAAAUUGAUAAGGAAGUUCAAAGGGAUUUCUCCCCACUGGACUCCUUAAAGCCUUCAGGUAUGUCCUUGUCUCGGGUACAAGUCUUGUGCUUUUAGUAGUACGGACCAAAUACUACCUUCCACACCUACCUGUACAUUCCCCCAAGGCCAUACCUGAUACCUCCAAUUCACCAAACCAUAGAUAAAACAUGACCUACGAAACACAGCACAUACACAUAUCUUAGAAUCUUCGGGGAUUUCUCAAUCCUCAUAGAACCAGAAACCUCAAUCAACACCGCAUGUUGCCUUAUGCAUGCAAGUUAUACAUUAAUAGAAUCAUAGAGACUGUCAAAUAAAGUUUCUACCCUAAGACCACAACCAAACAAGGAACAAGAAGUAAGGCAGAAUCCAUCGUUCUAGGGCUAUAAAAUCCUAAACAUAUACAACUUUGAAAGCAUACACUUAGCAAAUAACAACGUCAACAUCGAUUCCAAGCAUUAUAUUCAUAGCAUUGAACUCUCCUAGGCUACAAGGCAUCUCACAAAUCAGACAAUUCUCAUAACACCUAAAGGUAUCCUUAGCCCUAUUCUAGCAUGCAUUUCACACAUUAACAUACUAGUUGCAAUUCAUAAGCAUGGUUAAAUUUUUGGAAACACUUACUUGAGCUUGGCUGAUUUCGCGCAUUGCGCUCUCCCUUUUUACUUAAGAAAACCGGUUUAAGAAAAACUUGACUUUUGUUUCUUUUUUUAAAAAGGUUUACCAUUUCCUCAGUUUGAGUUGUGACACAUAGUGUGCCCGAAUUCCUCAAACCAAGGCUAUGAUACCAACUUGUAAAAGCCCAAAAAUCCAGAUAAAAAUUUUCAUUUAAAAAAAAAUAGAAAUUACAAUCAUAAUUUGUUUCUUAAAAUCCAUUACAUCAUUUCAUAUCAAAAUAUCAGAGUAUCAAUAUCAAUAAAUGAGGAAAUUCUUGGGAGUGAAUGUUGCGCCAUCUAGCUAGGCCCUUCCCCUUAGUACCGAAAGUACCUGAAAACACCUAAAUAAACUGUAAGCAAAAACUUAGCGAGUUCCCAAAAUACAACAUAACAUAUAACCACAGAAUACCACGCCACAUACAUAAGAUUGCCAUGGACAACCCCAUGGUCUUUACUUGGAAUGCCAUGGGCUACCCCAUGGUAUUUACCUAGAAUGCCAUGGGAUACCCCCAAGGUCGGAUAUCCAAGUGCCAUGUGCUACCCCAUUGGUCUUUACCUGGAAUGCCAUGGGCUACCCCCAUGCUCUAAUAUCCAAGUGUCGUGCGCUACCCCCAUGGUCUUCAUAUAAGUGCCACAGGCUACCCCCGUGGUCUUCACAUAAUGAAUUGCAUAAAAACUAUCAAUCCACAUGUCAGGCAAUGGGCCGCCAUUGGUGCCUUCGACCCAUUGAUAUAGUGAGAAGACUCACCUCAGACUGCUGAUAAAAAUACUGCUCGGCUAACGCUCUAGAUAUCUGACACUGAAUAUACACAAGUUAACCUAAUUAGAAUUAAGUCACAAACUCAAGGCCUAGGCCAAAACCCUAAGUACAAACUCCUCCAAUAAGGCCCAAAGUCUUUUUCCUUUAAUGGGCCUAACAUCCAAGAUCCAAAAAGGGGCAUAAGGCCCAAAAGGCCUAGCCAUGCCACUUAUGGUCCAACAACAAGUUCAAAGGCCCAAAUACUAUAAUAGAUCCAGGCCCAAGUCUAAGUAGAGCCCAAAUAGCUUAAAGGCCCAACAAAAGCCCAAAACUCAUUGGAAGCGUACGCCCAACGUACAUCAUCAGUACGCUUAGCAUACUGGGUUCUUUGGCGGUUAGCGUAGUGUACAAGCUAGUAUGCCCAACGUACAAGCUACUUUGCACAAAAAGCCAUUAAGUGCUUAAUUCAUGAAGCCAUUUCGUCCGAUUCCAGAUCUUGGUCAUCUUAAAGGUCCUAGGGCAUAAAGAUGGUAACUUUAUGUGUUUACAUGCCAUAUGGGAACCCAACACCUGAUUUUAUCCAUUAAGACUCCCUUUAAGAUCUUAAACUCAUGCAUGGUGCCAUAACAACCAUCAAGUUAGCAUUUUUAUGCUUUUAACAUGCCAAAGGAACUAGGAUCUAACAUUUAUAAUCUCUGGAGUUGUUCAAACUUACAAAAGAGGAUCCAUGGACCAAAAAUGGACUUAUUACCAAACCCUAACUCAAACUAGCGAAAGGAUAAGCAAGUUCUGGACUUUUUACCUCCAAAAGUUUUCCAAGAUGAAGUAGAUGCAGGAUCUAGAAGCUCAAACACGUCUAAGAGUUGAUCACAACCUUCUCCUUCUUACACACACAUUAAAAUAGCCACCAAAAUCACUUUUAAGCUCAAGAAUCACACUCACUUGCAAACUAGGGUUUAGGGACGAUAAGAGGCAAUAAAAGCUAUGUAGGGUUAGGUCCAAAUGUCAUAAGAGUGUUAAAAUAGGGUUCAUGCGCAAAAAUUAGGGUUUUUGUCAUAUGCCACGUACUCCUCGCAUACAUGGUGCAUGUACGCAUCUAAACCACCCUAGUACGCUAAGCGUACACGUAUGUACGCCCUGUUGGAUUAGUGUUUAAGUCCAUAACUAUAUUUGGUAUGUAUUUGACCAGGUUGUGCAUGGUCCUUUUAGGUUGCCUUCACCGAAGCAACUUGACUAGAGGAAUUAUAUAGAAAGAGGUGAUUAUGGUUUAUUAAUAUAUUAUAAGAUUUAUAUAUUAAAAGAGAAAUCAUGUUUGAUUAAUUAACAUUGGUCAAGAGUUAAUUAAACAUUAGUUUUGUGAUCAAAAGAAGUUAAUUGAACUUAAGGGGCUGAACUGUAAUUAUGUGAUAGUUACAAAGUUAGGCAAGGAAACCCUAAUGGAUAGGGUGGAUGAAUUCUAGGGAUAUAGCCUUAAGAAUUCGCCCAUGAUAGGGAUUCUAGAAUUAUCUUAUGGGCUGCUUGGUGGCUAAGUAACCAUAUAAGAAUAAUGAAUGAAACCCUAAUUCCUAAACCUAUAUAAAGGACCCUUGGUCAUGGGAAUUUCGGCAACUUGAACCCUAGAAGUCCUAGAGCCGAAAUUCUCCUCUUCCCUCUCUUGCUUCCUCUAAUUGCUAUUGGUGUUUGUUAUUAAUUAGAGGCACAACACUUGAGGUGCUAAAGUUGUCAAGGCUUCAAGAUCUUCAAUCAACAACGAGGUAAGCAUCUUGAUAUACUUUGCUAAGUUAAUUUCAAUUAUAUACACUAGAUCUAGGGUUUGAAAGUCUUGGAUGAAUGCACGUACAAUUAGAGAAACCUAGAUCCAAGCAUUAGGGUUUGCAUGAGCACAUAGGAUGUUCUUUUGGCUCAAACCUAUCAGUGGUAUCAGAGCUUUUGUUUGGUUUCUAUUGUAUUGAUGCCUUGCUUGUUCAUCCUCUCUUGAAAAUCGUGAUUUUGUGUUCUCUGCCUGACGAACUCGAUGAGUCCCAAUGUGGGCUCGACGAGUAGGAUGAACUCGACGAGUCCAUAAGGGCACUCAACGAGUCGGAGCGUCAGACAUAGAUUUUCGGGAUUUCUUGUUGUUUUGCUUAAUGAUAAUUACCUAAAUCGUUUUUGACUAAUAAAAUCUGAAUUUUAUUACUGCUUUAUGUUUAUCCUUUCCAAAACAAAAGAUAAUUUCCAUUUAUUUGAAUAAUAAAUUCCUUAUAUGAUAAUAAUUGAUUAUUUAAAUUAUUUGUUGAAUUAUCUUAUGAAUAAAAUUGAUUAGGUCAAAUUUAGAUAAUCAUUAAAUUAAUUGUUUAAUUUAAAUUAUUUGCUAUUUGAUCCUUUAUGUUUUGAAAAGUUCAAAACUUGUCCUCAAGUUUUGAAAUUUAAAUUUGUGAUUAAAAGUUUAAUUUAAACUAUUUAAAUUUCAAACCCUAGAAUUUUACAAGUUUAAAAUUCAACCUUAUACUUUACAAUANUUAAACGCUAGUCUUACUGUUAGUAGGCCUCAUUCACGAAGCCGAUCUAGAAGGAGGUAUAAGGUUAUGACCUAUAAAAUGGCCAUUUAAUGGGUGUCCACUCUCACCCACCACAUCCUUGAUUGGUGGAGGGUCGUUAGCCGAACGGGUAAGAUAGGGCAACCCUUUCUCAUGAAUAAGUAUAAUGAAUUAUAAAAGUAACUAAAUGUUUUACAAAAUUCCCAAUCUUAAUUACUUUAGGCAAAAGUGAAAUUGAUGCAAUUCCAUUAAAUUACAUUUUGUACCCGUGCUAAGACGUUAGUGGAGCGUGUGUGGUUAACUGGCACACUAAUUCGGUUCUAAGAAAAGGUGGUAAAGGGUGACUCAUUGUUUCUCAUUGUUCGAUGGAGCAUGUGUGGUUAACCAGCACAUCGAAUAGGUGACUGUAACAAUGAGGGCACCAUGUAUAUUUGCAUGGUUAUUCAUACCCACUUUGUGAUCCUCAGCAUCCCAGUCACAAACUAGAGGGGCAUAUCAAGAUUUAUACAUGCCAUUGAAAAGUUCAAUGAAUCUCAAAAUAUCUAGGAGUUUUCAAUACAUUUAAAACUUAAUCUCUUUUUCGUUUUUCAUGGUGGAGAAUUAGUGAAUCGUCAUUCACUUACCUUCAAAUUAUUUGCAUGUUAGAUUACGACACCCCUCUUCUAAUAUGUAAAUAAUGUUGUUGGAUCCUAGCCCUAAUUUCUCAUUUAGGUGUUUCAUUAGGGAUUCAUUUCUAAUCAAACUUUGUUCUUUUUCCUUUUCAGAUGUCGAACAACAACAAUGCUUCCGGAUCGUUCUCACUCAUGAACUUGUGUGGGAGAGUGAUCUUUGACGAGUCCAAUUUCAAUGAUUGGAUUCGCAACAUCCGAAUGGUCACUCGUUACGAGGACAAAGAGUAUGUCCUUGAUAAGAAGCUGAAGGAAAUCAACCUCAACACUGCUACUACUGAAGAGAUCGCCACCUUUAAGGCUCAUGAGCGUGAUGCCACGAAAGUCCAUUGCAUCAUGCUAGCGACCAUAACUGCAGAACUCCAAAAGUCCUAUGAGGACAUGUAUCCCUAUGAAAUUCAUCAAAACUUGUUGGACCGGUACCACCAAAGUGCAAGGCAAGAAAGGUAUGAGAUCAUCACUUCGAUGAUCACUACCAGAAUGGGUAAUGGAGAGUCCCUUACCGCCCAUCUGCAAAAGAUGCAGAGAUAUGUUGAUCACCUGCUAAAGUUGAAAGUUAACUUUGAUGAAGAGAUGGCAAUCGACAUUAUCCUUCACUCCUUACCUCCCUGCUACAACCAGUUCCGCAUGACUACCACAUGAAUAAGGAAGAGGUCACCUUGAGCAAGCUUCACGGCUUGCUAAGAACUGUUGAGAGCAAUUUCAAGGAUAAGUAUGUUGCAUCAACUCCAACUCCCACUGCUGCCCUUGUCUUGGAAAAAGGGCAAGGGAAGGGUAAGAAAAGGAAGGCUCCCUCAAAUAUCCACCACAAGGGAAAGUCCCAAGAUGUUACCUCUUCUAGUGGAACCAAGGCUGGUUCUGCUAAACCCAACUCUAACCCUAAUGAGCCAGAGUGCCACCACUGCCACAAAAUAGGGCAUUGGAAGAGAAGCCGCCCAGAAUAUCUGCAAGCUAUCUAGGAUGGGACGAUCAAGCCAUCCUUCGCAGGUAUUUACACUAUUAAAUCUAAUGAUUCAUCGCAUGCUAUUUCUUGGGUUAUUGAUACAGGAUGUGGUUUUCACAUAUGUUCUGAUUUGCAGGGACUAAGAAGAAAUAGGGAUGUGGAGCAUGGAAGAAUAAACCUAAUAAUGCGAAACAAAAGAUUGUCGCCUGCCACCAAUAUUGGAGUAUAUAUAUUCCUUAAUGCUUAGUAAUGGAUUAGGUUUUGAUUUAAACAAUUGCUGCUAUUCGCCAGAUAUGGCAAGAAACAUCAUUUCAUUUCAUGGUUUAUAUAGGCAAGGAUUUAGAUAUUCAUUUGAUAAUGAAAAGGGUUCUAUUUAUGCUUAUCUUAAUAGUGUUUUAUAUUUUGAAGCAUUGCCUUGUAAUGUAAUAUAUGAAACUGUGAUGGUUGUAGAUAACUUAGGAAAUGAUGUAUUGUGUGUUGAUUCUUCCAACAAUAUAGAUAAAGCAUGCUUGUGGCAUUGUCGUCUUGGACAUGUCAACAAGAAACGCAUAGCCCAACUCUAAAAGGAUGGAGUGUUGGAGUCAUUCGACCUUAGGGAUGAUGACGUGUGUGAGUCUUGUUUACUUGGAAAGAUGACCGAUGUGUGUGGGCACUUGUGAAAGGGGUGAGGGUUUAUUGGAUCUCAUACACACCGAUGUGUGUGGGCCCUUUAGAUUACCACAAAAGAUGCAAGCCACUUCUAUGUGACUUUUACCGAUGAUUAUAACAGAUAUGGGUAUAUCUACUUAAUCAAGCACAAGUCGGUAACCUUUGAAAGGUUCAAAGUGUUUAAAGAAGAAGUGGAGAAUCAUUUGGGCAGGAAUAUCAAGAUGCUUCGAUCCGAUCGAGGAGGAGAGUACCUAAGUCUUGAAUUCCAUGACUAUCUCAAGGAAUGCGGAAUCGUUUCACAAUUGACGUCACCUAGGACACCGCAGUUAAAUGGUGUGGCUGAGAGGCGUAAUCGAACCUUGUUGGACAUGGUUCAUUCCAUGAUGAUUCGUGCUUCACUACCUAUCUCAUUCUGGGGGUAUGCCUUAGAGACUGCCGCCCAUAUCCUUAACUUAUUCCCUACGAAGAAGGUUGCCAAAACACCUCACGAGAUGUAGACAGGGAAAGCUUCCUCGUUAGCACAUAUCAAGGUUUGGGGGUUGCGAGGCUUUCGUAAGACGAGAGACUCACGACAAGCUCGAACCUCGUAGUGAGUGGUGUAUUUUCACCAGCUACCCACAAAAGACCUUUGGAUAUCUCUUCUAUAGUCCGAGUGAGAACGUUGCCUUCAUUGCGAGGAGAGGGGUUUUCCGUGAGCGAGAACUCAUAAGCCUAGGGGACAGUAGGAGGCAAAUCGAUCUUGAAGAGAUUCAAGAGUUGAGCGAUGAAGGAACCUCCAACACCGGGGCUUACCCGAGGAGGAAACUCCGGUUGAACCGAUUGACGAGUCCUUACCUCUUAGACGUUCCGAAAGAGUUAGGUUUCAACCCCAGUUAUAUGGCUUUCAUAUUACUACAGAAGGGGAUACGUAUAUUAGUGAUAUUAUACUAAUAAAUUUGGAUGAACUUAACAGCUAUAAGGAAGCCAUUGCAGGCCCAGAGUCUGCAAAGUGGAAAGAGGCGACGGACAGUGAGAUUCUGUCCAAGUAUGACAACCAAGUUUGGAAUUUGGUUGACAAUGUACUAGGUCGUAAGAUGGUCUGGUGCAAAAUGAUCUUUAGGAAGAAGGUACUAAAACGUUUUGUGACAACCCGAAAUUUCCAUUUUGUACGAACAUUAGCUAUUCAAUAGAAGCUAGUCCAAUUUCAAUGAAUUUCAGACUUUUCUAAAUAAAUUUGUGUACAUUAGGGUUUACGUUUAAGGAGAUAUCAGGAGAGUGGAUGCUCAUGGGUUUGUGAAACUUGAGCAUUUCAAAACUUCAUAAUGUUAGAGUCCAAUUCCGGAAUAAAAAUAUUUUCUGCCAAAAUAUUUCAGGACUAUAAAUAGAUUUCUGAACUAAAUUCAUUCAUUAUUCACACUUCCAACUAGAGAAAAGCCAUUUUCUCUCUCACAGAUCUUCGGGUUUUCAUCCCAAAUCGUGAGUACACUUCUUUAGUUGUUUUAUAAUGCUUGUUAUAUGCUUAAUAACAUAGAUUACAUGUCAAAUAUGUGAGAUCCGGGAGUUUACCGCCCAAGAACGUUCUUGGGGAGUAAACUCGAAAAUAAAGCUUUAAGGCUAUCUAGUCCCAUUUCCUUGUUAGGUAACUAGCUUAGGAUAAUAUGUAGGAUCAUUUGAGACAAGAAAACAAUCCAGAACACAUAGCUUUAGGAGUUUUCGGCCCAAGAGUUUCUUGGACCGUAAACACCAAAUACAAGGGCUUAAAUGUGCCCUAAUCACUCCCAAAGGCUUUAGACUUUAACCCUAAAUUACUUCUAGCUAAUAUGGGGACAUUAACACAUCAAAAAAACCCCUAAAAGGGAGUUUACGGCCAAGAAAUGCUCUUGGGCCGUAAACACCAAUUAAGGGCACCAAAGUGUGCCUAGGGCCCCCCUUAGCAUAAAUCAAAUGCCUCGAAAGUAUUCUACUUGUGUUUGAGACUUGAAAGAAUUAAAACAUCCAUCCCAUGAGAGUUUACGGCCGUAAACUCUAAGGGAUAUGGCCUUUUGGCCGUAAACUCCUCAAAGGAGUGUUAUCUAUGCCCUAAACUACCCAAAGGAUUAAACCACCAAACUAGGCUUAUUCUAGAAAUCAUUUAGCACUUUAAAACACCCAUUACCACCAAGAUUGGAGUUCACGGCCGUAAACUCAAGGUUUUACGACCGUAAACUCCUUGUGUGGGGUUUAUUGGGUAGUAAACUCUUAUACAAAGUCCUUGGAAGCUUUAAACCCCUUUAGCUUGUCCCAUAACAACUUAGAUGCAACCAUUAGGACCUAUAACACUUAUACAAGGUGUUUACAUGUUCCUAAGUGUCCCAACUUAUUUCAUUAAGUUAUUAUUUGGCUAAUUAGUUAUAUAUAUGCUCAUUAUAUGAUAACUAGGCUCGUGCGUGUGAACAAGUCUCCGUUUGCCACCUAGCACGGUAUCCGACACUACAAUCCAAACCACUCACCACAAGUGAGUUCAUACCCCUUUAAUUAACCUUUGAAAUACUUUUAAAUGUUUUAAAUACUUUAUGGGGGGGAUACAAGUUAAAUGCUUAUAGUUAUUGCAUCAAUCACAUGUGAUUACAUUAAUCAUAUGUGAUUAAUAACUAGAAAACCAAUGAUCUUAUCACUGUUUAAACUGUUUAUCAAACUGUUUUACUUCAAACUGUUUUACAAACUCUUUUACUCAUCAAAUACUUUUAUUUAAACUUUGUUAUACUUCUUAUAAACCGCAUGCCCAUAUAUGUAUAGAUAUAUAAGCAAUGUUUAAAGGGUUUAGGAAGGUCAUCCGCCCUAUUUCCUUUUUCUCGAUUUGGAUGUGGUCUGGUGGGAUUUCGGGUAACCAUCCGAAGGUCGUUUCAAUAUUAAUUAUAUAUCAAAUGUACAUAUAUAGACAUAAAAGUACUCCUUNUAUACUAGGAGAAGAACAUAUACAACUAUACUAGAGGAAGAACAUAUACAACUAUACUAGAGGAAGAACAUAUACAACUAUACUAGAGGAAGAACAUAUACAACUAUACUAGAAAGAGAACAUAUACAACUAUACUAGAGGAAGAACAUAUACAACUAUACUAGAACAGUUCAUUACAUUACACAUACUAGAAUACGUUCAUUAUUGUGAUAUGAAUCGGGGCAUGACUUAAAUGCCAUGGCCCGAGUUGUAGCCAGAGUCUCUUGAAGGGAGAGCGUGAGUUUGCGUAUAGAUCUAUACUGGAUUGACUAUCCUACACCUUGCUGCUAGCUACAGCCGGACCUGCAGGUCUGCGGGUGCCAAACGUCAUUCCGUUAUUACGACCAUUCGUAUGUCGUUGUUACCAGUCGAUAGUAUGGUGCAAUUAGUCACAUGAUACCUUAAUAUAAAUCCGGUUUAAGGUAGUUAGUACAACAAUAGUUCCUAUAAUACAACACUACAGUACUACAAUAAUUUACCCAUUACAUAUAUUUAGUGAUUAUUUCACUUAAACAUUAAUGUACAAACUAUAUUUUGUUAAAUGAUAGUUACACUUGGGAAAUUACACACUUUUACAACAAACGAGCAUACAAAACAGUUAAGCCUUGGUAGAAGGCUACUUUAAUAGAAAAUAUAGGUUUUUCUGAGAGAUUCAAACUUUUACAAACACUUACAUACAUUUUACAAACUUACACUUGAGACACGUUCAAACGUUUUGAUAACAAACAUCGACACUAAAAUACUUAUGAACUCACCAGCUUAAUGCUGAUAAACUCUUUCAAAAUAACUUGUAUUCUCAGGUCAUCAAUAGACAGGUACUUAGGCCAGCUUUUGAGAAGAUGGAGCGCAUUCAAGACUCAUCUUAUUAUUUUGAUUUACAUUAUAUUUUGGUGUCUAAAACUGUACAGAACACGCUUGUAUUAAAAUUAUAUAUUUAAUGCAAUGGAUGAUGCUGUUUGCUUAUUUACAUUUACUGUGUUGUGAUACUUUACAUGACGUCCUCCGCCCCACAACGUUUCCGCCGUUCUUGGUUUUGGGGUGCGACACGUUUUAGUAUGGAGAAUUCAAAGAAGGCAGAGUUACCAAUCCAAAGUAAUGCGAAGUUGAGUACGACUCAAAGUCCGAGUACUGAAGUCGAGAUAGCAGAAAUGAGCUAAGUACCUUACGCUUCCGCAGUUGGCUCGAUCAUGUACGCUAUGACUUGUACUCGCCCUGAUGUGGCCUUCGCUUUGAGCAUGGUCAUUAGAUAUCUAGGGAACCCUAGAAAAGCACAUUGGACCGCAAUCAAGAAUAUUCUUAAGUACCAUCGAAGGACCAAGGAAUGGUUUCUAGUCCUCGGUGGGAGUGAUGACUUAAAGGUGCGAGGGUAUAGUGACGCCAGUUUUCAGACCGACAGGGACAACUACCGUUCGCAGUCGGGCUGGGUCUUUACCCUAAAUGGUGGAGCAGUGACUUGGAAAAGUUCCAAGCAAGAGACCGUAGCUGACUCAACAUGUGAAUCAUAGUACAUUGAAGCAAGCGAAGCGUCAAAUGAGGCAAUAUGGUUGAAGAACUUCAUUGGAGACCUUGGAGUUGUGCCGACCAUACAGGAGCCUAUUGAGAUUUUCUGUGAUAAUGAAGGAGCGGUUGCCUUGACCAAGGAACUGAGGGAUCACGGCAGAUCUCAACAUAUUGACAGAAAAUAUCACUUUAUUCGAUAUCAGAUGGAAAAAGGACUCCUCGUAGUGAAGUGCGUAUCGUCAGAAGAUAACCCAUCAGAUCUGCUUACGAAGGGACUGAGCAGGGUUAAGCACUUGCAGCAUGCUAGGAGCAUCGGGCUGAAGGACGAUAUUAGUUUAGAUUAGAUAGUUUGGAAACGUGUAAUAGAUAAAUUAUAAUUAACAUCUGAUGAUUAAAUAAAAGAGUAUUAUUUAUUAGUAAUGUUACUAUCUUAUGUUAAUUGUUUACCUAUUGUUUCAUUUUGCAUGUUUUGACUUCCUGAAUAAUAAGAAUUAUUUAAAUGGUCUACAGUUGUUCAUAUGUUGGAACUAGGUAUGAAUGAAGACUGUCAUGAAUUGGUGUGUAGAUUGUCUAAAGUGUAUUAGACAUAGCAAAAGUUUGCUACAACAUUCAUGAGUGCUUAUGAAAAGUUUUGAGCAUUGGAAUAAACCCAUGCUUGCUGGAAUCACUUCAUGGAAUUCAUCAUGAGUGAUCGCAAGACGAUAAUAUAUCAUAUGGUCUUAAAACAUAGAUAUAUGGUUUAUUGUUUUCUAAUUGGUUGUGCAUUGAUAAUGCGUAAACACAUCAGUAACUUGAUGUUAUAAAACGCAUUGUUGUGUAUGAUUUGAUUAGUGGAUAGUAAAUGCAUAUAAGUCUAAGUUCAUCUGUUCCUUUUAUCCUAAUAGGUUAAAAGUGAUAUCAGGACCCCUUGAUGAUUUGAUUUGACUUAUGUGUCGGGCCCGGUCAGGACUGAAUUGAUGUGUUCAAUUACGUUCUAUGUCAAAUGAAUCAGAGAUUAAGAAACAAACUGUUGGAUAAUAAGUAUGACUAUGUUCCAUGUAAUUGUCCGCAUGAUAUCUAGAACAAAGGAUUAUACGAUCCCUUAUCUUAAGGACAAGUUACUGAUAAGAUCAAGAGUUUUGAGAACUGUGAUUGCUAAUCGAAUCCAGAAGUUGCAUUUGCAUUUAUAGUUAUUAUCAAGGUUGUAAAAAAUUCUCGACGUUAGCUAGUCGGUGGACUGGGGUUAAGAGAUUAAUCGGGUAGGCGGAGAUUAAUCGGGGGAUUAAUGGAGACCAUUAAUUGAUAAUUUGUUGAAUUUUAAAAAAUUGAAUAUGACUAAUAUCAUAUCAAAGUCCGUAAGUACCACUAAUAUCAUAACAAAAUAGGUUGAUAUGUUUAAUACAACAUUAAUCAUGCUUGAAAUAGUUUCUAUUGAGAUAAAACUUCUUAAAAAUGUUUAAAUUUCAUCGUUUUAUACAGUUUUACUCAUUAUUUAUGCAUGGAUUAAUCGCUAGGUGCCAUCUAGUUGGUUGAGUAAUGCCUAGGGAUUAAUCGGAGAUUAAUCGGGACCUAGUCAUGAUUUUUACAAUAAUGGUUAUUAGACUUAUCCAAGUAGGGGAAUGUUGGAUUAGUGUCCAAGUCCAUAACUAUAUUUGGUAUGUAUUUGACCCAGUUAUGCAUGGUCCUUUUAGGUUGCCUUCACCAAAGCAACUUGAUUGGAGGAAUAAUAUAGAAAGAGGUGAUUAUGGUUUAUUAAUAUAUUAUAAGAUUUAUAUAUUAAAGGAGAAAUCAUGUUUGUUUAAUUAACGUUGGUCAAUAAUUAAUUAAACAUUAGUUUUGUGAUCAAAAGAAGUUAAUUGAACUUAAGGGGCUGAACUGUAAUUAUGUGAUAGUUACAAAGUUAGGCAAGGAAACCUUAAUGGAUAGGGUGGACAAAUUCUGGGGAUAAUGCCUUAAGAAUUCGUCCAUGAUAGGGAUUCUAGAAUUAUCUUAUAGGCUGCUUGGUGGCUAAGUAACCAGAUAAGGAUAAUGACUGAAACCCUAAUUCAUACACCUAUAUAAAGGACCAUUGGGCAUGGGAAUUUCGGCCACUUGAACCCUAGAAGUCCUAGAGCUGAAAUUCUCCUCUCCCCUCUCUCUCUUGCUUCCUCCAAUUGCUAUUGGUGUUUGUGAUUCAUUAGAGGCACAACACUUAAGGUGCUAAAGUUUUCAAGGCUUCAAGAUCUUCAAUCAACAACAAGGUAAACAUCUAGAUCUACUUUGCUAUGUUAAUUUCGAUUAUAUACACUAGAUCUAGGGUUUGAAAGUCUUGGAUGAAUGCAUGUACAAUUAGAGAAACCUAGAUCCAAGCAUUAGGGUUUGCAGGAGCACAUAGGGUGUUCUUUUGGCUCAAACCCAUCACGCCCAAUGUACGUAGGGACCUCCUUUACAAAUAAGUUUCAUUCCAAGGGUUAAAAGGGUAAAUACCUACAUUCCGAAUGUUACAUAUAGAUAGUAAAAUACUUGAUUCUACCCUAAGCCCUUCAUCAAACAAGAAAAUGAAAUAAAGCUAAACAAAAAUUCUCAAGCUAUACAAUCUUAGUUAUGUACAACUACGAUGCAUACACUAAGCAACUACAAUAAUGACGCUAAUUAUAUAUAAGAAGUAAUCCUAGGGUAUCAAGCAUCCUAUAUCAGGAAAUCCUUUCAUGUAAUUCCUGAAGAUCCCUAUCCUACCACUAGCAUGAUGUUAUAUCAUGAAAAACAUAUCAAGUAACCGUGUGGGUAACUUUGGGUAAAUUUUCUUGCUCUGGCUGAUCAUACACAUCGCAUCAUUCCUUGGUUACUUUUGAAAACAAUUUUUGAAAACCAUUAAAAGAAAACUUUACAGCUUCCUAGUUUGAGUUUGGAUUCACACGAAUGUUCAUCCAGUUCUCUCAAACCGAGGCUCUGUUACAAACUUGUAACACUCCAAAUAUCAUAGAAAAUUAAAAAUUUUAAAUUUCAACCAUUAACCAACAUUUUUUACAAAAAGAGUCAUUGCUUCAAAAGUAUUAUUCAAAAUCAUAGUUUUUCCUAAGACCUAAUAACACAAAAUAGGAAGAUGUGCACGAUCACGCCUUCUCCUUCCUACGAUCAUCCGAAGUACCUAAAACAAUAAACUGAAAUUGUAAGCCAAAGCUUAGUGAGUUCCUCCAAAGUACCAUCAUGGAACAUAUAAAAUACAUAGAUUAACAUGUUGGGUCCAUAACCUCCCAGUUGGAUUACCUUGGCUCACAACCUCCCUGUUGGAUUGCCCUGCAUACCACAUACUGGGUCCACUACCUACCGACUGGGUUGACUUAGAUGGUUUGUGGAGUUUGGCCUAUUUUGACCCAAGGAUAUUUUGGAUAAGUUGGUAGUUAUUUAAGUCGACCAAUAUUUUGGGAUAAUAGGUGUCGAGUAGAGCCGGUUGUCAGGGAAGAGAUUUAUUCAGCUUAUGUUCAGACUGAGAGGUGAGUUUUCCUCACUGUACUUACGGGUCGAAGGCACCAAGGCCGACCCAACGAAUUGAUAUCCUGUCUAUACUGAUUGAAGAUAUGUUGAGUAUGCGAUAGAUCUGAAUGAUUAUAUGAUAGUUAUGAUAUACGUUAGACUGGUAGAUCUAUAGGGCUACCUAUGAUUAUUGGUUGUAUAAUCAUCUGUAUGUUGUAUAUAUAUUAUAUGUUAUAUGCCGACAUGUUACAUUGGGGUUGAGACUACUGCUUUGUGUCGUCAGUCAACAGACCAUGUCAAUCCAAUUGGGAUGUUGUGGGCUAGGGUAAUUCAACCAGGAGGUUGUGGACACAAUAUGCUAAUCUGUGUAUUUUAUAUGUUGCAUGAUGGUACUUUGGUGGAACUCACUAAACUUUGUGUUAUAGUUUCAGUUUAUUUUCAGGUACUUCUGAUGAUCGCGGUACGAUGAAGGUGUGGUCAUGCACAUCUUCCUGUUUUGUGUUAUUGGGUCUUGGUGAAAACUCUGAAAGUCAUGACACACUUCAAAUUGAAGUAUUUCGAUGGUACAAUCAAAAUCUCUAUUGGAUAAAAUUUAGUGACAACAACAGAGAAUUAAAAGGUUACGAUUCUUGUGUGUACCAUAUUCAAAUACCCAAAAAGGGAUAUAACUCCUUGUUCGAAAUAAAGCUAAACCAAAAAUUCUCAAGCUAUAGAAUCUUAGUUAUGUACAACUAUGAUGCAUACACUAAGCAACUACAAUAAUGAUGCCAAUUCUAUAUAAGAAGUAAUCUUAGGGUAUCAAGCAUCAUAUAUCAAGAAAUUCUAUCAUGUAAUUCCUGAAGAUCCCUAGCCUACCACUAGCAUAUUGUUCUAUCGUGAAAAACAUAUCAAAUAAUAGUGUGGUUAACUUGGGGUAUACUUUCUUACUCCGGCUGAUCGUACACAUAUCAUCAUUCUUUGGUUACUUUUGAAAACCAUUAAAAAAACUUUUACAGCUCCCUAGUUUGAGUUUGGAUUCACACGAAUGUUCAUCCAAUUCGCUCAAACCAAGGCUCUAAUACCAACUUGUAACACUCCAAAUAUCAUAGAAAAUUAAAAAUUAAAAAUUUCAACCAUUAACCAACAUUGUUUACAAAAAGAGUCAUUGCUUCAAAAGUAUUAUUCAAAAUAAUAGUUUUUCCCAAGACCCAAUAAUACAAAGCAGGAAGAUGUGCACGAUCAUGCCUUCGCCUUCCCGCGAUCAUCAGAAGUACCUGAAACAAUAAACAGAAACUGUAAGCCGAAGCUUAGUGAGUUCCCCCAAAGUACCAUAAUGCAACAUUUAAAAUACAUAGAUUAACAAAAUGGGUCCACAACCUCCCAUUUGGAUUACCUUGGCCCACAACCUCCCCGUUGGAUUGCCUUGCAUACUACAUACUGGGUCCAUAACCUUCCGACUAGGUUGACUUGGCUAGUUUGUGGAGUUUGACCUAUUUUGACCAAAGGAUAUUUUGGAUAAUUUGGUAGUAAUUUAAGUCGGGCAAUAUUUUUGGAUAAUAGUUGUUGAGUAGAGUCGGUUUUCGGGGAAGAGAUUUAUUCAGCUUGUCUUCUUACUCAGAGGUGAGUUUUCCUCACUGUACUUAUAGGCCAAAGGCACCAAGGCCGACCCAAUGGAUUGAUAUCCUGUUAGGUACUGAUUGAUGAUUUGUUGAGUAUGCGAUAGAUCUGUAUGAUUAUAUGAUAGUUAUUGAUAUACGUUAGACAUGUAGAUCUAUAGGGCUACCUGUGAUUAUUGGUUGUAUAAUCAUAUGUCUAUUGUAUGUAUAUUAUAUGUUAUAUGUCAACAUGUUACGUUAGGGUUGAGACUACUACUUUGUGUCGUCAGUCAACAGACCAUGAGAAUCUAACCGGGAGGUUGUGAGCCAGAGUAACCCAGCCGGGAGGUUGUGGGCCCAACAUGCCAAUCUAGGUGUUUUAUAUGUUGCAUGAUGGUACUUUGGAGGAACUCACUAAGCUUUGGCUUACAAUUUCAGUUUAUCGUUUCAGGUACUUGUGAUGAUCGCAGGACGGUGAAGGUGUGAUCAUGCACAUCUUCCUGUUUUGUGUUAUUGAGACUUAGGAAAAACUCUGAUUGUGAAUAAUACUUUUGAAGCAAUGAAUCUUUUUGUAAACAAUGUUGGUUAAUGGUUGGAAUUUUUUUUUUUUUUUAAAUUUUUAUGAUUUUUGGAGUGUUACAUUGGUUUUGUCUUAUAACUGAUCCAAACCCCCACACACCCUUGUUAAUCAUCAAAGAAGAAUCCAAUUAGAACUAAUUCUAUUCAACAAUAACAACCAUAGGGUGUUAGAAAUCCAUUACCUCAAAUGUAGGGAUCUUUUGAUGUCUAAGAACAUUAAUCAAGAUAAAUUAAUAAGGAUAUUCAAUUAAACCAAAGGUCUUUUGGCCUAGCACUAUCAUAUGUUGGAAAAAUGACCCUUCCUAAUGUUAGAAAAACGGGUUAUUUCGAUUGCUUGGAUUCCACUGAAAGUCAUGAUACACUUUCAAAUUGAAGUAUUUCGGUGGUACAAUCAAAAUCUCAAUUGGAUAAAAUUUAGUGACAACAAUAGAGAAUGAAAAGGUUAUGAUUCUUGUGUGUACCAGAUUCAAAUGACCAAAAAGGGAUAUGACUCCUUGUCCGAAAACUGUCAUAUUAACAGUUACAAACUGCCACAAAGCUGUCACUAAACUUGUAACACCCCAAGUUCAGAAGUGCAAGUUCAGGGUUCUUGGUGUAAUUAAGGAAGAUCGACUCGGCGAGUCGAGUCGUGAUUUGGCCAUGUGCUAAGUGACUGACUCGGCGAGUAGGCAGCUAGACUCGACGAGUCAGUGCUGGAGUGAGAAACCCUAAUUCAUGGGGUUUGCACCCUAUAUAAGGAACCUUAAGUCCCACCCCAGCCUCUUUAGGACUCCCUCUGAUGUCCAGAAACUUUCCACAUCGAUUUCAAACCCUAAAUUGAGAGUGAGAGGGAUUUAAGUGUGUUUUGGAGCUUGAAGAAGAAGGAUACUUGAAGCAAGAGUUGGUGGGAUCAUAGAGGAGCGAAGUGGAUCUGAUUUCCUUGCUUCUUGGCAUCAGCAUCAAGGUAAAAAGUUGUUGCCUUGACUUUGUUGUGUUUAGAUGGUUCAUGAAUGAAGUUUUAGGGCCAAUUUAUCAUAUAUGAGCCUCUUUUCGAGUAUUGGGUUUAGAUCUGUGGUUGCUACUACAGAUCUAGACUGGUCCUGACUCAUGAAUCUGGAAAGUGAUAGCUUUGGGGCUUGAUUGAGAGUGUCCUUGCCUUAAAACUUCACUUUAGCUUGAGUAGAGCUUGUUGAGCCUUGCAUGCACGUAAAGUUGGAAACUUUACAUGUAGAUCUUGCCCUAGGAGUCCAGAUCUAUGUAUUGAAAGCAAUAGUUUGGCCUGUGAUCAUCUGAAUGAAGGUAUUACGUAUGGACUCGGCGAGUCUGGGAGAUGACUUGACGAGUCGGACAAAAGAUUUGGAAUGAAUCGCGUAGUAACUCGGCGAGUCACAUGGGUGUACUCGACGAGUUGGAUGAAGAUAGGCAAGAACUCGACGAGUUGGAAGAACAACUCGACGAGUCUAUUGAAGAUUGCCUUGGGCUCAACGAGUCUGUUCUUGGACUCGGCGAGUCUGGUCGAGGAGUCCUAACCUUUUCUGGUUAAGUCGUGAAUCGGUGAGUCGAAGGAUGACUCGGUGAGUUGAGCAUGAAGGGACUCAGAGUUUGUUGGACUCGGCGAGUCUUGGGGCAACUCGACGAGUUGAGUCGUAAUAUGAGAGUUUUGAGUAUGGGAACUCGAAGAGUCAACGAGUUGACUCGGCGAGUAGGGUCAACCAGGAAGGUUGACCUUGACUGAGGACUUGGACUUUAACCAAGGGUUGACCAGUUGACUUCCGGGGGUAUUUUGGUAAUUAUUGGUAUUUAUUGAUUUGGUUUUUGGUAAUGAUCAGUGGCGGAGUUCGUGCUGGUGGUUGGAGCAGCGUGAUCUUAUUCUUCAGUCGGCAGUGACAGUUGAGUUAUCCUCACUAUACUGACAGGGUCUACGGCACCAAGGCCGACCCUCCAUCGGAUGGAAAUCCGGGUAUUGUUGUUAUGUUAUUGCUAUAUGGAGAUCCUUGUUGAUGGAAAGGCGGCCGACGAACGCUCGGUGGACUCUAUAUCCUCAAGGAAUCAAUUUGGAACCCGGAAAAUCAUAUUUAUUUAGGAAUGUAGCAUAUGGUUUUAGAGGUUGUCCUAAAUGGGAGGAUGUGGAUACGGUUAGUUAAGUUUAAUAAUUAUUAUUUUAUAUAUAUAAUAUUACUGAAAUUACUAGUAUUUAAUUUAUAUUUUUUUUGCAGGUUAUAUCUGUAAUAAAUGUUGUGCAUACCCAUUGGUUUUUGGUGGUUCUACAUUUAGAUACCUGGAAAGUAGAAAUUUUUGAUUCAGCACAAGUUGCGGGUUACUUCUCAACAUACAACACUAAUGGAGAAUUCAAAAGUUUUGGAGAUAGUAUUAUCUCAGAGUUGGAUGCCAUUGAUUACUGGAGCCAUUUCCCCCAUUGGACACAGAGACAAGCAAAGGUCGAGUUUUUUGAUGUUUNGACACAGAGACAAAGCAAAGGUCGAGUUUGUUGAUGUUGUAGACGCCCCACAACAAGAAUAUAGUCUUGAAAGAGGGGAUUGUGGAGUAUUUGUAUGCAUGUUUAUGGAAAUGAUUGUUUCUGGGGGUACCAGUGGCGAUUUCAAGGACAUGUAGAGAAGCUGCAUUUCUCUAUAGAAAUAAGAUGGCAAAUGUUAUUUGGGAUACUAUAUAAGUUGAUAUUAGGAACUUUGUAUAUAUAUUAAUAUUAAAUACUUGUUUCUAGUAUGUAAUCGUGUCACUUCUGGUAGUAUGUAAUCUUGUAAUUAUCUUUUAUAUUUUUUAAACAUAAUUCACCAAAAAAUGUUACGAAACCAUACAUUCAAACAAAAUAAACAUUACAAAUAACAUGAAUACAUUACAAUAGAGUCGUCUACAUAAAAAUAAGGUUUCUUACGACUAACAAACAUUAGAUAAAACAUUGGAAAUAAAAUACUCAUCUACUUGAAAAAAACUUUAUCUUUUACCAGAUUCCAAACGUCCGUAUACUCGAAAUCAUGUCCAUCAAACUUGCAUAGGUAAUAUCCAUUCACAUCUUCAAGAAGUUCUUCAUUAUCUGCUUGAGAGCGUCGCAUUUUCUCAGGAUUGUAGCAUCGAUUGAACCAUGUGACCUUAAACUUUAAAUCCAUCCAUUUACUAACAAUAGCAGGUUUUAGUCGUUCGUGUCCUUGCCCGACUUGAUAGUUGAACAAAGCUAUGAGGCGGGACCAUUCAUCACCUACAAGGCAAUUCAGGGGAGCCAUCACUGGUAGACCCUCGUAAAUGGUAAUCCAACUUUGUAUUAGGACCAACAACUCUGUUGGCGUCCAUGGAGAUGUACAAUUUGUUGGAGAGGCUGCAUUAGAUGGAUUUGUUGCAUUCGAAGAACUUGGUACAUUGGACGCCAUUUCUUAAUUGAUCUACUAUCAACUAAAGAAUUGAAUUUCGUAUAGACACUACGUUUAAUAUAUGUACAAACAUAUGUUAUACAAAGAUAUGUCAGUAACGCGGACUGACGAGCCAGUAACGCGGACUUACGAGCCAGUAACGUGGACUGACAACGAUUAAUAUAUAUAAAUAGUUUCUUAAUGCGGACUGACGAGUCAGUAACGCGGACUUACGAGUCAGUAACGCGGACUGACAACGAUUAACAUAUAUAAAAAGUUUCUUAACGCGGACUAACGAGUCAGUAACGCGGUCUUACGAGUCAGUAACACGGACUGAAAACGAUUAAUAUAUAUCAAAAGUUUCUUAACGCGGACUGAUGAGUCAGUAACACGGACUAACAAUUACUAGACAAAACAGUUUUGCGGACUGACAAGACAGAAACACGGAUUGACAAGUCAGUAACGCGGAGUGAUCAUUGGCUUUGCGGACUCACAAGUCAGUAACGCGGACUGACAACGAAGUAACACGGACUAACAACCCCGUAACGCGGAUUGAGAACGCAGUAACGCGGACUAACAAGUCUAUAUAAAACGACAAACAACAAUGUAUCACUUCAUCUAAGGUAUUUUAGUUCAUGUGCUUUGUAUGUUUUACAANUUCAUGUGCUUGUAUGUUUUACAAUGGGUUCAAACCAAUGGACCGCUAACGAGUAUUUCCUUCUAGCUCGUGCAUAUAUUAAUGUCAAAGAGAACACCAGUUUGGAGGAUAUAAUGUUUUUCUCCCAACUAACGAAUACCUUCAACACUGACGCUGAAACCACCAUACAAAACCAUCGCAACACGCUUGAUAUAGCUACAAAAUGGUAUGAAUUGAAAACGGAAGUUGUGUUAUUAAACGAUCUUUAUAAUAAGAUUGAAGAUGAUCAUGUCAAUGAUACUGAGGAAGAGAUCUUGGAGGUGUCUAAAGAAGAAUACAAAUCCAUUAGCAACGGACAGAGUUUCGAGUUUGAAGCCCCUUGGAAUCUUUUGAAAAAUGUACCGUUUUUUUAAGUAGAACUGCAUUUUGUAUUGUUCUUGUAUUUCUUUAUUUAAAUGUAAUAUGGUAUUUAUCCUUUAUUUUAAAAAAAAAUAUUUGACCAACAAAUGUUACAAAACCAUACAUUCAAAAAACAUUAUCUGACAAACAGCUUACGCGGACUGACAAAUAAGCUACGCGUAAUGACAACACAUUUACGCGGACUGACAAGUAAGUUCUGCGGAAUAAUGUAUACUAAUUCCUUAUAAAUUUUGACAACCAUGACGAAAAUUUACAAGGUGUCGAAAGUUGUGAAAAUGAGUUCAGUCAAUCAGGUAUUAAGGAAAAGUUUCUCCAGCCUACCGACUUUUUUCCAUAAGCUGCAAAGAAGCAAUCCUACCACCUUCACGUACAUUACGAAGGAUCGGUACAAUCGUUUCCAAAUUUGUUUCGUGGCAUUGGGAUGCGUGGUAUGUAAUCCCUUAUAGUAAAUAAAUAUUUAGUUAUUUCAAGUUGGUAUAUGCCUAAUAUUCUUAUGUUGACUUACAGAUUCGUACAUUUCUCACGUCUAUGAUAUCAAUCAUAUUCGUUGGUCAAGUACCUCUAAUUGGGGCAUAUGUAACAUCCAUGUACAUUGCUUUUGCUUUAGAUGGAAAUCAUGAACCCCUUCUCAUAGUGUUUGCCUUGGGAACCAUAAAUUGUGACAAUUCAUGGUUAUGGUUCAUAAGGAGGCUUAAAGACUGUUUAGGUGACAAUACAUAAUUUGGUUUCAUAAGCCAUAUGUCUGAUUCUAUGGACUUUGCAGUCCACAGAGUCUACCCUGAUUCAUAUCAUGGCUAUUGUUGUAAAAAUAUAGCCAAGAAAAUACGCGCUUCCAUCGGAACCAAUACAGUCGUAGAACAGUGGUUCUGUAAGACGUGUAAAGCAUAUAAUUUAUCUCAAUUUUAUGCAUGUUUGAACAAUUUAAAAAAUGAGGUAAAUGGGAAUGAUCUUCAUUGGCUUGACAAUAUUCCCAUUGCAAAAUGGGUACGGGCUUGUUUUCCAAGAGUAAGUUUCAAUGUUAAAUUCAUUGACAUUCCCGAUGUUUUCAAUUGGUUUAAAACAAACACGCAUGAGUUUCCAAUAACAACAAUCAUUGAAAUGGUUCAUGACUCGAUGUAAGAAGUUUAUCUUCGACGUGCUGUUUUUGGAGGUAAUUAUAAGUUAUGACAUCAUUAAAACGGUGAAUUGAUAUGUUUAUUAUACGUUAUGACCUUAUAAUUUUUUUUAUUGAUUCAGUUGAUUUCACAGGGGAUAUCCAUAAUCUUCUAACCCCUUAUGCACUUAAGGUGAUUCAUAAAAGAUUUAUCCACUCGGAUGGUUGUAGGAUUACGCAUAUUGUUGGCGAUAGAUAUGAAGUGACUAAGUAUUCAACAACCGAAUAUGUACAACUAGACCGUGGUAUUUGUAGUUGCGGUAAAUGGCAAAAAUGCGGUAUACCUUGUGAGCAUGCUAUAGCUUCACUACACAGACUCGAAAUUGCAGAAAUCCAUCAAAUGGUAAAUUUAAAGUUAAGUACAGCGGUGUAUCGAAAUGCUUAUCAAACUGAGACGGUCUAUCCUAUUCCAACCCUUAGGCAUUGGGAAAAACCAGUCGAAAGUGUUGUGGUCUUACCUCCACGCCAAUUCAAUUGAACUUUAUUGUAUGGAUCACAACGAAUAUUAGUUUUUAUUCAGUUCUAUGUUAACCGUACUUGUAAUGGUUUGUUGGCAUUCUUUACUUUUUAAUAAAAAAAAUGUUUACCUUUAAAUAAAUAAUUGUAUUUUCAUAAUUGUAAUAUGUAUGCAUGACAACGACUAGACAAAAAAACUAUGCGAACUGACAAACGCAGUAACGCGGACUGACAAAAACCUCUACGGACUAACAACAGCUCUCUGCAGAGUGGAAGGGACUAUAUAUAGUCAUGGAUGGUCGUCGGAUUUUUCGUAUAGAGUUAUAAUUUUUUAAAUUUAAAAUGACUUCAUCUUCAUCUUUGUAUAUUUGCUCGUGCAACGAAGUUGAUUGUUUCUAUUGUGAUCCGAUCGACCCUUUUCUUGCACCAUCACCAAAUUUAAGAGAGUCAUAUAUGUCGGAGGAUACUUUGCAACAACUACAAUGGGCUGAAGAACAACAAAAAAAAAGAUAAAGACUCGUCUCGGGCUCUCACUGAACGACGUGACCUCAUUGCGGCGGAGUGCAAAGAUGUUGAGGAAAGGAUGACGAUUACAAAAAAAAAUCAAAAAUCAUGGGGAAUGGAAAAAAAAACNCUAAGAAGAAUCUCAAACUGUCUGAAAAAUGGCUUGCUGACAAGGAUGCAGAAAUGAUAGAACUUGGUAGGCAAAAGGACCGUAUGGAAGAUAAAAUAAGAAUAAGGGACGACUACAUAACAAUGGAGAAAGAAAAGUAUCCUUUGCAAUUCCCUUAAGUUAAUUACCGUUGUUGUACGUUUACUAUAUGUUUCUAGUUUGUUGAAUGUAUUAACUUCGAGUAUUAGUUAUUAUUCUACUAGUAAUUAUGCAGUAAUAUAAUCAUAAUAUUACCCAUCAUCUUUAAAAUAAACACACCAGCUCAAAGUAGACAAAUUAAUGUCCUCUAAAACAAAACAUAAUUAAUUAUAAAUACAACAUCAAUCAUUCAAAUCAAACGUUGAACAAUAGUCUUCUCUCUACGUCCCACUCGUCCAACGCGUGUCUUGUGUCCCGUGCGUCUCUAGCGUCUCCUGAGUCCCUUCUGUCCCUUUCCCUUUUCCUUUUGUGUUACUACUUGAUGUCGUAUUAGUUUUUCUAGCCUUUUUUUGUUUCUUUGGGACCAAUGUCGGACAAGUCGCUGCAUUAUGUGUUGUACUAUCACAUCUACUACACCUUCUUAUUAUAGGUUCCUCACCUUGUGACGGAAUACGAUUUCUGUUUCUCGGUCUACCAGCUUGACGUGUAUCCAUUAUCGGGGGUUUCACAACCAUCAUGUUAGCAGGAAUCUCCCAAUCACACGGUUCUGGAAGGGGGUAAACCGGCUCCUCAUACGUACUUCGGUAUGUUUCCAUUUUGUAAGCAUCUAUAGCCAGAUGUCCGAAGUUAGUUUUUUUCAAGUGCUUCAAGACCAUUAUCACAUGACCACAAGGCAACCCAGUUCCUUCCCAAUAUUUGCAUGUACAAGUCUCUUGCCUCAGAUCAACUAUGCCACCAUGUUUGAAAUCAUGAACUUCAUAAAGUGCAUCUGAAACACCAGAAAUGGACCAUCCUGUCGUACGCUCUUCAUUUUUACUAACUACUUUUUCAGCCCACUCGGUUAGCACUGUUGAACGUUUCCCUAUAAAGAAGAUAUAUAUAAUUAACUAAUUAUUCGACCUAAUUAAAGACAAAAUAAAAUUCAUACCUCCUUCGAUGCGACGCUUGUAACACCAUUCCUGUGAAAGACGUCGGAAGAACUCAAGAAGGGGUAUUAUAGGCAUCUUCCUUGCAUCUACAGAUAAAGCAUUCAUGAACUCUGCACUGUUCGAGGUCAUGUAAUCGUAACGUUUCGAUGGCGAAUAUGCUCUAGUCCAUUUAACACAGGGAAUUUCACUUAGAUACGCUGCUACUUGCGGCCUAGUAGAACUAAAUAUAUACCACAAUUCUUCAAAAACAUUUCUUUUGUAAGCUUUCACAAGCCUCCAAAACAACCCUUUUGUUUUAUCAUUUUUCCCAAACUUGUGUACUAUGUUUCCUAGUGUGACAUCCCCAAAAUCUUGGCCAGAAAAGACCGAUUUCAUUGAUGCUUUUUAAAAUAAUUUCAGAGUAAAUCCUUUUGAUUUUAAAAGAGAUGCGGAAUUUGUUCCCAAAAACAAAACAUGAUAAAAUAGAUCUUUUAUCAAAACAUUUCAUAAAGAAAUAUAAUUUCAUUUCAUAAUCAAAACCGGGAUGUCAUGUUCCGAUACAGACCAUAAAGCAUAAACGAUAACAUUACAAGUCAUUCAACAAAUAUUAUACAUAUGCAGACUUGUAAACAAAACAACUUGAUGAUUCAUCCAUCUUAUGCCCUUACGCCACUUCCUGUAAUACAAGUAAACUGAGUGGGUCAGGCUUGGGAGCCUGGUGAGCAUAUAGGGUUUUCAACCCACAAUAAAUAAUUAUAUUUAAUUCAACAAUCAACAAUAACCCGAUUACCCAUUCCCGUUUUCCUUACUUUACGUCCCUAAAACAACAUCUAUUAUAAGGGACCUAAUCUAGGAGUUUCAUCGGGACAAACAUUACUGCAAAGGGGCUUCCUUAGCAAUAAAUAUCCUAAAGGCAACCAUGAGGGGGAUAUAGUUCACCGGUGAACACGUCGUUCACAAGACCUACAGGUUAUGAGCCUACUAGUGUUCCACAGGACUGUCUAGAAUAGUCCGUGGUCGUCAUCCAUACUCUGCUGAAUGACUAGAAUAACACCAACAACAUCGAGGCCUCUCAUCUGUUUAUUACACACCAACUAUCUACCCAUGUUCUACCCAACAUAUUAGUAGAUAAAAAUAUACAUUUGUAUACAUAGUUUAAAACCUGUAUAGCAUGCUCAAUCAAUACAUUUUUCCACAUAACAGAUGAGGUACACACACAUAACACGUAUUUCAUAGAGAAUAAAUCAGAUCUAUGAGAUAGAAGAAAGUGAAUAUACAUCCACACAUAUAGUCAACAAAGUAUACACGUAACACGUAUUUCGUAUAAAAUACUUCAUAAUAAUGUGUUAGAAGAAAAUGACUACACACUCACUUGAUCAGAAGAUGAUCGGGCAACACUACGACUUGUAGAAGUAGUGUUUCUCCGUAGAUCUGGAAGAUCUUCACAUAAACCGGGCUCCUCGCGGGCAGGUCUUCGGCUCUGAAAUCUCACUUCUCGGGAUUCUCGGGACUUCGGAUCUUGCUUCGGGGCUCGCGAAUAAUAUUGGGGCUUCGGGGUAUGAUUGGCAAGCAAAUCGAGGCAAAAACUAGAGAGAAGAAAGAGUUUGAACUAGAGAAAAUGGUUGAUCUCGCAUUCUAUUUAUAGGCUGCUGGGUCUAGGAUUAUGCCGGGCGUAAUUUCCAGGUACGCUGGGCGUACUAAGUACACUGGGCGUAAUUAGGUUACGUUGGGCGUACUUUGACGUCACUGCAUGCGUCAAUUGGUGGCACUCGAGUAUUGGUCAGACAAGUUGCACCCCUCUGAGUACGCUGGGCGUACUCAAAUUACGCUGGGCGUAAUUUGACUCGUCAAACUUCUAAAUUGCGUAACUUUGGCAUACGAGCUCCGUUUUCGACGUUCUUUAUAUCAACGCGUAGGUUAGACCAUACUCUACAACUUUCAUUUAGACUCAAUUUUUACUUUUAUUUUUAUUAUUUAUUUUUAGUAGGCCGGGACAGGAAAACUUCGUUAUAAAUUCAUAACUUCUUCGUUCGACGUCCGUUCUCGCCUAACUUUUCAUCGUUUCACUACUAACAACGAGAUAUUCGAUUCUCGUUUAGAUUGUUCUGGCUAAAAACCGCUCGAUCUCAAAUCGAGUAUUCGGGCUGCAUACUGCCAAGUCGAAACUUCAGANGAAAAUCAUAUUCCUCAUACGAAGUCAGAUUUGGGCGUUCUAUAUAUAUUUAGAAACCUAGUUUCAACUACUACAACAUUAUCCAAAGAUAUCGAGUUUAUUUUACACUUCAUUUUGACGCUAAUUUUUAUUCUUAAUUCAAUUAAAUUAUAAUAAUUAAGAAAACACACACAUAAUUCACAUAAUUCACAAAUAAUACAUUUUUAUUAUUUCAGAUUGGGUUACAAAGGUUAACCUAGACUAUUACAUUGCUAAAAAUGGCAAGCCCAUAAUCACGGGCGUUACAAUUUUCUCCACCUUAGAAUGAUUCCGUCCCUGGAAUCACACAUCAACAAAUAAAUGCGGAUAGCGACCCAUCAUGUCACUCUCCGUCUCCCAGGUGAGAUACGACCCAUUCGUGUGUUUCCAACGGACAAGCACUAACUCAACCAUCUUACGUCGCAAUUUCUUAGUCUUCCGGUCAACGAUUGCUUCUGGUUCUUCAAUCAAUCUUUUGUUUUCAUCAAUUAUUAACUCUGAAAGUGGAAUCAUGUCGGGAACUUCUCCCGUGAACUUCCUCAAGUAACACAUAUGAAAAGUGUUAUGAAUUCCAUUCAGUUCUUCGAGUAGUUCGAGCUUGUAAGCUUGGUUCCUAAUUCUCUGAAGAACUUUAAACGGUCCAAUAAACCUUGGACUUAACUUUCCCCUUUUACCACAUCUUAUAAGUCCCUUCCACGGCGAGACUUUAAGCAAAACCGAAUCUCCAACUUCAAAAGUCAUCGGUCUUCGCUUUUUGUCAGCAUAGCUCUUUUGACGGUCGUGAGCUGCUAACAUUCUUUCCCUAAUUAUUUUCAACUUUUCAGCCGUUUGAUGGACUAUCUCUGGUCCCAUAAACUGCUUUUCCCCAGCCUCAAGCCAACAAGACUGCGUACGACACUUCUGUCCGUACAAAGCUUGAUAAGGUGCCAUCUUAAUGCUCGAGUGGAAACUAUUAUUAUAGGAAAAUUCUACCAAUGGUAAAUGUUCAUCCCAAUUACCUAGGAAUUCCAAGGUACAUGCUCUCAGCAUAUCUUCAAGUGUUUGUAUCGUUCUUUCACUCUGACCAUCAGUCUGCGGAUGGUAAGCUGUGCUUAAACACAACUUGGUACCCAAUUCCUCUUGUAGACUUUUCCAAAACCGUGAGGUGAAACGACUAUCACGAUCCGACACAAUUGUUAACGGAACACCGUGAAGCCUCACAAUUUCCUUCACGUAAGAAUUCGCAAGCUUUUCCAUAGACCAUUUCUCAUUGGCUGCUAUGAAAUGCGCACUCUUAGUGAAUCGAUCAACGACCACCCAAAUCAUGUCGUGACCAUUCUUUGUUCUGGGCAGUUUAGUGACAAAAUCCAUAGCAAUGUCUUCCCACUUACCCAUAGGCACAGGCAAUGGUUCUAAACUCCCGUACGGUUUCUGAUGUUGUGUCUUGACUCUCGCACAAGUCACACACUCGGCCACAUACUUUGCAACAUCAAGCUUCAUCGUCGGCCACCAGUAGUAGGGUUUCAGGUCCCUAUACAUUUUAGUGCUACCCGGAUGAAUCGAGUACAUGGUCUUGUGAGCUUCUUCCAUCAGAAGAUCUCUGACUCCUCCUGUCUUAGGUAUCCAAAUCCGAUCUUGGAACACCUUCAGUCCAUGACUGUUUACACCGAACACCAACGUUUUGCCCAAACGUUCCUCCUUUCUGUCAUUCUUCUCAGAAGCUUCGCUCUGAGCUUUCUUUAUACUUUCCAAAAUAGUUGAGACAACUUCAAUUCUCAACGCUCUUGGCCUUUUCCUUUCGGGAUUGACUUUCCGACUGAGAGCAUCAGCAACAACAUUAGCUUUACCGGGGUGGUAAAGUAUCUCGCAGUCAUAGUCUUUAAGUAAUUCUAGCCAGCGUCGUUGCCUCAUAUUCAAUUCUUUCUGAUUAAAGAGGUAUUGGAGACUCUUAUGAUCAGUGAAAAGUUUGCACUUCGUGCCAUAGAGGUAAUGCCUCCAUAUUUUCAGAGCGAAAACUACCGCUGCCAACUCCAAAUCAUGAGUCGGGUAAUUCUUUUCAUGCUCUUUCAGCUGUCGAGACGCAUAUGCUAUCACCUUUUCUCUUUGGGUCAAAACACAACCCAAUCCAACACCAGACGCAUCGCUAUAAACAGCGAAGUCUUCAACUCCAUCGGGUAGAGAAAGUAUCGGUGCCUCGCAUAGCUUCUUCUUUAACUUCUCGAAUGCUUCUUUAUGCUUCUCACUCCAAGCAUAAGUAGCUCCUUUGUGGGUCAAAGCUGUCAAUGGAGUAGCAAUCGAAGAAAAGCCUUGGAUAAACCUUCAAUAAUAUCCGGCUAAUCCCAAAAAGCUUCGAAUCUCCGUGGGACUUUUCGGUUGUUCCCACUUCAUCACAGCUUCGAUCUUCGCUGGAUCAACCAUUAUCCCUUCUUGGUUGACCACGUGACCCAAGAAUUGUACUUCUCGAAUCCAAAAAUCACAUCUGGAGAACUUUGCAUACAACUUAUCCUUCUUUAAAACUUCUAACACUUCUCGCAAGUGUCUGCCAUGCUCCUCCUGGCUUUUCGAGUAAAUCAGAAUGUCGUCUAUGAACACUAUNGAACGGAUUACAAACCCUGUUCAUUAAAUCCAUGAAUGCUGCUGGAGCAUUGGUUAGUCCAAACGACAUAACCAAAAACUCGUAGUGCCCAUAUCAUGUUCUGAAUGCAGUCUUCUCUAUAUCCUGCUCUCUUACUUUUAGCUGAUGAUAUCCUGACCUCAGGUCGAUUUUUGAAAAAUAACUUGAACCUUGUAGUUGAUCGAACAGGUCAUCAAUCCUCGGCAACGAAUAUCUAUUCUUUAUUGUUGCCUUGUUCAGUUCUCUGUAAUCGAUGCACAUCCUCAUACUUCCAUAUUUCUUUUGACGAAUAACAUCGGAGCUCCCCAGGCCGAUGAACUAGGUCUUAUGAAACCUUUGUCCAAUAACUCCUGAAGUUGCAUCAUCCGCUCCUUCAUCUCCAUCGGUGCUAGUCGGUAAGGUGCUUUUGCUAUAGGCGUCGUUCCCGGCAACAAGUCGAUACGAAAUUCUACUUGUCGAUCAGAAGGUAAUCCAGGAAGAUCUUCGGGAAAUACUUCCGGAUAAUCACAUACGACAGGAAUAUUCUGCAUCACCUUUUUUUCCUUCUUAGCAUCGAUCACGAAUGCUAAAUAUGAUGUACACCCCUUGGUCAAACAUUUUCUGGCUUUCAUUAGAGAAAUGAUUCCAGAAUUUACUCUGCGUUUAUCUCCAUACACCAUAAACGAUUCCUUCCCAGGCGGGUUCACUUUCACUAUUUUCUUCUUGCAUAAAAUUUCGGCAUCAUUGGCGCUAAGCCAAUCCAUUCCCAAAAUGAUGUCGAAACUGUUAAGUUCGAUAUAAAGGAGUAGUUUUCUACCAAAUUCAUGCGAUAUAAAGGAGUAGUUGGCUCCAGAAUCAAAUAAAAUUUGGGCAGACGAUUUGUUUACGAGAAAGGUACCUGAACGACAUCAGCUUCAUCUUUAGCAGCUUCCAGUGUCAUCUGGAAUGCUCUCGCCUUCGGCUUUGGCGAAAUGUUGGGUUUUGUUGCCUCCUUCUUCUUCGGACAAUCUCUUGAUAUGUGCCCUUCCUCACCACAACCAUAACAAACAUUCUUGGUGAGGGUGCAGUCGUUGGCAUAAUGCCCUGGCUUUCCACAUUUCAAGCAUGUGGCUUCCCCGCCGCACUUCCCAUGAUGCUUCUUCUUGCAUUUGUCGCACCAUUUCGCUUCGCCUCCUCCACCCCCUCUCGAACUAGACUUCGAGAAUUUACCCUUUUUGCUGGACCCUGAAGAUCCCUCGAACUUCCUCUUUUCACCAACCUCUGACCUUUCCAGACCUUUUUCCCUGAUCUGGGUCUCAACAUUUCUAGCAGCCCAGAUGGCGGCUUUCAAUGUGGUUGCUUGCUUAACCAUUAGACCAUAGUCCGCUGGUAGUCCAAGGGCAAACUUGUUGACCUUAGAGAGUUCUGUAGGCACCAAAUAUGGGAUAAACUUCAUCUUUUCUGUGAAACUUGCAGCGUAUUCAGUAACGCUCAAUUUCCCUUUCUUCAAAUUCUGAAACUCAUUACUGAUUUCCAGAAGGUCCUGCUCGGAGCAGUAUUGCAGUUUUAGUUGUUCCACAAAGUCUUCCCAAGACAUUUUGCUUGCUUCUCCCUUGGGCAUAGAGUCAGCUAACAGCUUCCACCAACUCAACACGCCAGAUUUUAGCAGAGGGAUCGCAAGAGCGGUCUUCUGCCUGUUGCUGCAUUCGCAACUUUCAAACAUAGUCUCCAUUUCGGAGAUCCAGUCCAUAACUUGCACCGGCGUCGGGCUUCCGGAUAGACAUGGUGGUUUGGAUGCCAUGAAAUCCUUAUACUUGCACCCACGACCAUCAUUUCCUCCAUACUGGUUAUUGCGUCUAACCACUGGUUGUUCGUCUUGACCAAUGAUCCCACUAAAGUUUUCUCCUUCAGACUGCCCUCCAUUCUCCUCGGGCUCUUCCGCUUGAAUUGACGGUUCUUCACGAUUCUGCCUAAGCAGGCGUCUUGUUUCUUCCAUCUGACGAUCCAACAUCAUUUGAAUCAUCAUUUGUACACCAGCCAUUGUUAUCGGCUCAGGUGCAUCAGCUACGACAGGUACUUGUUGAAUUACAGGCGGUUGAUUCCUGUUUUCAUCAGCAUUUCCAACUCCGCUUCUUGUUCUCACCAUUUUUGAUCUACACACCGAAUAAUUUCACCUUAUUACUCCAAACGAUUACAUGCUAGUUCUAAUAUCGUAUACAUACGCUUAGAAUCCUAAACACAUAAACCUUCAGAUCCGGUUGGCAACAAACCGUAGAUCCGAACAAAUAAUAUCAUAUAUGGCAACAUAUAACAUUUAGCACAUAAAAGCAUUUUAGGCAACUUUCCUAAAAUAAACUAGUGCUCGUGUCUAAAAUUUAUCAGACACACAUCUCACAAUCUCCACUUAGCAUACUAAGUUUAAGUCUAGAAAUCCUACAAAUUCCUAGUUCGCUUAAACUAAUGCUCUGAUACCAACUGUGACAUCCCCAAAAUCUCGGCCAGAAAAGACCGAUUUCAUUUAUGCUUUUUAAAACAAUUUCAGAGUAAAUCCUUUUGAUUUUAAAAGAGAUGCGGAAUUUGUUCCCAAAAACAAAACAUGAUAAAAUAGAUCUUUUAUCAAAACAUUUCAUAAAGAAAUAUAAUUUCAUUUCAUAAUCAAAAAUCGGGAUGUCAUGUUCCGAUACAGACCAUAAAGCAUAAACGAUAACAUUACAAGUCAUUCAACAAAUAUAUACAUAUACAGACUUGUAAACAAAACAACUUGAUGAUUCAUCCAUCUUAUGCCCUUGCGCCACUUCCUGUAAUACAAAUAAACUGAGUGGGUCAGGCUUGGGAGCCUGGUGAGCAUAUAGGGUUUUCAACCCACAAUAAAUAAUUAUAUUUAAUUCAACAAUCAACAAUAACCCGAUUACCCAUUCCCGUUUUCCUCACUUUACGUCCCUAAAACAACAUCUAUUAUAAGGGACCUAAUCUAGGAUUUUCAUCAGGACGGACAUUACUGCAAAGGGGCUUCCUUAGCAAUAAAUAUCCUAAAGGCAACCAUGAGGGGGAUAGAGUACACCGGUGAACACGUCGUUCACAACACCUACAGGUUAUGAGCCUGCUAGUGUUCCAUAGGACUGUCUAAAAUAGUCCGUGGUCGUCAUCCAUACUCUGUUGAAUGACUAGAAUAACACCAACAUCAAGGCCUCUCAUCUGUUUAUUACACACCAAUUAUCUACCCAUGUUCUACCCAACAUAUUAGUAGAUAAAAAUAUACAUUUUUAUACAAAGUUUAAAACCUGUAUAGCAUGCUCGAUCAAUACAUUUUUCCACAUAACAGAUGAGGUACACACACAUAACACGUAUUUCAUAGAGAAUAAAUCAGAUCUAUGAGAUAGAAGAAAGUGAAUAUACAUCCACACAUAUAGUCAACAAAGUAUACACGUAACACGUAUUUCGUAUAAAAUACUUCAUAAUAAUGUGUUAGAAGAAAAUGACUACACACUCACUUGAUCAGAAGAUGAUCGGGCAACACUACGACUUGUAGAAGUAGUGUUUCUCCGUAGAUCUGGAAGAUCUUCACAUAAACCGGGCUCCUCGCGGGCAGGUCUUCGGCUCUGAAAUCUCACUUCUCGGGAUUCUCGGGACUUCGGAUCUUGCUUCGGGGCUCGGGAAUAAUACCGGGACUUCGGGGUAUGAUUGGCACGCAAAUCGAGGCAAAAACUAGAGAGAAGAAAGAGUUUGAACAAGAGAAAAUGGUUGAUCUCGCAUUCUAUUUAUUGGCUGUUGGGUCUGGGAUUACGUUGGGCGUAAUUUCCAGGUACGCUGGGCGUACUCAAUACACUGGGCGUAAUUAGGUUACGUUGGGCGUACUUUGACGUCACUGCGUGCGUCAAUUGGUGGCACUCGAGUAUUGGUCAGACAAGUUGCACCCCUCUGAGUAUGCUGGACGUAAUUUGACUCAUCAAACUUCUAAAUUGCGUAACUUUCGCAUACGAGCUCUGUUUUCGACGUUCUUUAUAUCCACGCGUAGGUCAGACCAUACUCUACAACUUUCAUUUAGACUCCAUCGGCUAAUUUUGACUUUUAUUUUUAUUAUUUAUUUUUAGUAGGCCGGGACAGGAAAACUUCGUUAUAAAUUCAUAACUUCUUUGUCCGACGUCCGUUCUCGCCUAACUUUUUAUCGUUUCGCUACUAACAACGAGAUCUUCAAUUCUCAUUUAGAUUGUUUCGGCUAAAAACCGCUCGAUCUCAAAUCGAGUAUUUGGGCUGCAUACUGCCAAGUCGAAACUUCAGAAAAUCAUAACUUCCUCAUACGAAGUCAAAUUUGGGCGUUCUAUAUAUAUUCUGAAACCUCGUUUCAACUACUACAACAUUAUCCAAAGAUAUCGAGUUUAUUUUACACUUCAUUUUGAUGCUUAUUUUUAUUCUUAAUUCAAUUAAAUUAUAAUUAAGAAAACACACACAUAAUUCACAUAAUUCACAAAUAAUACAUUUUUAUUAUUUCAGAUUGCAUUACAAAGGUUAACCUAGACUAUUACAUUGCUAAAAAUGGCAAGCCCAGAAACACAGACGUUACACCUAGUAUAUGAAAAGCACACAAGCCAUGAUGAGCAUGUGGAAAAACAUUUUCAAUACUAACGCGAAUUGUAUCGGCCCUAUCAGUUACAAAAGUCAAUUCUUGACAAUCACUAACACAUUCAUACAACUUUUCAAGAAACCAUGUCCACGUAAGACCACUUUUUUUUUUCAUAUUCCGUGCGUAAGGGGCAGUAUCUGGUUGUUCCCAUCCAUAGCUACUCCAUGCAAUAUGGUUCCCUUAAAAGCACCCUUCAAAUGGGCACCAUCCAUAAUUAUAACUUUACGACAAAAACUUUUGAACGCUCGUAUCUGCAAUAUAUAAAAAUGGAACACAUAAACACUCUAUAAUUUGUUUACAAAAAUUAUAUAUUAAAUAACAACAAGUUUUUUGUAUUUACCGUGCUCCCAAUGGCAUAAAAACAACACUCGAAACAAUCUUCAGAAUCUGUUUGAAUAUACGCAACUGUACCGGGAUUAUGCCUCUUCAAAUUGUGAAAAUAAAUAGGAAGUUUGGCAAAACAUUCUUCAGAGGAUCCCAACAACAGUUUCAUAGCAUAUUGUUUUGCACGCCAAGCUUGUUUGUAAUCUACGUUGAUUUCCAGCAAAGCAUUCAAAUCCCUUGAUAUUUCAUUAGGCCUCCAAACCUUGGAACGAGUUUUUCCCAUAAUCUCAUGCAAUAUAGUACCCAUGACUUUUUUAUUAGCAUGCUUAUGAUUAGGGUGUAUCUGUAAUGACGAACAUGUGUACACGUUGUUGAAAGUCCUGAUUUCAAAUUCAUCAGUGAGAUCAAGGCGUUUUGCAUACAAACGCCAACUACAGUUCUCAAUUUCACAAUAUACCUCAUAACGAUUUUUGUUAGAAUGUUUGGUCUUAAACUGAAACUUUUCUCUUGUUGCUUUAAGAAUCAAUGCAAAAAUUAGUUGUUGUUUGUUGUCAUAUGUUUGACGAACAAACAUAUCAUCAUUUGGACCUAAACUGUGAAAUGGUCCGGGUUCAACAAUAGGAUCAGGACAAUCAGGUAUGGGAGACAUACCGUAAAAAAUGUCUGAAGCUUUUUUCCCGUAUGUGAACUCAUCUUCUGACCAUCCUUCAUUUGACUCUUCACUGUCUGAGAAAGUUUUGUUAGUCAAUCUUCUAAACCCAUAUAAAUUUUUUUCUUCAACCGUAUUCAGUGCCACCGUUUCUUCUUCUGGACAAUCUUCAACAUUAUCAGAUACAAUGUUAUCAACAUUGUAUGGUACAACUUUCUCAGCUGCUUCUGUCUGUUCGACCAAUCCCUGAAACACCUCUAAAUACAAAUGCACAAUCUCCUUCGUUUCAGAAAUUACAUUUCUGAGUUGAUUAACAUCUGCUUCAUCUAAAAUAUUCAUCACAUACCCAUGAACCGGGUGUUGAAAUGACAAUGAUAUAUUACUAUUGAACACCUUAGCCUUACUUUUGACCAAAUCAAACAAUAUUCGAAAAUCAAAAUUAGGCGGAGGCAGUAAACCCAAGUUGUUUAACUUUGGUCUAACGUAGGUGUUAAUCGCAUUACUUAUCUGCAAAAAACCUCCAGUACAUAAAAUAACAAAACUCAUAUUUGGUUUUGAAAAUCAAAUGAAAACGAACUGAUCUAUCGACCAAAAUAAAACAAACAUAUGAAAAAGAAACUUUUGUAUCAAAAAACUCUUCAAAAUCCGCUCCAACCACCCAUUCCACGGAGGCAUUACUCUCUCCGCAGAGACCCAUUCCGCGGAGCAUGAUUAAAAAGGCUAACAACCUAUUGUUCGACCACUUCGCAGAGAUGACUUCAUUCCGCGGAGGUCCGCGGAGGGUCCUCCGCGGAAUGCAUGUCUAUAGCUGGAAUUUUUUUUUUGUGUCUAAAUUUUUAAAUUUCCCCCUUUUUUCGUCUAUAGCCUAUAUUUUCUCUAAAUGAUUUACAUAUUGAAAGUUCAGAAACAAGUUAAAACUUAAACCCUAAAAGAGCGUACAAAUUUCAAUCGUCAACAUACCCCACCACAAAGGCACAAAUAAUCAAAGAAACAAAUGUAGAUGUAGAGGCCUUUUUCACCACAAUCACCCUUCAUCGGCCAUUUCGAAGGCCACGUGAAAUGUCACUAACGUGGCCCUAUAAAUAUCCACUACUUUGUCUUUAACCUUUCCCCCCUCUCAUAUAAAACCCUCCAUCCUCCUCCUUUACCACCAUCACCAACUACCUUCUCUCCUCCAUCAAAAGUAUCCCCAUCUUUUCCGACAUGGCUGCUUCUUCAAUCUUCAUGGCAACUCCCAUCACACUCCUCAAGAAAACUCCCACCUUCUCCGUCAAAUGUAUGUCACAAACACCUCAAAGCGGUGAACCGGGGGUUUCAAAACCAGCAACCACCCCAACACCACCACAGAUCAACAUUCCUCCUCCUCCGCCACCUGCUCCAAAGGUCAGCACGAAGUUCUCUGACGUGUUGGCGUUUAGUGGACCUGCACCGGAGAGGAUCAACGGAAGGUUAGCCAUGAUAGGGUUUGUGUCGGCGAUGGCUGUGGAACUGAGCAGCGGUCAAGACGUGUUCACCCAGAUCGGCAACGGCGGUGUUGCGGUGUUUGUCGGGACAAGUGUGGUGUUGACGUUGGCGUCGUUGGUGCCGUUGUUUAAAGGAGUGAGCGUGCAGUCGAAGUCGAGUGGACUGAUGACAUCAGAUGCAGAGCUUUGGAAUGGGCGGGUUGCGAUGUUGGGUCUGGUGGCUUUGGCUUUUACUGAAUAUGUUAAAGGCAGUGCCCUUGUCUAGAUAAUGUAUCAUAAACUUUUCUAUUACAGAAUUACAUCUAAGAUAGACAAAUGUAUAUUGUUUUGAAUAUUUAUGUUUAUCGAUUUACCAUACAUAGUUCAAAUCAUAAAAAGCAUGUUUUUUGAUAAUAUAGUAUAAAACAAAUAUAAUAUCAAUCAAAUUGAACGAUGUUGUGGUAUCUUUCAAUAUAAAAUUCUCUUUAUAAAAAUAAACAAACAACGUACUAAGAUAAAUUUUAGAGGAAUGAACUUAGAUUAGCAAUAUAAGAGUCAAAGUCUACAAAUUAAGGUAUUGAAAUCCUAGUUUCACAACUUCCUCUUUGAAUGUUGAACUGAGGUGAUCUUCAUUAAUUCAGACUGAAUAAGUGACUUAGUCCAGCCUAGUCAAUUAGCUAAUUUAAGAUGACAAGUAUCCAAAAUUCAAAAACAUUAUAGAGCUCAAUUUCAAACAAAAGUGACAAAUGACUAAUGCUCACAAAACGAUCACCGAAUCAUUCAAAGCAUUUACUAAAAGCCAGUCUAAUUCUUAUUGGUUUGAAAUCUAAUUUUAUCAUCAACUGUAUACAAGAUUGAGAUUGAUAUCAGAGUAAUAAUCUCUAAAAGCAAAAUAAUGUAUUCAAAAGAAUAUAUAUACAAAAUGAAUUAUGUCCCAAGCAGUACUGUGCAUGAGUAUAAGAUUACUAUUAUGUUGGGAUCCAUUAAUUGAUAACUAAGCACACUUCCAAAUUUACUAUAUGGAAUUUAGUUAAGGAUUAAUGUCAAGUGGGGUGCAUCCACCCCACUCAAAGGCCUUGUAUAUGUUACGGUCCCAAGUGAUAUUUUAUAAGGGUCUUUUUGUAGUUUUUCUUUUCCUAAUAUAUUAACAUUUUUUUUUGAUAUUUUUGGAACUUUUUAUUUUCUGAGAAAAGUAUACAAAAUAAUGUAUAUACAAGCUUACUUGAAGAUAUGAUCGUUUAUGAGGUUAUUCAAGACUUAUUCUCUUGAAGUAUCUAUUCCUAGCUAGAUAUGAACAAAUGUGUUUGCAUUUAUCCUUUUUUGCCCUUUGUCAAUUCUUGACUAAUAAGGUAAUGGUAGUUCUUGGUGAGGGAUUCACCUCUGUAUUGAUUCUUCAUUCUAUUUAAAUGUUUGGAUUCACCUCUGUAUUGAUUCUUCAUUCUAUUUAAAUGUUUGGAUUCACCUCUGUAUUGAUUCUUCAUUCUAUUUAAAUGUUUGGAUUCACCUCUGUAUUGAUUCUUCAUUCUAUUUAAAUGUUUGGAUUCAACAAUGUCUAGUUGAGUAGUUCUUUAAAAGCACAUUCUACCAUAUGCAUCUUUAUGUCAAUAUUAAUUGGGGAUUCCAUAAACUGAAACUCUUGGAGCUCAAUAGUGUAGUUGAAAAACUUUUGUUGAGCCCACCACUUACAUGAAAUAGGAGACUUUUUUCAAUAAACUAAGUGGUUCCUUCUUUAUGGAUCAUCUUUUCGUUUCUCCUUUUGAAAGGUCCCCUGGUGAUACUUUUAUGUGUUAAUGAAACUCAGUCCUUAUGGCAUGCUUUUUGGAUAUGAUAGUACGUGACUAUCAAGAGCUUAUUUCUACUCAGUAUAGUCAUACUCUCAUAAGUCUCUCAAGAUUUUACACUCAGAAGCAUCGUUAGAUUGUAUGGCUACCUACCUUGUACUAUAAGCAUGUUUAUUAACAUUUAGGGAUUUAUUUAGAAGGAUAUCAUUUUUCAUAUUUUUUGUCUAACACCAGAUCUUUUUUCUCAGCUCAAUUGUUUCAAGUAAAACUAAGUGUCUUCUUGAUUCGACAACAAACCAUUGGUCAUCUUUCCGAUUUCAAGUAUUUUGCAUAUCCUCUCAAAACUUCUUUAUUUUUUAACACAAAUUCAAAAACUAUUAGGUAUCGGGAUUUUAAGGCUUCUUUAUUUUCACCCUCAAUUAGAUUCAUAUUUUUCAUUGCCUUGCAGAUUUCCUUUUUAGUUUGAGUCUAUUUAUCACGAGCCUGAAGUCAUUUUCUUCCCCUACCCUUGUUAGUUUUGGCUAUUGCUAGUGCACGUACUUCAUUGGCUAAAUGAGAAGACACCUCGAUAAUGGUGGAUGACUUGGUGAAAUUUAUAGGUUGUUCCUUAGGCUAUCCAAAGUGGAGGUAGAAGAAGACGCAUGAUGCUGAAUGGACAUCCAAGUCAUGCGUGAACACUGCCCGAUGGCUUGGCUAUGGAGUCUCCAUGAAGACGAUGCAUUCGAUUGGUUUAGAAUCUGGUCCCUCAUAUUUUCUCUCCUCCUUUUUGUCCCUUCACUACCAACCCACCGGUAAACACCAUUUCCACAACCUAAUGGGUUGAUUGUGGAAUGGUAAACUACCUAUGUGGCGCUGAGUUAGAAGGUGUUUUGGAUAUAACCACUCCCCACAACCUUAGCAUUAGAACAUCCUGAUGCUCCACAUGAACUAAGAACAUCACUUAAUCUUCAUUAAAUACUUUGGGGUUGUACUCAUAAAGUAAAAUAUCUCCCCCCUUAGACAUAUCAUCAUUUUCCUCAUCUGAUGACCAAGGAAUUUGUGGAGAUAUAUGUGACUUUGGAUUAAAGGGGGUUAUAUUGGUCAUCCUUUUUAGACAACUUUUUAAAUUAAUCAAUCCAAGCUCCUAUACCGACGACAUUUUCUGGAAUCUCUUUAGAUGGGGAUGAUGGUUCAUUAAGCGACGACAUUUUCUAACCGUGUACCGACGACAAGUCGUCACAGACAAGUCAGGAUAGGUCAAAAAAGUCGUCGGCAUAGGUGUCGUCGGGAUAGGUACCCCAUAUACCGACGACAUGACGUUGGUACAAGUACCGUCUGGAAUGAUUUUCGAGAAAAAAAAUAAAGUUUUAUUAAUUACUUGUGGCGACGACAUGUCGUCGGGACAGGUGCCACCUAUAGCGACGCCAUUUUGUCGCCACAUGUUUUCCACAAAUAUCAAUCAAAUACCUAUAGUGGCGACUAGUCGUUAGGAUAGCCACUGGGUGUUUUUUUUUUUUUUUUUUUUUUUUUUUUUUUUUUUUUUAGUUUUUACAGAUUUUGUACAUUUACCAUUCGUGCAUUUUUAACAAAUCCAAACAUUUUGCAGCAUAUAUCAAAUAAGAUACAAUAACUGGGUACCAUUGUUUAAAUUCAAAACAUCAAAUUCAAGUUUAAUAUUACAUACCGAAUUAGAUAAAAUAAGUAGUUAACAUUGUUCAAAAUAACACAAAACAUAAACAUCAUUAUAUUCUUUUUUUUUUCUUCUUCUUCUUCUUCCAUCCUCUCGGGUUCACAUUUUGUUGAGAGGUAUUUCCUUGUGAUGUACUUCCUUCUGUGUUGGAAUUGAAUAGAAAACUAGCAAACGGUGGUGGUUGUGUAACAUCCCAAAAAUUUUAACAAAUAUGAACUUUUCAAAACAACCCAUUUAUUAACAAAAGUGUUUACAAAAACAUGAUUUAAAAUUAGAGUCUCCCAAGAUCCACUUUGUUCUAAAACCGAGGAUGCGUACGGUCACGCCUUUGCCUUGCCAUGAAUCAUUUGAAGAAACUGAAACCAUAAACAAAUCGUAAGCAAGAAUCUUAGUGAGUUCCUCCAAAAUACCACCGCACAAACAGAUAGCACAUAAAUAACGACAACAUGUACUAGGUCCACAACUAAAAGACUGGAUUACCCCUGAGCCUAUAAUAUGAAUCUGGCUUGCCUAUUGGGCCCACAACUCAUAUCUGGUUUGCUCUUGAGCCCACAACAUAAGUCAGACUUGCCCCUGGGGCUCACAACUUAUGUCAGGCUUGCUCCCAACUCAAUCAGUCAUCGGACUAGAAUACCAAUGUUCAGCCCUGUGACAACCUGAAAUUUCCAUUCUGAACAAACCAUAUCAAUCCAAUAGAAGUUAGAACAGUUACAAUGAAAUUCCAGACUUUGGGCAUAAGUUUGACAGUUUUUCAGGAUUUACACUUAAGGAGAUAUCAGGAGAGUGGAUGCACUAGGGUUUUGUGCAACACUGUUAUUCCAAAACUCUAGGAUAUUAGGGUUCAAUUCCGGAAUAAAAAUAUUUUCUGCCAAAAAUCUCAGGACUAUAUAUAGAAAUCUGAGCCAUAUUCAUUCAUUAGUUACAUUUCCAACUAGAGAAAAGCCAAAUUCUCUCUCACGGAUCUUCAGGUUUUUAUCCCAAAUCGUGAGUACUUCUAUCUAGUUGUAUUAUAUAGCUUAGAUUGUUUUUUAUAACAUCAAAAUCGGAUCAAAACCCCAAGAUUUGGGAGUUUACCGCCCAAGAACACUUGGAGAGUAAACUCCUUUUUAAGGGCCAAAAGUGUGCCCAAUGUCCCUCAAAGCCUUGGGAAUGAACCUAGAAGCUACCAUUACAUGUUUAAGACCACAAAACAAUUAAGAAUCAUGGCUAGAAGUGAGUUCACGGCCAAGGAAGUUCUUCGUCCGUGAACUCCAUUUUUAUGUGCCAAAAUGCCCUAAAAGCCUUCCUUAAGCCAAGAGACUAAUUUAGACAUGUACCUAGAUGAGUUUAGGACUAGCAAACACCUUUAGAACACCAAGAGUAAGGUGUUCACGGCCCAAGAAGUUCUAGGGUCGUGAACUCCAAACAAUGGUGCCAAAUGGUGCUAUAAACUCUCCUAAAGCCUUGGACAAUUUCCUUGCUUCAUUCUUAGAUAAAUUAGGGACUUGAAAACACCACAAACACCCUCCUAAGGGAGAUUACGGCCGUAAUCUCCAUGGGAUAUGGUCCAUGGCGCGUGAACUCCUCAAAGGAGUUAAAAGGAAGCCCAAACACUUGUUUAAGCCUAGAAGCACUUCACCACUUAAGUUGUAAUAAUGUUAGGCUUCAUUUAGUGACCCUAUAGAGAGUUUACGGCCAAGAGUUUACUCCCCUAGGCCGUAAACUCCAACACAUAUGGUCUUUUGACCAUAAACUCCCAUAAGAGGUCUUGCACUCCUUUGUUGCAACCCAUUAGCCUCCUAGCACUUGACCAAAGUGUUUUCCUCACAUUAGGAUGUUUAUACAUGUUUAAUUAGUGUUAUAAUCACUAAUUGUUUAUAUACAUAUGUCUUCAUAUGUAAUUAGGACCAUUGUGUGUGUCUAAAGUCUUCACUUGACACCUAGCAGUCCUACCUCUUCAGUUCAUCCGUAUCACCCACAACAGGUGAGUUUAUACCUNGGGGAUACAAGUAGAAUUAUGCUAAUUAUUAUAUCAAUCACAGGUGAUUAAUAAGCAGCAUUCAAAUGAUUAGCUACUCAUUAGCCGUUUUACCAAACCGUUUCCUUCAAAUGUUUUUCAUAAACACCUUAUGUGUUUAAAACUCCUUAUUACACUGUACCUUUUAUUCUGUAUGUUUCAAUUCAAACUUAUUUACAAUUGUGUUUCAAACAAAUGUUUCUUUAUACUAAACUAUUUUGUCAAACCCAUGCCUUCAAAACCGUUUUAUAGAUUGACAUCAAGUCGAUCUUUUCUUAGAUAAUAAUUAUGUUCAAAGGUUUUACAAAACUUAUUUUAUGUUUUUAUAUUAUAAAUUGGAUGCCUAUAUAUGCAUAGUUAUAUAAUAAAUGUUGAAAGGACUUAGGAAGGCUAUCCACCCUAUUUCCUUUUCCUCGAUUUGGAUGUGGUCUGGUGGGAUAUCAGGUACCCGUCCGAAGGUUGUUUAAAUAUUAAUUAUAUAUCAUGUGUACGUAUAUAGUCAUAAAAGUCCUUCCAGCUCAGCCAAUGCCCUUGGGUAGCAAGGGUAUAUUUAACAUCCCCCUCUUGCACGUAUCACAAUAUUAUCCGCUUUGGGCCACUCGGCACGAGGACUUCCCAGGGGGUCACCCGUCCUGGUACUACUCCCGCCCGAGCACGCUUAACUACAGAGUUCUUAUGGGAUUUGCUGCCCUCACGGCUUUAAAACGCGUUGUGCUAGGGAAUGUAUCCACACCCCUUAUAAGGAAUGCUUAGAUCUCCUUCCCAGCCGAUGUGGGAUCAGAUCUAACCCACUUUCACCCCCCAUUAUAGGGUUCGACGUCCCCGUCGAACACAUCGACCCAUGCCCUGGCUCUGAUACCAAUUGUGACAUCCCCUAAUUUCUCGGCCAGAAAAUACCGAUUUAAUUUAUGCUUUUUAAAAUAAAAUCAGAGAAAUCUUUUUAAAAGAUGUUGCGGAAUUGGUCCCCAAACAACAUAUGAUAAAAGUUUAUCAAAAUCCUUCAUUAAGAAGGUAUAUAUUUUCCAUAUAUAUCAAAACCUCGGGAUUUCAUGUUCCGAUACAGAUCAAAAGCAUAAACAAGACAUUAUAAGCCUUUCAACAGUUAUUUACAACUACUGGCCUAUAAUCCAAAAAUUCUCUCGUCGUCCUCCGACUAUGCUCAGGGUCCACUACCUGUAAUCAUAAAAACUGAGUGGGUCAGGCUUGGGAGUCUGGUGAGCAUAUAGGGGUUUCAACCCACAAUAAUAAUAUACUUAUUAAGUUCACCAAUCAACAAUAACCCUGAUUACCCAUUCCCGUUGUCCUCACUUUACGUCCCUAAACACCUAUCACAAGGGACCUAGCCUAAGGAUUAUCAUCGGGAUGGACACUACUGCUAAGGGGUUUCCUCAGCCAUACAUGUCCUUAAGGCAACCAUGAGGGGGAUGAAGUACGCCAAUGAACAUUUAAUUCAUCAACACCUACAAGUUGCGAACCUGCUAGUGUUCGACUGGACUAUCUAGAAAGUCUGUGGUCGUCAUCUAUACUCCGCUAGAUGACUACAACAACAACAACAACAACAUCGAGGCCUCUCACCUUUUUAACACACAUCAACUAUUUCAUCUACCCAUGUUCUACCCAACAUAUUUUGUAGAUAAAAAGAAUAUACAGUUUGAAACUUGUAUAAAACAUCAAAUCAAUAGUCACCUUAGUUAAACAAUUACUAUAUUUACACAUAACACGUAUUUCAAGGUAAAUACUUCAUAUCUAUGUGUAAAUUGAAAGUAACUACACACUCACAUAUUUUGAUGAACAUCGGGCAACAAUUCAUUUCCUAAAACGAUCGUUUCUAAUAAAACCGGGAGUUUUAUUGAGAAACUGGGCUCUGCAAAAGUCGGGGUUUGAAACCGAAAAGAUAAAUUUUCCGGGCUUCACGGGCACUUCGUGGAGUAUUCCGGGCUUUACAAUCGAUACCGGGGCUUUGCGGGAUGUUAAGAUGAAGAAAAUAUGGGUUUAGGGGUUAAAUAUGGCAAAAUUUCAAAGUUACCUGGGAGGUCUCGCACCCUUCUAUUUAUAGGGGCGAGGCUUCUGAUCCAACGGAUAGAAAGAGGACACGCGUCGCAGAUCCGAAGGCUCGCAGGGAAGCCUCGCACGUGGCUGCGCAUGGCUCGCACCUGUGAGGGGCUCGCUGGCAGCUUGUGAUUGGACCGAGGUCUAGGGUCCGAAGUAGAGGGUUCGUGGCAUGUUGCGAGGGCUCGGUCUCGUGCAUGAGGGUACGUGUCACCUUCUCAGUGGACCACUUCGGAUAAGGCCAUGUGCUCGGAUGACUCAGCAGCUCGGGUGACUCAACAGCUCGGAUGACUCAGCAGGACACAUGGCACUUUUUCAGCGAGGGUGACGUGGCAACUCGUGACUAUGCGAAUUUUCUCGAUUUUCGCGCCAAAACUUCUAAAAUCCAUAACUUUCGCAUACGAGCUCCGUUUUUGACGUUCUUUAUAUGCACGCGUAGCUAAAAUUACGCUCUACAACUUCCGUUUAGACUUCGUCGGCUAAUUUUGAAUUUAAAUUUUAUAUUAUUAUUUUUAACAGACCGGGACAGGAAAUCCGUUAAAAAUUCAUAACUUCUUCAUCCGACGUCCGUUUUCAUCAGAAUUUUUACCGUUGUGCUCCUAAUGACGAGACCUUCAAUUCUCGUUUAGGUUGUGUCGGCUAAAAAUCGCUCGAUCUAAAAUUCGAGUUUUUUAGCUGUCUACUGCUAAGCUGAAACUUCGAAAAAUCAUAACUUCCUCAUACGAAGUCAGAUUUGGGCGUUCCUUUUAUCGAACUUCUCAGUUUAACGACUACUACGACUUUCAUUUAGAUUACUAAGGCUAAAAAGUAGUUUAUCGAAAACUCACUUUUUACAACAUUCAGCACCGUGCCGGUUUUGUCGCGAAACUUCGACAUGUCAUAACUUCUUCGUUAUAACUCGGAUUUUGGUAUUCUUUAUAUCCCCGAAAUCCUUGUUUCGACCACUACAAAUUUAUGUAAAGAUAUCGGGCUUAUCUCCCACUUUAAUUUUGACGCUUAUUUUUAUUCUUAACUAAUUAAGCCCUAAUAAUUAAGCAUAAAACACAUAAUUCAUAUAAUAUUCACAUAAUUCCUUUUCAUUUCUUCAAAAUGAGUUACAAAGGUUAACCUAGACUAUCAACUCAAUAUAAAUGCCUAGGAUAGAAACAUGAGUGUUACAAAUUGUAUCAAGACAUGUUAUAUGGACGUGUUGAACUUCCGUGUCCAUUUCUCCUUCUGCUGUUUGUUCUUCUAAAGAAUGAGGAAAGAUAUCCAAGUCUAGCAUAUGCAGAGAACUAGCAACAAGUAGAUCUAAGUCGUCCAAGUUGUUGGCAAUUUCGACUGGACUCGUCGGGUCUAGGAAAGUGACUCGGUGAGUCAGAUCAUAUUUCACCAUUUCCACUGUGUUUUCCGAGUCGGCUCCUUCCAGUAGCUUUUCUAUCUCCUCCAAGUCCUUGUUAACAUCUCCAUCCUCUCCAGAAGGUAGCAAAAGCUUGCUUGGAUCUUCUUCUUGCAAAAGUGCAAGUUCUUUUUGUAGUAUCUCAUCAUCCAAAUCGAUAAAUGAGAUAUCUUCUUUUCCUUCCUCUUCUUGCUUGGCUUCUGGUAAAGCUCUAAAUAUUGCUGACUCGUCUCCUACCCUUAAUGUUAGUGUAGACUCGCAUACAUCAAUUAAAGCACAUGCGGUGUUUAAAAAUGACCUCCCCAAAAUAAUCGGAAUUUCGGGGUCUUCUUCCAUAUCAAGCACCACAAAGUCUACUGGAAAUAUGAACUUGUCGAUUUUAAUAAGAAGAUCCUCACAAACGCCUCUUGGAUGAAUUGUUGUCUUGUCUGCCAAAUGGAUCUUCAUGUUUACCGGCCUUGGCUCCGAUAAAUUCAGUUUCUUGAAGAAAGAGAAAGACAUUAGGUUAAUGCUUGCACCUGAGUCGGUCAACGCUUGAGUGACAAAUGCAUUUCCAAAUUGGCACGGAAUUAUGAUACUCCCCGGAUCGCCCUUCUUUUCGAGUAACUCACUCAAUAUUAUUUCCGUGACUUCAGCCAAAUAUUUCCUAGCAGCAAAGAGACCCUUUAGUAAGUUGAAGUACUUGGGUGUUUUAAGCAUCGUUUCUACAAAUGGCACAUUGACUUGUAGGGAUUUAACAUGCUCCAUAAAAGCUCAAUAAGCUUCAACUUUUUCAACUGGCAUGGCUUUGAUUGGGAAUGGCAAAGGGGGAUUAUAUGGCUUUAAGGGAAUGACGGUUUUGUCAUUAACGCAUGGACUCGUCGAGUCCAUUAGAGGGACUCGGCGAGUCUUGUCGGGCUUAGCUGGAGCCGACUCUUCUGCCUUUUCUGUCUUCCUAUUGGAGAUCCUCUGUGCAUGUGUGAAAAUUUCUUCAUUGCUGGAAGUUACUGCACUCACAUUCUCCAUUCUCGGAUUGUUUUCGGUGUUACUUGGAAGUUGACCCGGUCUUCUUUCGUUCACUUGAUGUGAAAGUUGUCCCAGCUGUUUCUCAAUGUUGAGAAUGGAUGCCUGCUCAUUCCUUAGCAUAUUUCUGGUCUCGUGUAUUGCAGCAUCGUGAUCAUUGUGUCUCUUUUCGGACACGGCUAUGAAUCUAGUGAACAAUUCUUCUAAAUCGGCUUUCUUUUCCAUUACCGGUUCUUCCUUUUGAUAAAAUACCCUCUCCUUCUGCUUGUAUUUCUCCUCCUUAUCCUUCUUGUAUUCUUCGUAUGGGAGCCAUUCCUUCUUCGGUUUCCCCCAAUUCUCGUCGUAUCUAUCGCCACUUGAGUAGAACACUUGAGCCUUCUUGUUUCCAUUUUCAUCCAAAUCACAAUCCUUUGUGAGAUGGGGCCCUCUACAAUUCUCACAUCCAACAUGAAUAGCAUGGAUUGUUUGAUCCAUUUUUGUCAUCCUUCUAUCUAGACUAUCGAGCUUAGCUAUCAUCGCCGCCAUGCUAUCAUUUGCCGAGUUCACUACCCCCCGACUUACUUCAUUUAUUGGAUUGUGGUAUUCUCUAGAAUGCUUAGAGAAUUCUUCAAUUAACUCCUUGAUUACCGGGGGCGCCUUCUUCGUGAGCGGGCCUUGUGAAUCGAGCAAUUGCCUUGUGGUGACAUUGACUCCAUCAUAGAAAAUGGAGACCUCUUGUUGGAUAUUGAGGUCAUGGUGUGGGCAAUUUCUAAGCAAGCUCUUGUACCUUUCCCAAGCUUCAUAAAGAGAUUCUCCGGGUUGUUGCUCGAAGUUGGCAAUGGCUUUCUUUAGUUUAGCUAUUUUGGAGGGCGGGCAAAAGUGGUCUAUGAACUCUUCUUUCAUCUUGGCCCAUGUGGUGACCGAUCCGGGAGGAAGUGACUUGAGCCAAUCCUUUGCAUCACCCUUGAACGUGACUGGAAGCAUGCGAAGUAGUUGGGUCUCGCGAGGCAUAUUUGGUACAUUGAAGUAGUCAGCCACAUCAUUUACUUCAUCCAAGUGCUUGUAGGCGUCUUCGUGGUCCUUCCCAUAAAAAGGAAUCUCCUUGAGUUGAGCGAGAAUAUGGCCUUUUAGUUCGAACGUAGUGGUUGCGGGAAUUGCGGGUUGCACAAGUCCCGAGCCGGUGUCAUCGCGCAUCCUUUUCUUCCAUUACCCCAUGGGGACUUCAUCGAUAUUAGCCAUAGCGAUAGCUAAAUCGUCUUCAAACUCGGAUUCUUGCUCGUAUGUGGGUUCUUCUUCUUCCUCGGUCUCGUACUCGAUGUCUUCUUGAAUUGGGUCUCUGAUUGUCAAAGAGGCACUGGAUGCUCCUGAUUUGCUGCUCCUUGUCUUGCUGAAAACGGACUUGAGGUUUUUGAGUGGUAAGUUCUUUGAAGAAGCGGAUUCUCCAACGGUUUUGCCUUUGCUCCUCCUUAGUGCGGAUUCCGGGUCUUCAAGAGGAGGGACCAGAGGUGUAUCAGAUCCUCAGGUCAUGAAACAACUGUAAACAAAACAAAAAACGCGUAAAAAGAACAAAAAAUAAAUAAAAAUUAAAACUGUGAAUCAGCGAUGUACUCGCCGAGUCGGCACGAGUGCACUAGGCGAGUCUGGUCAAAACAUAGAAAAAUUUUUCUAGUUACUUUAAAAACGGAUUUUUAUUAAAACUUAUACUACUUACUAAAUUACCUUUUAAAUAACUUUGUGUAAGAUAAAUCCCACACAAAUGAUCGAUUAAAUUAGAAUUUAACGUUAAUUUUAGAACCGUUCCCCAGCAACGGCGCCAAAAACUUGAUGUGUGCAAACUCACUUAGUUUUAAACCUACUUUUAAUUUUAAAAUAAACACACAAAGGCAGUGGACCUAUCAAUUGUGGUAUAGUUAAAUAAGUAGGGUAUCGAACACAGGGAACGGCAAAUUAAAACUAAAAACUAAUUCUAUCUAAAUUAAUUAAUAAGUAGGAGGUUUUCUCUAGUUUUUCAAGACUAGAAACUUACUAACUAUUACUUAUUCUAAAACUUAGAAAAACAAAGAAUUAACUAGAUUCAAUAAUGGGAAGGAACUUCUGUUUAGUUCAACUCAAUUGAUCCUAUGGUUGAUAUCAAGGUAAUGGUGCAAUGGAUUAACUCUUUUGUUGGUUACCGAUUCAAGUGAUUAGAUUUGCGUUCACUACACUAAUCCUUAGCAAAUAAACUAACUUAAACAGUGGCCAGUUGUCUAAUUUAAUUAAAUUCACUAGAUUAAUUAUUCGGGUUAAUUUAGACUUGCAAUAGUUAACUAAUUUGGUCCUUUAAUUAACUUNUUUGUUGAUGGUCAUCACAAGCUCACACAUGAAUUUACUCAAUUUUCUUAUUAAUUCUAGUUUCAUGUUCAUUAAUCCUAGACAUAUGACAAAGUGGUCACAUAGCAUAUGAGGUUGAUAAUCAAUAGAUGUUCAUGCUAUUCAAUUACCUUCCUAUUAAUAGAAAAUUAAUUAUCAUUCACACACAAGGUUCUUUAGCAAGCUAAAAUAACAAAAAUCACUAACUUUAAAUUAAUCCUACCAAUAAUCAAACCAUAGUAUCAAUUUUGUAUCCCCAAACAGAAGUUUAAGAGUUUUAGCUCAUGAUUGAAGUAAAUUACAGCAAACAAACAGAUUUUAAUUGUUUAACCAUUAUGAAAAAUAAAAAAUUAAGUAGAAUGAUGAAAUUUGCCUCAAAUCUCCUUCGGAAUUGGAUUCUAGCUUGUAUCUUCGUCCUCUAGGUUUUUUCUGACUCUUCAAUCGCAGCUAACCUCUCCAGAAUCGUUCCAGAAUUCCUCCCCAUCGUUCUCAGAAGUUAUCUUUAUAUAUGCAAAACGACUCGUCGAGUCAGAUGCCGACUCGUCGAGCCCAUCUCUAAGUCCCCGUAUGCGAUAAGUCUCUAGGUCUCCGAGUCUUUAUCUUCUCGAAUAUUCGCUUGGGCUCGCCGAGUAGUUGACCCUACUCACCGAGUAUGUGUUGUUUUUAGUGUUUUUCUUCUUUGUUCGAUUCCCGAGCUCUCAACCGCUUCUCCUGCUUCCUUUUGCUUCCGAGCUUCACUUUUGGACUGAAAACAUAAUUCAAACACUUUUAAGUACCUUUUGUCCAUGAAAUGCAAUAAUUUAGCUAAUAAAUGAAUAAAAAUCUACACUUAAUAUGAACUAAAUAUGCACAUAUCACUUUCCUUAGAUUCAUAGUCUCUCCAACCAAAAUUCCUAGAUAAUUGAAUGGGAUGGAUGAAGGUUCACAUCCAAGAGGAGCUGCCCAAUUUAUUACUUCCAUGUGGGUAGCUCCUAUCCCAUACACCUUCGAUUUCCUAAAGUUCACCUUUAGCCCCGAUGAUACACAGAAGCACCUUAAUAUCCGGGCCAAGUUUGCAAUAUUUCGCCUUGACCAUUAGCCUAUAAACAGUGUGUCAUCUGCAUAGAAUAAAUGAGACAAACAUUGAUUAGAUUGUGAAAAUUUGAUGCCUUCGAAGAUUCCUUUUUCCACAACUGUCUUCAUCGCCUGAUUUAAUCCUUCAAUCACAAUGAUAAAAAGAAAUGGGGAGAGUGGAUCUCCCUGUCUGACACCUUUUGACAUAGAGAACUCCUUGGUCGGACUGUCGUUGAUCGACUGGGAAGGAGAACUAAGCAUUCCUUAUAAGGGGUGUGGAUACCUUCCCUAUCACAACGCGUUUGAAAACCGUGAGGGAAGCAGAUCCCAUAGGAACUCUGCAGUUAAGCGUGCUUGGGCGCGAGUAGUACCAGGAUGGGUGACCCCCUGGGAAGUCCUCGUGCCGAGUGGCCCAAGACGAACAAUAUUGUGAUACGUGCCAGAGGGGAAUGUUACAAAUGGUAUCAGAGCCAGCGCACAGUUCGAUGUGUUCGACGAGGACGUCGAACCCUAUAAUGGGGGGUGAAAGUGGGUUAGAUUUGAUCCCACAUCGGCUGGGAAGGAGAACUAAGCAUUCCUUAUAAGGGGUGUGGAUACCUUCCCUAUCACAACGCGUUUUAAAGCCGUGAGGGCAGCAGAUCCCAUAAGAACUCUGCAGUUAAGCGUGCUCGGGCGGGAGUAGUACCAGGAUGGGUGACCCCCUGGGAAGUCCUCGUGCCGAGUGGCCCAAGGCGGAAAAUAUUGUGAUAUGUGCCAGAGGGGGAUGUUACAGUAUAUAGCCAUGUUCAUACGUACCAGUUAAAUUACUAGUAAGCUAUUGACUAUCCUACACCUUGCUGCUUGCUACAGCCGGACGUCAUUUCUUUCUACAUAUAGAUCAGUUAAGUCUUGGUAGAAGACUCCCUGUUAUAGUAGUAGGAAUCAUAGGGAUUUCUAGAGUUUUUCAAACGUUUACAGUUGUUUUACAUACAUUUUCAAUACUUACGAUUUACAUACAUUUUCAAUACUUACAAAUUCUUACAUACAAAUUCUUACAUACAAAUUAAGACACUAAAAUACUUAUGAUCUCACCAGCUUCAAAGUUGAUACUCGCUUUCAAAAUUACUUGUAUCCUCAGGUCAAACAUAGACAGGUACCGAUGCAAGGUUUAGAGAAGAUGGAGCUCGUUCAAGACUCAUCUUUCAUUUUGAUUUAUGCCUUAGUGUUUAUCAAAAUUUGACAGAACACAGUUGUAUAAUAAUUAUAUUAUUAAUGCAAUGGAUGAUGUUGCUGCUUGUUUACUACUUUUCAUUGUUGUGAUAUUGUACAUGACGUCCUCCGCCCCAGAACGUUUCCGCGGUUCUUGGUUUUGGGGUGUGACAAGCCCUCAGUAAGAGUCUAGCAUACCAACUGGUCCUCAGAUCAUAUCUGGAAUGCUACUAAUCCCCCAGUAUGAGUCUGGCAUGCCCCAUCCGAGACUCAACUCAUAUCUGGAUUUCUCCGAUACCCUCAACCCCUUAGUACGAGUCUGGCAUACCAAUCGGGUCCUCAGCUCGUAUCUUGAAUGCACCUGAGCCCUUAGUAUGCGUAUGGCAUGCCCUAAUCAGCUCUUAGCUCAUAUAUGGAAUGCUCCAGGGUUUGUUGGCUACAGAACGAAGCAGUACAACCUCAACCCAACACAAUAUGUCGACAAAUAACCAACAUAUACAGAUAAUCAUGCACACAUAAUCAUAGGUACUCCUAUAGAUCUACCAUACUAACAUAUCGGCAACUAGCAUACUCAUGCAGAUCUAUUCCAUACUCAGAAUAUUAGUGAAUUGUAGGAUAACAAACCAAUACACCGGCAUUGGUGCCUUCGACUCGUAAAUAUAGUGAGGAAAAAUCACAUCGCACUGCUGAACAUAAAGACGAUCCAUGGUUGAUGGCUGCCAGAUCCCCGAACCGCCAAUAUCAAGACAACACCCCAUCACAGCUGAUCCCAUGAAUAAUUUCUGACUACAGAACCACUAUGAUCCACGUGCUAUCAAAUACUACAAUGACAACCCAUCAAUAGACCUGGCAAUGGAGCGGGUUUGGAGCGAAUCAGCCUUGAUCCAAACCCUUUUAACAAAUUUCAAAAUCCGAUCCAAACCCGCUCCGUAACCCACAGGGUUUUAAAUAAUCAGACCCAUACCUUUAUCCGCCGAAUCAACGAAUAUUCAAGCCCGCCCCAUAACCCAAAGUUUUUUUAAAUAAUCAAACACAUUUUAAUAAACUCCUAAAAUAAAAUUUCUUAAAUAAGAAACUGUAUACUAUAUCUUAAUACUUAAAAUAACAUUUUUUUAAAUAAAAAAAAUUGAUUUAGAAAAGGACAUUACAUACUCGAAGAAUUUCAAUCGGAAUUAAAAAUCACUAUUGCAACAACUUUGAAUUGAUUUAUGACUGUUGGUUGUAGUGAUAGCGAAUUGCAAUUGCCAUCUUUUUUCAUGUUAAAAAUUGAUUUAUUGAAUUAGAAAUGGAUAUGAUGAUUUCUUGAUGCAAAUAAAUUAAAUGACAUUAUGAUUCUUGAUAGAAAUCUAUAAGUUUAGAAUCUGAAUUAUCGAUUCCUAUGUAAAAGCAUUUUUUUUCUUUGGCCUUUGCAUUUUGGACUUUUGAUUGGUAUUAAAAUUAAACGUUAAGAAGUAUAAAAUAUAAAUAUAUAAUUCUAAAUUUAUAUGGGGCGAGUUAUAAAUGGAGCGGAUCGGUGAUGAUCCAUACCUGACCCAUUUAAUAAAAGGGCUAGUGGGAAUGGAUCGUUAACGGGUAAACGAAUCAAAAACUACACUCCAAACCCAUAUAAUUCUUACGAGUUUGGAUCGGAUUAGGGUCAAAACCCACUUCAUUGCCAGGUCUACCCAUCAACCUUUAGCCCCUGACUCACGUUAUGAGUGAAAAUUAGGGUAAAAGACCUUUUUAUCCUUCUUAAGCUUGGCCCGAAGCCAAGGCCCAACUAAAUGGUUAAUGGCCCAAAAUCCAAAAUAGACUUCUAAGGCCCAAAUAUGGCCCAAUUUUCCAAAUUGGGCCCAAUUCCUUUCUUGGGCCUUCAGCUAAGAAAGUCCAUCAAAACAAAAGCCCAAACCAUAAAAUCUAGAUGGCCUAACAUGGCCCAAGACAAUCCGAGCCCAAAACCGGAGCCAAAAAUGAAGGCCCAAUAGUACCGCAUACGCGGGGAGUACUCCAAAGGCACACUUAGCGUACAUGAGGCUGCGUAGAAUCCACCAUUGGGGUGGCAGAUUGGGUAUGCGGGGCGUACACCUCCCUACGCGGGGCGUACCCUCUUAAAACUCAAUUUCUUCAUAACUGCUUAAUGGCUUAGCAUUUGAGCUCAUACUUCAGAUCCAAGGUCCAGAGCCAUACUAUGGCCAUAAAAUUCCCAACUUUAUGAAUUUCCACGUCCAAAAAGUCCUUAAUGAAAGGUCUUAAUGGAUUAAUACUUUCUACAAGAAGUAUGGAGAAAAACUAGCUAAGGUGAUCUCACUUUUAUGGCUUAGAACCCCUCUUAGGGUCUGAAAGGACAGCCCAAAAUGACCAAAACCAAACAUGCAUAACAAUGGGACUUUUGGGACAAAAAGAACAUCAUAAUGCUACCAAAAUGAGAUCCAAGCAAACAAAGCAUAAAGGUAGAAACUUUUUACCUUCUGGAGCUUCCCAAGAAGAUGAUGAUCCAAGAUCCACAAGCUUGCUUCAACUACUAAUCUCCUUGAUGCAACUCCUUCUUCCUUAAGAACACAAAGAACACACUUUUAGCUCAAAACACUCUCUUAUUGGGUUAGGGUUGCCAAAAAUGACUCAAGGGUGUGGAGGCUGAAAAGAUGAGGCUAAAUGAUCUAUAAAGGUGAUUAAAUACCCCACAAACCCUAAAACUUAGGGUUUUUUCUAACAAGAGUACACCCAUCGUACAUAUGAGUACGCCCAACAUACUAGGGUACACCCUAGUAUGCUUAGCGUAUGCACAUGUACGCUUAGCGUACCACUCCUUCUCCCAAAAUUACGAUUUUUCCAAUAGGGCUUCUUGCGACCACUUCCUUCCAAAACAAGGACCAAAAUGGUAUACUCUAAAGCCAAGAGAUGAAUUUGAAAAUGCCUGAAAACUGGGGCAUUACAGGUUGGGAGUUCGGAAUACAUGUCGCCAAUGAUGCAUUAUAUUGUUGCAAGUAUUCUUGCAUUUGUUGUGCAUUAGAUUGGGAUUGAGAUUGGAAAGAUGUGGAAGUUGAAGCACAUUUAUUUGGAAUUAGACCGAAGUUGGUGACUGGUCUCCUACCCACUACGCGAGCCUGCCCUUGUCUCGUCCUGAGGGCACGUGCAAGCCAUUCUUCCUCAUCUACUUCUUCACCUUACCCGACCCCGCUUUGCAUUUUCUCGUAUUUAUCUUGAAUCUUCUUCUAAAAUAAACAAGAUAAUAAACAUACGAUAAUUAAAACAAACAACUAAACUUAAACAUUAAAAUAAUAAUAAUAUACCUUAGACAUAAACUAUAAUUAAUAAUAAUAACAUAUUUAACUAACGUAUUAAUUUCGCUUAUGACUUACCUAAUCUUGUUGUGCUCGACUUGUACACCAACCCUAGCCUUCUUUGUAGCGCAUUUGUCUCCAACCCUCAAUAUGUUGCGGCUUCAGUCCUAGUUUUUCCUGUAAUAUGUAAAAAACAAUAAAUAUAUUUAUACGAGUGAUAGUAACAUUUUUAAAUAAUACUAAUAUACUUUAUUACUUUUAAAUGACGUCGUUGAGCAUACGACCUACAUCCAUGAGAACUUGUGUCCGGAAGUUUAAUUCGACCUAGUAACUUUAUUUUUGGCCGAUGUGUGUAUAUAUUCAUCAGUAAAAAACAACAUGCCAAUCGUCUUAUUCUAAGCUUUGGCAGACCAAUCAAUCUGUGGAUGUUUUUUUGUCCUUUCCACAUCCGCAUAUCCACCAGCUUUUUCAAAAUGAUUUUCCAUGUCAUGCUUGCAAUCUCGAUAAGCUUUUUGCAUACUAUCUUGGGUACCCGCUCGAACGGGUUCCCACAACUCUGUGCCCUAGUGCAUAUCGGGAUCAAAAUAAGUCUGCAAAAAAUACAUAUUUGAUUAGUAAUAAGAAAUAUUUAAUAAGUGUAAAAUUCAAUACAUAUAAAAUAUUUUGUAUAUACUUACUUCUAGCUCGAGAUAUAAAUUAUCUUCGUACUUGGUAGAAACAUGGCGCCAAGAAUGAUAAUGCAACAGUACCUCUGAUCCCACCAGAUUUGAGAUCAAUCUAACAAAUAAGUGUCUGUUGUCCCGCACGAAUCGAUACGUCCUCCUGGAGGUAUCAAGGCUCACAACCAAAGGAUUACUACCUUUAUCUUCAUACUCAUCGUACAAUUUUAAGUUUCUCCAUCUGCCAUGUACAUUCACAUUCUUCACUUUUGUUACAUUUACACAUAGAAUUGGAAAUUUAGAAAUUUAAAUCCAAUACUUAAUAUUUUCAUGUAACUUACAUGAUUGGCAACCCGAUGGUAAACCAUGUGUGACCAUGUGUGGGGCUCUAUCACCACUGUCUCCUCCAUGUUACCUCAUGACUUCUGCCAUUUAUUUAACAAAUAUUAUAAACAUUCAAAAUCUAUAAUAAAGCUACUUAUAAAUAGGCAAAAUUUAAAAACUUAACACAUAUUAUAAACAAUCAGGAUAUAUAAUAACCGUAACAUACCAUCAAUGAGAAUCAUCACUAGAACAAUAUAACAUCAUCAUCGUUAUCAUAGUCUUUGUUAUUUAUUUCUUCUUCUGAAGAGUACGUAUCCCCACCAUCAUCGUCAUCGUUAAUUGUCACACCCCUGAACCAGACGACGGAAACGUCUGGGGGCUCGUGUGACUAACAAUUGAAUUAUCAUCACAAUGAAUAUACAUGAAACAUUACACAUUCAUCACCAACAUUACAUAUUACAACCAGCAUUGUUCACAGCAAGUACAUUGUUAAAGAUUACAUAAAUUCAAAGUAUUAAUAGUAAGAUAGGUGAUGUUACACAAAAUAAAUCGAUACACUUGAAAAUCUUCCUGCUUAACGAUUACCUGAGAAUACCAGUUAUUUUGAAAAACGGUCAACAUAUAUAAUGUUGGUGAGUUCAUAAGUAUGUGUGAAUAAAAGUCUUUGCAUCUUUUGUAAAAACCUAGAAAAUCUGAUAUUUUCUGUAAAAUGUCUUAAAAUGAUGUGAAAAUCAAGUAUAAAUGCAUGUGUGAAUUUCAUAGCAAUAACAUAUAUGAUUUCAGUUUAAAUUUCUUUGUAUUUUAAGUAAGUGAUAAAUGAAUAAUAGUAUUUCCCUAGAAAAUCUGAGUAUUUCCUGAUUUAUAAUAAUGUCGAGGUUCUUGUAUCAUUAAUUAAGUUGUUUCGUAUUGACACAAUCGAAGGGUUAAUCUUCGAAAUGUCAAAUUGGUAUUGGAUCUCUAUAUGAGCAGUUAUAACCAUGUAUGAUAAUGACUAGGUUGUCUUUCUUGGCAUUUUCCAAACGUCGGUAUUUGCUCAAGGUUUUGUCGCCCAAGACUGGCCUAGUCUAGUUGUAGCGAACAACUAAGGCGUGGGGGGUCACCCCAUAUAGAUCUAUACACAAACUCCCGCUCUCCCUCCAGGAAACUCUGGUUAUAACUACAGACUACGAUUGUACACUCAGAGGUGUCAACCGACAUGUCUCACUAGAUUCUCAACUUUUCAUACCAUGUUUAAUGUUUACGUGAAUGUUGUAUGUUUUCAAAUCCAAAGGUAUAUAUAUAAGUAUACGAACUUUAGGGCUGGCAAUUGUUGACACGAUACGCGACACGACAUGAAAUAAAUGGGUUUGGGUUGAGUUUUUCAACCCGCCAACCCGCUAACCCGUCAACCCACCAACCCGUUUAUUAAACGGGUCAUAUAUGGGUUUCUCAAAAAAUAAACGGGUUGACCCGCCAACCCGUUUAUAUUCUUAAUAAAAAAAUUAUUAUAUUUUUAAAUGUAUUUAUGUAUCAAGUAUUAAUAUUUAAUAUGUAUUAUAUAAUAUAUACCAUUUAUUCAUAGACCAUUUGAUUGUUUUGACAUUAUUACUCGUGGUGGAUGGUCUAAGGUCAUAAGUCGUAACCUAUAAGACUAAGUCUGUAACAUGUUUCUAUGAAUGUUUUUAAUUUUCAUUUGGAUGUUUAAGACUUAAAUAUCUAAAAUUUAGACCCACGAACCCAAAUCUGACCCACGAACCCGCCAACUUGUCAACCCGUAUAAAUAAAUGGGUUGGUGGGUCAUAUAUAGGUUUAAGUUCCAAACCCGCCAACCCGUGACCUGUAUAUUUAAAUGGGUCGUCAUUGGGUUGGCAUAUUUUGACCCGCCAACCCGCCAACCCGCGACACGCCAACUCGAACACAACACGAUUGCCACGCCUAACGAACUUCAAGAAUUAUGUAAAGGUAUAGUUACAAUCUACUAAGCAUGUGAAUUUCAGUCCAAGCCCAACUAGCAUGUAAAUGGACCACAAAGGUCCAAUGACAUGUAAGAAGGUAAUUUAGACCCAAUAGGCAUGUAAGUGGACCACCAAGGCCCAACAAACAUGUAACCUAUAGCUCAGGCCCAAAUUAACAUGUAAAUGGGUCGCAAGGCCCAAUAAACAGGUCAUUGAAAAUAUUGGGCUCAAUAUAUACUUGAAUGGGCCCUUAAGGCCCAUUGGCCAUGUAAUGUGAAUAUUAGGUCCAAUAAAAUUAUUAUCGAUGUAUUUCGUCAAUUCGUUAUUAUUUCAUGGUUUGCUUUAGCUCGAUGUUUACCGAAUUAAAUAUAAAAGUCCCCUUUUUGUAUAAACGACGUUCUUGGCCAAUAAGACUAAAAUUUUGAAUUAAGGCCCAAAGUUUUGUAAAAAUUAACACUUUAGUCCAUAAUGUAUAAAAAUUUGUAAUUUUGCCCCAAAUGUUUAGAAAUUUACGGAUCUAGUCCAAAAAAUUAUAUUUUGACAUUUAUGGCCCAGUUUCGCAGAAUAUUACAUUUUCAGACCCUUGUUUGUAAAAAUGACACUUUUGACCCAGUUUUUAUAAAAGUUACAUUUUUGGUCCAAUUUAGAAAUAUAUGUUAUUUUUACCCCUAAAUUUGGUUUAUUUACAUUUAUGACUAAAACUUUGGUCAAAUAACAUUUUUAAUCCCAAAACUUCCAUUUUUUCGCAAAUUUGGCCCCAAAACCGUGAGGCCCAAAUAUUCAGCCCAUUAGGCUAAAAUUUACGUUUUUGGCCCUUUGGAAAGCAUGUUUAUCAUAAAAAUCCCUUUUUAUACAAACAGGACCUGUUUGGUCCUUUAAAAACCGUAAAUGUCACUUUUUUCCCUUAUCUUUUGUUUUCUUGACAGUUUUGACCCUUAACAAGGUUUUUGCUUUAAAUUUUUGUAUCUUAAACAUAUAAACACUUUUAACUUGAUAAUAUGAUGUAUAAGGUGUUUUAGUGUUGGAUUAAUGUCUAAGUUUAUAACUAUAAUUGGUAAGACUUGACCCGAUCCGGCAUGGUCCAUUUGGGUUGCAUGGCAUCAUGCACUUGGAUAGACUAUAAUGAGAGAAAUAAGACACUUAUGGUUAUUAAUAUAUUAUAAGUUCUAGUAUAUUAAUAAUAAGAAUAAUAAGAUUAUUUAAUUAGUAUUGAUCAAGAAUUAAUCUAGGAUUAAUUAAGUGAUCAAAAGAAGACUAAUUAAAUAUAUGGGUUGAUUGUGUAAAUCAUCCAUACUUAUAUAGUGGGCUAAUGCUCCAUGGAUAAUCAAGUUGGGCUAAAACCCAUAGGAUGGUCCAUGGAUGCUCCAUGGUGUAUUUGAACCCAUGGAUCCAAGGAAAUGGAAAGUCAUGACAAUUAGGGUUUACCCUAAUUGUAACACUAUAUAAAGAUCUUAUUAUUGACCAAAAUCGGCCACUAGAAUCAUUCUAGAGAAGGGCUAGCCGAUUUCAUGUAGUGUAGAUUUCUCUCAAGUUAUUCCAAGUGUAUUUGGUGUUGUGUGAACCAUUUGAGGUGUCACACUUGGGGCACUAGACACUCAAGCUUCAUGAAGACUUUCUACAUCAAAGAAGUAUGUAUUCUAUCUUGUUACAUUCAUUGUUUUGUAUGCUAGAUUAGGAUAAUACCUUGGAAGUUCUUAUUUGCAUGUAUAAUAGAGAAAACAUAGAUCCAAGGUAUUUAGGGUUGCAUGUACACUUAGGAGUGUUAGAAUGCUCAAAACCCAACAGUGGUAUCAGAGCCUAGGCUUGUUUUCUUGUUAUACUUGCAAAAGAAGCUGAAAAAUCGAGUUUUGAUGCUGUCUGCCCAGCAGACUCGCCGAGUCCAUGAAUGGACUCGCCGAGUCCAAGGCAAAAUGCAUCCAACUCGCCGAGUUGGUUCGUGCACUCGACGAGUUGGACCCCCAGACAGCAUAAAUUCGACUUUUUUGGCUGGAAUUGGACUAGGAACAUUACCCUAAGAUGUUUUUGGACUUAUAAACUUGUUUUUGAUGUGGUAAUGUUCAUGCUAAUCCAAUUUCAAAGAUAAUUGUCAAUAGAUUCAUGUUUUGUAUUAGUUUAAGGUUUAGACUAAUUACAUGAAAAAGUUUGAUUUGAAUUAUCUUGUUCUUAUGAGUUGCUUAGAUUAAUAGAAAAGUUGAGUGAAAUAGUUGUUUUCAAUCCAAAUUAAUCUAAGAGUUGAUUCUAAAAUGUGUUUUUGUAACUUGUCCUCAAGUUAUAUGAAAAGUCACAUUUAAGUUUCAUAAAACUCAUAAAAGUUGGCAAAGGUUACAAAAUGAAGAGUCUAGUUCUAAUUAAAUGGUUUUAUGACUCCAUAACUUGUCCUCAAGUUAUGGAGGACCAAGAGUCUCUUCAUUAAAUAAUAAAUAAAAAAAAAAAGUAACCUUAAUUAAUUCCAUAAGUUAUAAAAUAAAGAAAAGUUAAUUCUUUUAUUAGUUUAAAGUCUUCCAUAACUUGUCCUCAAGUUAUGGAACUUGAAGAGUUUUUGGAUUAAAACUACUUUAAACACAUAAGUUAUGGAAUUAAUUAGUUUUGAAUAGUUUCAAAACUUGCCCUCAAGUUUUGGAAUUUGAAAAGUUUUCACUUAUGAAUACUUUAAUUCCAAGUUAGCCCUUAGAAUUUUAAAAGUUAAAAUUCAACCCUUAUACUUUAUAAUAUUAUAAGUUAAUAAUAUAUAUAUGUAUAAGAGUAAAGUCAGUCUUACCGCUAGUACGCCUCAUUCACGAAGCCGGUCUAUAAGGUGGGUAUAAGGUUGUUGCCUAUAAAAUGGCAACUUAAUGGGUGUCCACUCUCACCCACCGCUUGCUUGACUGGUGGAGGGUCGUUAGCCGAACGGGUUUGACAGGACUAGAAUUCUCCCUUCAUUAAAAGUAUUAAUGAUAAUACUAAGUAACUAAACUCUUAAUAAUACCCAAUCUUAGUUACUUAGGAAAAAUGUGAAUAAGGUGCUAAUCCAUGAAAUUACACUUUGCACUUUGUUUAAGUCGGUUAGUGGAGCGUGUGUGGUUAACCGGCACACUAACUCGUAUUUAACAAGGUAGGCAAAGGGUAACUUAAUGUUUAUCAUAGUAUCGAUGGAGCGUGUGUGGUUAACCGGCACAUCGAUUGAGGGGUAAACACUUAAGGGUACCAAGUAAUUUGCAUGGUUACUUCACACCUUGUUUUGUGAUCCUCGGCAUCCCAGUCACAAAACCUGAAGGGCACACUCGAGAUUGAAACAUGCCAUUGAACAGUUCAAUGAAUCUCAAAGAUCUAGGAGUUUCAAAACCAAUUAAAACCUAAUAAUACAUUUCGUUUAUCUUGGUGGAAAUUGGUGAAUCGUCAUUCACCUACCUUCAAAUAUUUUAUAGCUUGGAUUACGGCAUACCUCUUCUAAGUUAUAAAAUAGUUUGUUGGGUCCUAGCCUUAAUAUUUCAUAUUGGGUGUCAUAUUAAGGACUUUAAAUCAACUAUCUUGAAUAUCUCCCAAAAGAUGUCUGGUUUAGACACCUAUGAUCUUCCCAAAUCUCUUGAAACAAGGUUUCCUAAUGAAGAUGAUGUCCCAUGGAUAUCAUACUUCUUCACCUCUUCAAAUUAUUCUCCCUAACCCACAAGUUCUUGAAAAGUUUAAGGUCACUCAGGCCCUAUUGGCAAGGCAAGGUCUAGGUGUGAUCACAUCUUGGAGAUGUAGUCACAUAUUGACAAGCCGGGAGAGUUGGGUGUCAAAGUCUUGAGAAAGUUGGUGGUUCAAUCACUUUCUAAGUCACAUAGUGAGUUCCUUUGGGACACCUAUGAAACAGACUAUGACAAGACCCUUAAUGAUCUUAUCUAUUUGAUAAGAUCAACUUCCUAAAACUUUAUGGACAUUGACAAUGAUAACAUUGGAUAUCUAGUAAAGCUCUCUCUUCCCAGUGGAAAGGGAUCAGCCAUAGUCAACUGGGUUGACCAAAAUGGUAAAGAGAAAAGCUAAGUCUGUGAUAGUCCCGUGUACCAUUAUCAAAGGGUCCAUAUGUUUAUAUUGCCAAAGGAAGGGGGAUUGGUUGCGAAGCUGCCAAAUUUACCUAAAGAUGUUAAAGUCAAUAAGUUUGACUCUACUUCAUGUAAAGUCCACUAUCUAACUCUGUUAAGUUUCUAUUCUGAGAUUCCUGAUACAUGAUGUGACUGGGUCACAUGGUGAUGUUUUAAGAAUCGGAGCAUAUCCUCGAGUGUCUGGAUGGUGCACUCACUCUGACCAUCCGUCUGUGGGUGGUAGGCAGUGCUCAUAUCUAGCUGUGUUCCCAUUGCCUUCUGAAGAUAUUGCCAGAAACUUGAAGUGAAUCUGCUAUAUCGAUUUGAGAUAAUAGAUAUUGGCACUCCAUGGAGUCUCACAACCUCCUUGAUGUAGAUUCGGGUCAGCUUUUCCAUCUUGUAAGAUUCUUUUAUUGGUAGGAAAUGAGCGGAUUUUGUUAAUCUAUCCACGAUUACCCAAAUAGCAUCCAAUCCGUCUGCUAUCUUUGGCAAUUUUGUCACAAAGUCCAUGGUAAUCCUCUCCGAUUUCCACUUGGGUAUCACUGGUUGUUGCAGUAGUCCCGAGGGCUUUUGGUAUUCCACUUUCACUUUGGCACAAGUAAAACACUUGCCCACGAAAGUGGCUAUCUCUGCCUUCAUAUUAGGCCACCAAUAUUGUUGCUUGAUAUCCAAAUACACCUUAUCUGACGCCGGAUGAAUAGAAUAUCGCGUCUUGUGGGCUUCAUGCAUGACUACUUCUUUGAAUCCCUUAAAUUUGGGAACCCAGAUUCUAUUCAUGAAGUAGUGAGUUCCAUCGUCUUUAACUUCGAGCACCUUCUCCAUUCCACGUAGUGAGUCACUAGCGACAUUCUCUGGCUUCAAUGGUUCCAAUUGGUCUUCCUUGAUCUGUGAGGCUAGAUGAGAUUGGAUGGUGAUUGAUAGAGUUUUCACACGACGACUUGAAUACUCCUUUUGGAUCAAGGCAUCGGCUACCACGUUAGCCUUGCCUGGAUGAUAUUUGAUCUCACACUCAUAAUCAUUUAACAGCUCAACCCAUCUCCACUGCCUCAUGUUUAGUUCCUUUUGAUUUAGAAUGUGCUGGAGGCUCUUGUGGUCUGUAAAGAUGGUGCACUUGGUACCAUAUAGGUAGUGCCUCCAAAUUUUCAAGGAGAAGACCACCUCCCCCAAUUCGAGAUGUUGAGUAGUAUAAUUUACUUCAUGUGUUUUCAAUUUUCUAGAUGCAUAUGCAAUUACCUUCCCGCGUUGCAUAAGGACACAACCUAAACCAUGAUUCGAAGCAUCAUAGUAAAUUAUGAAGUCUUUAAUUCCCUUCGGUAAGGAUAACAAUGGAGCACUACAGAGGGCUUGCUUCAAGGUUUGGAAGGCGAUCUCUUGCUUCUCAGUCCAGUUGAAAGGUACGCCUUUCUGUGUCAAUGUGGUGAGGGGUUUGGCUAUCUUAGAAAAGUUCUGAAUGAAUCUUCGGUAGUAGCCCACAAGACCCAAAAAUUGGCGAAUUUAUGUUGGCGUUGUUGGAAUUUCCCAGUUUUUGAUUGCUUUGAUCUUUGAAAGAUCCAUGUGUAUUCCUUCCUAACUAACUACAUGGCUUGGAAAGUUUACACUGCGGAGCCAGAACUCACACUUGGAGAGUUUCGUAUACAACUUUUCAGCUCGAAGGGUCUUCAAGAUCUGUUGGAGAUGUUGACUAUGCUCUUCUUUGCUUCGAGAGUAUAUGAGGAUAUCAUCGAUGAAAACGAUCAGGAAUUUGUCAAGGAAUGGGCGGAAGACUCGAUUCAUGAGGUCCAUAAAUGCAGUGGGGGCAUUUGUUAGACCGAAGGGCAUCACGACGAAUUCGUAAUAACCGUAACGGGUUUGGAAAGCAGACUUAGGAAUGUCCUCAUCUCGGACCUUGAGUUGAUGAUAACUGGAUCUUAGAUCUAUCUUUGAAAAGUAACUAGCCCCUUGAAGCUGGUCAAAUAGAUCAUCGAUUCGUGGAAGUGGAUACCGGUUUUUGAUGGUGAGCUUAUUUAGUUCCCUAUAAUCAAUGCACAUCCUGAAGGAUUCGUCUUUCUUUUUAACGAAAAGAAUCGGAGCUCCCCAUGGAGAGAAGCUUGGUCUUAUGAAUCCUUUAUUCAAGAGUUCACUUAGUUGGCUUGACAAUUCAUGCAUUUCAGCGGGAGCCAACCUAUAGGGUGAUUUGGCUAUUGAAGUGGCUCUAGGCACUAGGUCGAUUCAGAAUUCGAUUUGUCGUUCUGGGGGUAUUCCUGGAAGCUCUUCUAGAAACACAUCCGGGAAGUCACAUGCCACUGGGAUGUUUUGAAUGUUCGCUUCCUCUUUGGUAUUAUCCACCACAUGAGCAAGGAAUGUGUAGUUCUUCUUUUGUAGACACUUUUGUGCCUUGAUACACGAGAUAAGGUAAAGGUUUGCACCGGGUUUAUCUCCGUAGAUUAUUAGGGUUUCGUGAUUAGAAAGAUGAAAGUGAAUGACCUUCUCGUGACACAUAAUAUCGGCAUGAUGGGGGCUUAACCAAUCCAUGCCGAUGAUGACAUCAAAACUCCUAAUAUUUACUGGCAUCAAAUUUAUUUGGAAAAAGUGGUUGUUUAGUGUUAACGUACAUCCUAUAUAGAUAUCUUUGGUUGUUUCAGUGUUCCCAUUAUCCAUUUCCACCGUGAAGGAUUCGUUGAGCUUCUGGGGUUGUUGAUUUAGAAAGUAUUUGAAUUUAUUACUAACGAAACUUCGCUCCGCCCCACUAUCAAAUAAGAUGCAUGCAUACGAGUUGUUAAGUAGGAACGUACCGAUGAUAACAGCUGGGUCCUACACUGCUUCAUCCUAACCCAUUGUCAACACUCUCCCUGCUGCUCCUGCCCCUUGAUUGUUUGCGUUGGGGAAAUUUCUCCUGAAAUUCCCGGUUUUCCCACAUACGUAACAGGUAUAAUUGGCCCCAACAUUGGUGUUGUUGUUAUUGUUGUUGUUGUUGGUGUUGUUGUUGUUGUUGUUUUUUGGCAUCUGGUUUUGUUGAAGCUGAGUCCUGCAAUACUUUGUUGUAUGGCGUUUCUGGUUGAACCUUGCGCAAAUCAUCUCUCUGUAUUCCCCAUGAUGGUGGAAGUUGCAUUUGUUACACUUGGCGAGAUUUCCUGAAUACUGCUUUGGAGCAUUUGGCGUGGAUGAGGCUGGAGCAUGGGGUGUGGUGGUAGCUUGAGUUACAGCAUGGACAGUCACAGUUUGUUGCUUCUUAGAUGAUUCUGAGUUAUGUUUUCCAUUUCUCUUGUUGUUUAUCCCUUUCUUUCUCUCUUCUUCCUUCUUAACCUCCGCUUCCACUGUUUUGGCACGCUUCUUAUUUCCAUGAUCAUACGAUUUCUUGUCCAGUCUCUUGGCGCUAUCAAACAUCUCAGGGUUUUGCUGCAAUAACAUUCCCUUAGAUAGGUGCAGUCAAUCCCUAGAUAAACCUAUCAAUCUUUUUCCCUUCUAAGGUGAUCAUUCCGGGACACAAAAGAGAUAGCUCACUAAACCUAGAUAUGUAUGCGGUUAUAUUGGAGUUUUGAACUGUGAGGUUCCACAACUCUUGUUCCAUCUUCUGAAUUUCACCUCCAAGACAGUAUUCUGCCAACAUCAUUUCCUUAAGCUCUUCCCAGAGCAUCGCGUUCGCUACCGGGAGUGUCAUGGCCUCUACAUGCCCAUUCCACCAGGAGAUGGCUUGAUCAAUGAAUUUGCAGGUUGCGAACAUGACCUUACACUCAUCUGGGCACCCACAGAUUUCAAAAAUGGAUUCUACUUUCUCGAUCCAUCGCUUCAGGGCUAUUACGCCUCCUGUCCCAUUAAAGGUUCGAGGUUUGGCAUUGGUGAAGUCCUUGUAGGUGCAUGUUCGUGUGGCUCCAUGGAUUGUUCCUUGAUUUGUGCUUCCGUUUCCCUGUCGGUUGCCUUCUCUAUUGUUUCCAUUGCGAAUCUGCACAAGUGUUGUAGUGACCGCAACAGACAAUGUUGCCUGGAAUGCAACCGAGAUUAUUUUCGGCGGGUUUGGUGUUGCGUUGUUUCCACGAUUGGGCCUUUGAGGCAUCUUUCUGUCAUGGAACGGAAAGAUGUAGAGUGACUAUUGUUUUGCGAGUUUGGAAUCCCCUAGGCUAGGUGUAUCGAGUGUGUAUUUAAGUAAUUUCAUACAUUAACAUAAAAUAGGGAAGUAAAACACAUAGCAGAUGACAACAUCAUGAUAAAACGUAAAGCAUUUUCAUUAAUACUAAUUGUUUUGAUACAUGAACAUUUGCCAGAAGGCAUACAGUACAUAGGGAAAUAUAAAAUAUGGCAGCAUUACAACCCUAUGAGCAGUGUGAUCACUUAAACAUAGAGUCGAUAGUACAUAGCAUAGUACACAUAAGGGAAACCUAAUAGUAUUAAGAGAUACUACUGGUCCUGAUCAUACUGAGAAGUGCCUAAUGGUGGUGGUGAAAUCAUAUCCCAAAAUGUUAUGCUAAUAACUGAUCCAUCUCGGUCAUCUCUCCGAUGACCUCAUCUUUUUCCUACUCAGUUUGCAUGGCUCGUGCCUCCAUAGCAAAUAGUUGUUGUCGAAGUGUGGCAACCUCCGCUUCCAGAGACCGAUCCUCAUCAACGGGGUUCCCUAGUGGACCAGGGUGGUCCUGGUGUGCCUCAUUGGUAGGUGGUUCGACGGGGGCUUCAUUUUUGUCCCCAUCCUCCUCCAUGUCUUCGUCAGUCCUAUCAAACUCAUAGUCUGUAUUAGUGUACUCGUCGGGCCCAAUGGUAGGGGCUCCUCCUUGUUCCUCCUCGGGAUUCUCCUCAAGCAUCCCAUGUGCCACUAGGGAUUGAUAAAAAUGGACUCCUUGCUGAGCGUCGUCCAUGGUGACUGCAUGAGGGCGUAUGAAUAAGUCAUGUUUUGAUUAUUCCUAUAGUAUAUUUUACUUAUUUAGGUUUGGUUUCCCUAGAGUUGUUGGAGAGUGAGGUAGGCUUUUGGAUUCAUUUCCCGCUAUGAUUACUCCCAAACACAAUUUGGUCAUAUUCUGAAUAAAUAUAGUUGAUCAGGCUAUAUUUAUCCCUAAUAGGACUACAUAACUGCCCAUGUUUAAUUAUAAUGUUCAAUAUCCUCCAAAAGCUUUUAUUAAAUAUUGUUAGGUUAUUAUCCUAAUAUGCGCAUAUAAGUAUGAAAUUUUUGUUUUGUUCACAGUUAUUUAGUCCCAUUGUGUUUAUAGUUGCAUAUCAUGUAUGGUUAGAUAUGCUAGUUCACUAUAAACAUUGCUUUGAUACCAACCUGUCACACCCCCGACCCAGACGGUGGAAACGUCUAGGGGCUCCUGUGACUAACAAUUGAAUUAUCAUCACAAUGGAUAUACAUGAAACAUAACACAUUCAUCACUAACAUUACAUAUUACAACCAGCAUUGUUCACAUCAAGUACAUUGUUAAAGAUUACAUAAAUUCAAAGUAUUAAUAGUAAGAUAGGUGAUGUGACACAAAAUAAAUCCAUACACACUUGAAAAUCUUCCUGCUUAACAAUUACCUGAGAAUACAAGUUAUUUUGAAAAAUGGUCAACAUAUAUAAUGUUGGUGAGUUCAUAAGUAUGUUUGAAUAAAAGUCUUUGCAUCUUUUGUAAAAACCCAGAAAAUCCGAUAUUUUCUGUAAAAUGUCUGAAAAUGAUGUGAAAAUCAAGUAUAAAUUCAUGUGUGAAUUUCAUAGCAGUAACAUAUAUGAUUUCAGUUUAAAUUUCUUUGUAUUGUAAGUAAGUGAUAAUUGAAUAAUAGUCUUUACCCAGAAAAUCCGAUAUUUCCUGAUUUAUAAUAAUGUCAAGGUUCUUGUAUCAUUAAUUAAGUUGUUUCGUAUUGACAAAAUCGAAGGGUUAAUCUUCGAAAUGUUAAAUUGGUAUUGGAUCUCUAUAUGAGUUGUUAUAACCAUGCAUGAUAAUGACUAGGUUGGCUGUCUUGGCAUUUUCCAAACGCCUGUAUUUGCUCAAGGUUUUGUCACCCUAGACUGGCCUAGUCUAGUUGUAGCCAACAACUAAGGCGUGGGGGGUCACCCCAUAUAGAUCUAUACACAAACUCCCGCUCUCCCUCCAGGAAACUCUGGUUAUAACUACAGACUACGAUUGUACACUCAGAGGUGUCAACCGACAUGUCUCACUAGAUUCUCAACUUUUCAUACCAUGUUUAAUGUUUACGUGAAUGUUGUAUGUUUUCAAAUCCAAAGGUAUAUAUAUAAGUAUACGAACUUUAGGGCUGGCAAUUGUUGACACGAUACGCGACACGACAUGAAAUAAAUGGGUUUGGGUUGAGUUUUUCAACCCGCCAACCCGCUAACCCGUCAACCCACCAACCCGUUUAUUAAACGGGUCAUAUAUGGGUUUCUCAAAAAAUAAACGGGUUGACCCGCCAANUGUAAGUGGACCACCAAGGCCCAACAAACAUGUAACCUAUAGCUCAGGCCCAAAUUAACAUGUAAAUGGGUCGCAAGGCCCAAUAAACAGGUCAUGGAAAAUAUUGGGCUCAAUAUAUACUUGAAUGGGCCCUUAAGGCCCAUUGGCCAUGUAAUGUGAAUAUUAGGUCCAAUAAAAUUGCUAUCAAUGUAUUUCGUCAAUUCGUUAUUAUUUUGUGGUUUGCUUUAGCUCGAUGUUUACCGAAUUAAAUAUAAAAGUCCUCUUUUUGUAUAAACGACGUUCUUGGCCAAGAAGCCUAAAAUUUUGAAUUAAGGCCCAAAGUUUUGUAAAAAUUAACACUUUAGUCCAUAAUUUAUAAAAAUUUGUAAUUUCGCCCCAAAUGUUUAGAAAUUUACGGAUCUAGUCCAAAAAAUUAUAUUUUGAUAUUUAUGGCCCAGUUUCGUAGAAUAUUACACUUUCAGACUCUUGUUUGUAAAAAUGACACUUUUGACCCAAUUUUUAUAAAAGUUACAUUUUUGGUCCAAUUUAGAAAUAUAUGUUAUUUUUUCCCCUAAAUAUGGUUUAUUUACAUUUAUGACUCAAACUUUGGUCAAAUAACAUUUUUAAUCCCAAAACUUCCAUUUUUUUGCAAAUUUGGGCCCAAAACCGUGAGGCCCAAAUAUUCAGCCCAUUAAGCUAAAACUUACGUUUUUGGCCCUUUGGAAAGCAUGUUUAUCAUAAAAAUCCCUUUAUAUACAAGUAGAACCUGUUUGGUCCUUUAAAAACCACUUUUUGCCCUUAUCUUUUGUUUUCUUGACAAUUUUGACUCUUAACAACGUUUUUGCUUUAAAUUUUUGUAUCUUAAACAUAUAAACACUUUUAACUUGAUAAUAUGAUGUAUAAGGUGUCUUAGUUCAUGGGUUUUUUACUUAAUGUUGCUUAAGAUGUCGAGACAUGCUAAGAUCUAACAUAUUUUUUACAAAAUAGACUAAGAAAUCACACACGACAUGCAUAUAACACAUAGAUCUACACAUUUUACUUGUAUUCUCCCCCAAAACUAAUAUGAAAACCAAAAACAAGGGGGUAAGAACUCACCUUUGCUUCGAUGUUUCGGUUUUGAAGAAGAAAUGGAAGAAGUUGAUGUGAUUUUUUGCUCUAGCAAGCUCCUUGAGUAGAUUUCGAGCUUAAGAAGUUUCCAAGAGUCUGACCAUGGAAUAAAGCUAUGUAACAAGGAAUUUUUUGAUGUUAAAAUAAAAGGAGAUGUUUGUGUUUGAUAACAACUUACCAAAGAUUGAAAAUGCUUGAUGAAGAUCCUUAAAACUCAAGCAAAAUUUUGAGAUCCUUGGAGAAAGGAGGAUGAUCUUUGAGAGUGUUUGGAGAGGAUUUGAAAGAGUGUGUGUGUGUGUGUGUGUGUGGUUUGCCUCUCGGCCGUGAGUAGAAGAAGAAGGGGGAAAGAGAAGAUGUGAUGGAUACUUAGGAGUAUAAGCUUUGUAUUUGCUUAAUGGGUAAUUAGCUUGGAGAACCACCAUGUAAUUAUCAUGUGUCAAUGCAUGGUAAUUCUCUUAUUUUCCUUUUUUUACAUGUAUAUGAAUGUACAUAUCUAAUGGGCCGAGAAAAAGAAAGAAUGGAGGGGCUUUGGCCUCUUUUUGAUUUGGUUCGAGUUUAUGAGGCCCAUAGAAAGAGGCUUUCGGCCCAUUGGGCCUUUAGGUGUGUUCACGGCCCAUUUCGAAAGAAGAAAGGGUGUUUAUGGCCCAUUACGGCUAAUUAAUUCAUUAAUGGCCUAAUAAGGCCCAUUAAGGAUAAACCAAUUUAUUUUGGACCCAAAAUGGCCCAAAAUGCUAAGUUUCACGGAAGUGGGUCCAAUUAGUGCCCAUUUAAGGGUCCUAAGCCCAAAAUAGUUAAAUUGGAACCUCAUUGGUCCAUUAGGCCCAAUAAGGAAAUCCUAGUCCAAUAUGGACUUAAAUCGGGAUUCUUAGGGUUUUCAAACUCUUUGUUGAACAUGAGAGGUGAAUUUAAAUGAGCAUUGCGUGAUAUUUACUUAAAGUAUAUGUUUUACACUAGUUGAAUGAUUACACGAGAAUAGAGUUUUCUAGCAAAAAUGCUAGUUGUGACAUUAAUGAAAUCGUGAUUAUUUAUAGUAGGAGCAACAUUCCUCAUAGCAACCACACUUGAUUUACCAACUUCACCUAAAGUCAUCUGCAUAGGCAAGGUGCUUAAGUUUACAAACAAGGUAAAAUCAGUUGAUCGAGUUUUGUUCACGACAUCUAUCUCAUUAACAACACUGAUACUUGGAUGAUCCUAAAGUUUUGAUGAUGAACCUCUUCCACAAAUAUCCGUUUAUUGUUUUGAGUAUGAUCUUUGAGAUAAAACACUUGUUUAGCUUGUGUGGAUAAGAUGUAUUAUUGAUCAUCAUACCUUCUUUUAUUGACAUACCAUCCAUGACUGGUAUCUAUAACGACCAUAUUAUUUAUAGUCUUUAAACAUCCAUUACGUAAUGACACAUUGAACCAUUUACCACGACAGAGUAAAAUUGAGUUACCAUAUAAAUAAUGCGAAUCUAGGAUCUCCUCUAAUUGUCCAUAGAAUGGUCUACCAUCUUCUUGUUGGAUUAGUGUCUAAUUCCAUAACUAUAUUUGGUAUGUACUUGACCCAAUUGGCAUGGUCCAUUUGGGUUGCAUGACAUCAUGCAUUUGGAUAGACUAAAAUGAGAGAAUAACACUUAAGGUUUAUUAAUAUAUUAUAAGUUCUAAUAUAUUAAUAAGAUUAUUUAAUUAGUAUUGAUCAAGAAUUAAUUUGGAACUAAUUAAGUGAUCAAAUGGAGACUAAUUAAAUAUAUGGGUUGAUUGUGUAAAUCAUCCAUACUUGUAUAGUGGGCUAAUGCCCCAUGGAUUAUCAAGUUGGGCUAAAACCCAUAGGAUGCUCCAUGGUGUGUUUGUACCCAUGGAUCAUGGAAAUGAAAAGCCAUGAAAAUUAGGGUUUACAUGGUGUAACCCUAAUUGUGACACACUAUAUAAGUAUCUUAUUCUUCCCAAAAAAAGAGCUAUAAAGGAAUGGUGAGGGCUAGCCGAUUUCAUGAAGUGUCUAAUUUCUCUCAAGUUAUUCUAAGUGUAUUUGGUGUUGUGUGAACCAUCUGAGGUGUCACACUUGGGGAACUAGGCUCUUAAGCUCCGUGGAAUCAAGCUACACCAAAAGGAAUGUCUUCUAACUUGUAUUAUUCCUCAUGAAUCAAUAUUUUGUAUGCUAGUUAGGAUAAUACCUUGGAAUAUUAAUAUUUGCAUGUAUAAUAGAGAAAACAUAGAUCCAAGAUAUUUAGGGUUGCAUGUACACAUAGGAGUGUUAGAAUGCUCAAAACCAUUCACUUCUCCAAAUUUAACAACACCACUAUUUUUAGUAGUGUGUCAGAGAUCACGAAUACUCACAACAAAACGAACACCGACAAUAUGUAUUAUGUUGGUCAUAGACAAUUCUUGAAUAUGAACCAUAGAUGGAGGGAGAGUCUAUUGUUUGAUGGUCCACCCGAUACAAGACCGUAUCCUAGACGAUUUAGUAAUUUAACUAUAUUAAAGUAAUGUAACGUCUGUGUUUCUGGGCUUGCCAUUUUUAGCAAUGUANNNNNNNNNNNNNNNNNNNNNNNNNNNNNNNNNNNNNNNNNNNNNNNNNNNNNNNNNNNNNNNNNNNNNNNNNNNNNNNNNNNNNNNNNNNNNNNNNNNNGACGAAGGUGGACCGGUAUGCGAAGGGACUCCCAUGGGAGUAUGACGUGCCAGUACGUCAGGCACAUACUUUAGAGGCAGCUAUCUGGGCUACCAAGUCUGUUGAGAACAUGAUAAAGGGGAGAACCACCAACAAGGUUGAGGUUGGUGAGAAGAGGAAGUUUGAGGGAACAUCUGGUUCCGGUAAGAAAAGCAAAUUUUCGAAAUCUGAUUCGAAAAGGUUUGGUGGGGGUAAAGGAGGGGAAGCGAAGUGGUGUGAAAAGUGUAAGAAAAAGCAUUUCGGGAAAUGUAGCGAGGAUGUAACUUGCUACAAGUGUGGAAAGGUUGGACAUUUUGCCAAUGAAUGUCCGAACAACAAAAGGAUGUGUUUUGGUUGUAAUGAAGAGGGGCAUAUUUUGAAAGACUGUCCGAAGAAGAAGGAGGCAGCUAAGCCCAACAUUCCACCAAAGCCGAAGGCGAGAGCCUUCCAGAUGACACUUGAGGCUGCGAAAGAUGAAGCUGAUGUCGCUUCAGGUACCUUUCUCGUAAACGAAUUACCUGCUCAUAUAUUGUUUGAUUCUGGAGCCAACUACUCCUUUAUUUCGCAUGAGUUUGGUAGAAAGCUAGCUUUGCCUAUUGAUAGACUAGAUGAUGCUUUAUUAGUCGAAGUAGCUAGUGGCAAGUUUGUACCUGUUAGUCAUCGUAUGAAAAGCAUCUUAAUUGAUCUGAAUGGGAAUAAGUUUCACGAGGAAUUAUUGCCUAUCGAACUAAAUGGUUUCGACAUCGUGUUGGGAAUGGAUUGGCUUAGCGCCAAUGAUGCCGAAAUUUUGUGCAAGAAGAAGAUAGUUAAAGUAAACCCGCCUGGGAAAGAUUCGUUUAUGGUGUAUGGGGACAAACGCAGAGUGAAUUCUGGAAUCAUUUCUCUAAUGAAAGCCAGAAAGUGUUUGACCAAGGGAUGUACAUCAUAUUUAGCAUUCGUGAUUGAUGCUAAGAAGGAAAAGAAGGUGAUGCAGAGUAUUCCAGUGGUGUGUGAUUAUCCGGAAGUAUUUCCCGAGGAUCUUCCUGGAUUACCACCUGAUAGACAAGUGGAGUUCAGAAUAGACUUGUUACCAGGAACCACGCCAAUAGCAAAAGCACCUUAUCGAUUAGCACCGACGGAGAUGAAGGAGCUGAUGAUGCAACUUCAGGAGUUAUUGGACAAAGGUUUCAUUAGACCUAGUUCAUCGCCCUGGGGAGCUCCGGUGUUAUUUGUAAAGAAGAAAGAUGGAAGUAUGAGAAUGUGCAUCGAUUACAGAGAGCUGAACAAGGCAACAAUAAAGAAUAGAUAUCCGUUGCCGAGGAUUGAUGACCUGUUUGAUCAAUUGCAAGGUUCGAGCUAUUUCUCGAAGAUCGAUCUUAGGUCAGGAUAUCAUCAGCUGAAAGUAAGAGAGCAAGAUAUCGAGAAGACUGCAUUCAGAACUAGAUAUGGACACUACGAGUUCUUGGUUAUGUCGUUUGGACUAACCAAUGCUCCAGCAGCGUUCAUGGAUUUGAUGAAUAGGGUUUGUAAUCCUUUCCUUGAUAAAUCCGUGAUAGUGUUCAUAGACGACAUUCUGAUCUACUCGAAAAGCCAGGAGGAGCAUGGCAGACACUUGCGAGAAGUGUUAGAAGUUUUGAAGAAGGAGAAGCUUUAUGCGAAGUUCUCCAAAUGUGAUUUUUGGAUUCGUGAGGUCCAAUUCUUGGGUCACGUGGUCAACCAAGAAGGGAUAAUGGUUGAUCCAGCGAAGAUCGAAGCUGUGACGAAGUGGGAACAACCGAAAAGUCCCACGGAGAUUCGAAGCUUUUUAGGAUUAGCCGGAUAUUACCGAAGGUUUAUCCAAGGCUUUUCUUCGAUUGCUACUCCAUUAACAGCUUUGACCCACAAAGGAGCUACUUAUGCUUGGAGUGAGAAGCAUAAAGAAGCAUUCGAGAAGUUAAAGAAGAAGCUAUGCGAGGCACCGAUACUUUCUCUACCCGAUGGAGUUGAAGACUUCGCUGUUUAUAGCGAUGCGUCUGGUGUUGGAUUGGGUUGUGUUUUGACCCAAAGAGAAAAGGUGAUAGCAUAUGCGUCUCGACAGCUGAAAGAGCAUGAAAAGAAUUACCCGACUCAUGAUUUGGAGUUGGCAGCGGUAGUUUUCGCUCUGAAAAUAUGGAGGCAUUACCUCUAUGGCACGAAGUGCAAACUUUUCACUGAUCAUAAGAGUCUCCAAUACCUCUUUAAUCAGAAAGAAUUGAAUAUGAGGCAACGACGCUGGCUAGAAUUACUUAAAGACUACGACUGCGAGAUACUUUACCACCCCGGUAAAGCUAAUGUUGUUGCUGAUGCUCUCAGUCGGAAAGUCAAUCUUGAAAGGAAGAGGCCAAGAGCGUUGAGAAUUGAAGUUGUCUCGACUAUUGUGGAAAGUAUAAAGAAAGCUCAAGAGGAAGCUUCUGAGAAAAAUGACCGAAAGGAGGAACGUUUGGGUAAAACGUUGGUGUUUGGUACUAACGGUCAUGGACUGAAGGUAUUCCAAGAUCGUAUUUGGGUACCUAAGUCAGGAGGAAUUAGGGAUCUUCUGAUGGAAGAAGCUCACAAAACCAUGUACUCAAUUCAUCCGGGUAGCACUAAAAUGUAUAGGGACCUGAAACCCUACUACUGGUGGCCGACGAUGAAGCUUGAUGUUGCAAAGUAUGUGGCCGAGUGUGUGACUUGUGCGAGAGUCAAGACACAACAUCAGAAACCUUACGGGAGUUUAGAACCAUUGCCUGUGCCUAUGGGUAAGUGGGAAGACAUUGCUAUGGAUUUUGUCACUAAACUGCCCAGAACAAAGAAUGGUCACGACAUGAUUUGGGUGGUCGUUGAUCGAUUCACUAAGAGUGCGCAUUUCAUAGCGGCCAGGGAGAAAUGGUCUAUGGAAAAGCUUGCGAAUUCUUACGUGAAGGAAAUUGUGAGGCUUCACGGUGUUCCGUUAACGAUUGUAUCGGAUCGUGAUAGCCGUUUCACCUCAAGGUUUUGGAAAAGUCUACAAGAGGAAAUGGGUACCAAGUUAUGUUUAAGCACAGCUUACCAUCCGCAGACUGAUGGUCAGAGUGAAAGAACAAUACAAACACUUGAAGAUAUGCUGAGAGCAUGUACCUUGGAAUUCCUAGGUAAUUGGGAUGAACAUUUACCGUUGGUAGAAUUUUCCUAUAAUAAUAGUUUUCACUCGAGCAUUAAGAUGGCACCUUAUCAAGCUUUGUAUGGACAGAAGUGUCGUACGCCGUCUUGUUGGCUUGAGGCUGGGGAAAAGCAGUUUAUGGGACCGGAGAUGGUUCAUCAAACUGCUGAAAAGUUGAAAAUAAUUAGGGAAAGAAUGUUAGCAGCUCAAGAUCGUCAAAAGAGCUAUGCUGACAAGAAGCGAAGACCGAUGACUUUUGAGGUUGGAGAUUCGGUUUUGCUUAAAGUCUCGCCGUGGAAGGGACUUAUAAGAUUUGGUAAAAGGGGAAAGUUGAGUCCAAGGUUUAUUGGACCGUUUAAAGUCCUUCAGAGGAUUGGGAAUCAAGCUUACAAGCUCGAAUUACCCGAAGAACUGAAUGGAAUUCACAACACCUUUCAUGUGUGUUAUUUGAGGAAGUUCACGGGAGAAGUUCCCGAUAUAAUUCCAAUUUCUGAAUUGAGAAUUGAUGAGAACAAAAGGUUGAUUGAAGAACCAGAGGCAAUUGUUGACCGAAAGACUAAGAAGUUGCGACGCAAAAUGGUUGGGUUAGUGCUUGUCCGAUGGAAACACACGAAUGGGCCGAAUCUCACCUGGGAGACGGAGAGUGACAUGUUGAGUCGCUAUCCGCAUUUGUUUGUUGAUGUGUGAUUCCGGGGACGGAAUCAUUCUAAGGUGGAGAGAAUUGUAACGCCUGUGUUUCCGGGCUUGCCAUUUUUAGCAAUGUAAUAGUCUAGGUUAACCUUUGUAACCCGUUUUGAAAUAAUAAGAUUGUAUUAUUUGAGUAUUAUGUGUUUUGUGCUUAAUUGCUUAAUUAUGUGGUUUGAUUAAUUAAGAAUAAAAAUAAGCGUCAAAAUUUAAGUGUAAAAUAAACUUAAUAUCUUUGGUUAAUGUUGUAGUAGUUGAAACGAGGUUUCCGAAUAUAUAUAGAACGCCCAAAUCUGACUUCGUAUGAGGAAGUUAUGAUUUAUCGAAGUUCCGGCUUAGCGAUAUACAGCCUGUUUUACUCGAUUUGAGAUCGAGCGGUUGUUAGCCGAAGCAAUCUAAAUGAGAAUCGAAGAUCUCAUUGUUGGUAUUGAAACGAUAAAAAGUUAGGCGAGAACGGACGUCAAACGAAGAAGUUAUGAAUUUAUAACGAAAGUUUCUGUCCCGGCCUAUUAAAAAUAAUUAAUAAAAAUAAAGUCAAAAUUAGCCGACGGAGUCUAAACGAAAGUCGUAGAGCGUGGUCUCACCUUCGCGUGGAUAUAAAGAACGUCGAAAACGGAGUUCGUAUGAAGAAGUUAUGAAUUUCCGAAGUUUAUUAAUCAUUUUGUAUUUAUUUUUAAUUCAAAAUUCGGAAGCAUUAUCCGAAGGAGUCACCGAUCUGAUCCGAGGUACGCCCCGCGUACUCGAGUACGCCCCGCGUACUCCGAGGGAUGUCGACACUCGCACUCGAGCACUUCGGAUACGUAAGCAAUGACGUUUUGGGCAGUACGCCCCGCGUAACGCAGUACGCCCCGCGUACUCCGAGGCUCCAGCCUCCUAUAAAUAGGAUGCGAGGGUUCCGGGUAUUUUUGCCAAUUCCCUCUCGUUUUCGUGUCGAAGCUCUGUGCAAAAACCCCCGAAGCUACCCCGAAGUCCCGGUAUCAUACUCUAGCCCCGAGGCAAGUCCCGAGAUCCUGAAGAUCCCGAAAAGUGCGGUUCCCGAGUCGAAGCUCUGCCCGCGAGAAGUUCGAUUUUCGAGAAGAUCUUCCAGAUCUGCUGUGGAUUACUACUUCUAUAAGCCGUAGUGCUGUCCGAUCAUCUUCUGAUCAAGUGAGUGUGUAGUUAUUUCUUCUAAUACAAUAAUACGAAGUAUUUUAUAUAAAAAUACGUGCUAUGUGUAUAUAUUUUGUUGUUAUAUAUGUGAAUGUAUACCCACUCUCUUCUAUCUUAUAGAUCUGAUUAUUUCUCAAUGAAAUACGUGUUAUGUGUGUGUGCCUCAUCUGUUAUGUGAAAAAUGUUUUGAUUGAGCAUGCUAUACAGGUUUUGAAACUACGUAUAAAAAUGUAUAUUUUAUCUACUAAUAUGUUGGGUAGAAUAUGGGUAGAUAGUUGGUGUGUAAUAAACAGAUGAGAGGCCUCGAUGUUGUUUUGAUCCAGUCAUCUAGCGGAAUUUAGAUGACGACCACGGACUUUUCUAGACAGUCCAGUGGAACGCUAGCAGGCUCAUAACCUGUAGGUGUUAAUGAACUUGGGUGUUCAUUCGCUGUAUUCCAUCCCCCCCAUGGUUGCCUUAUUUGACUUAUAUUGCUGAGGAACCCCCGAAGCAUGUGUAGUCGCCCCGAUGAAAUAUUCUUUGACUAGGUCCCUUGUGUUAGUUAUUUUAGGGACAUAAAGUGAGAAUAACGGGAAUGGGUAACUGGGUUAUUGUUGGAUGAUAAUAAUUAAUUAAAUUAUUUAUUGUGGGUUGAAAACCCUAUAUGCUCACCAGGCUCCCAAGCCUGACCCACUCAGUUGAUUUAUUUUACAGGAAGUGGCGCAAGAGCUUAAGAUGGGCGAACAUCAAGUUGUUUUGUUUACAAGUCUGUAUAUGUAUAUAUUUGUUGAAAGACUUGUAAUGCUAUCGUUUAUGCUUUAUGAUCUGUAUCGGAACAUGACAUCCCGACUUUUGAUUAUGAAAUGAAAUCAUAUUUCUUUAUGAAAUGUUUUGAUAAAUAUCUAUUUUAUCAUGUUUUGUUUUUGGGAACAAAUUCCGCAUCUCUUUUAAAAAUUAAAAGGAUUUACUCUGAAAAUUAUUUUAAAAAGCAUAAAUGAAAUCGGUCUUUUCUGGCCGAGAUUUUGGGGAUGUCACAAGUAAGUAGCUCGUCUCUCUGAUAAUAUGUAUUAUGUUGGUCAUAGAUGAUUCUUGAAUAUGAACCAUAGCUAGAGGGAUAGCCUAUUGUUUGAUAGUCCACCUAACACAAGACCGCGUCUUAGACAAUUCAGUAAUGUAACUAUAUUAAAGUAAGUAGCUCGUCUCUCUGAUAAUAUUCCAGGGGAAUAUCCUAAUCAUGGGGCUAAAAAAGAAAGCAUGAACAUGAAAGCAAAAAGGCAGAGUUGAAUCGGAUGAAACAAAGUAUCUUAUUUGAGCUUGAGUAUUGGUCUUCCCUCCACCUAAAACAUAAUUUUGAUGUUCUACAUGUUUUGAAAAAUAUGAAUGAGAGUGUGUAUAAUACUACACUGAUGAACGAUAAAAGAAAAUACAUAAAAGAAGUAAGAAUUGACUUGAAAAAUACGGUCAUUCGACCAGAUCAAUGGCCAAAAGAGAAAGUCAAGAAGAAGAAGACAGUACACCAUUCUAUGGUCCCUUGGUUGAUGCAUCUCUCAUUUGGACUCCUUCAACCCAUAACAUUUUCAACUCAGCCACCAAAGGCCUCAAGUAAACAUCAAUGUCCUUUGUAGGUGAUCUAGGGCCAGGAAUCAACAAAGUUAGCAUGAAAGAAGAGUCCUUCAUACAUAUCCAUGGUGGUGUAUUGUAGUUAGUAAAUAUAACCAUCCAAAUAAUAUAAGUAUUAUUAAAGUUGUUGAACGGAUUAAAGCCAUCAGCAGCUGAACCUAGACGAAUAUUUCUAUAUUCUUUAGCAAACUCUCGAUAUCUCUUAUCAAAUUAUUUCCAUGACUUCUCGUCAACCGGAUGACGCAUCUUACCAUCCAUUGAGCAUCCAGUAUUAUGACAACUAAUAUAUUUACCAGUGAAUCUGGAACUAUACAUUCGUCGAAGCCUUGAGUCAAAGGAAACUACCACAAUGCUUUUUGUGGUACUCUCUUCCCAUUUUGUUGUUGUGUCCACCCAUUUGCUUGCAUUACAAAUUCGGGCAAUUUUACAUGGAAUCAUUCUCCUUCCAAAACGAAGCACAAUCAUAUUUACAAGUAUGGAUGGAUUGAUAUCAAACCCUAUCUUUCUCAACUUAUUCUUAGCUUCAUAGUGUGAAGUUGCUCUUCGGGAAUGAAACUCUUAGUAACUCUACAAGUUGGUUAAAAAAAAUAUUUGUCCAUUUAUUUAUCACUUUAGUAUGCAACAACUUUGCCAGAAAGUUUAUGUAACGUCCCAAAAAUUAAGACUAAAAGUUUUUAAUUUUAAAUUAAUUAAAACCAUUAUCCAAACAACAUCUUAGAAAUCAUAGUGCAUCAAAGUGUAUCAAUAACAUCCAUGUACAUCAGCAAGAUAUAAAAAUGCAGAACGACGUGGUGGGUGCAUUGCAAUCAUCCCGUGUAACGCCCGUAAACUCGGGCUAGUCAAUUUAGAGACAAUGUGCGUCAAAAAUGACUUUUUGAUGGGAGAUUGUUUACAAGAAACAAUCUUAACCAAGUUAUAUUAUAUGUCACAAAGGUUCCUUAUAUAUAAAGAACGCCAAAAUCCGAGUUAUAACGAAGAAGUUACGACCUUUCGAAGUUCUACGACAAAACCAACACGGCACCGUGUAACGUAAAAAGUGAAAUCUUGAUAAAUUACUUUUUAGCCUUAGGGAUCUAAAUGAAAGUUGUUUUAUACAUUAAAUUGAGAGCAUGCAUAAAAAGAACGUCAAAAUCUGACUUUGUAUGAGGAAGUGAUGAUUUUUCUAAGAUUUCGCACAGAGUAUACAACCUGGAAUUCGAAUGUCAGAUCGAGUGAUUUUUAGCCAACACAACCUAAAUUAUAAUUGAAUAUCUCAUUAAUAGGAGUUCAACGAUAAAAAGACAGUUAAAAACGGAGUCUGUAUGCAGAAGUUAUGAAUUUUACACGGUCGUUAACAAAAUAAUAUUUUCAUACUGUUAUAUUUAAAAUUGGUUGAGAAUUAGCCGAUUCAAUCUAAAGGAAAGUUGUAGAUCUUGUCAAUACCUAUGUGUGGAUAUAAAGAACGUAAAAAACGGAGCUCGUAUGCGAAAGUUAUGAAUUUUUUAAAAUUUGUUGUUUUACCUGCGUCCAGCGCCACGUGUCAGCACCAGGCGAAGCCUUAGUGCCUACACAAGGCCACGACGUGGAUUAUAAGUCUAUGAUGUUGAUUUCCCCAGAUAACCUAUAAAUAGAGGUGGAAAUAAUCCAUUUCCUUCACACCUUCACCCUUCUUUCUGUCUCAACACUCCCAAUCUCUCCCUCCUAAUCCCUAGCAACUUCUAAGUGCUAGAGGCGAGUCCCGGAGCGCCAAAAGGGUCCGAGAAGAAGAGUUUUCGUCUCAAAAUUUCCGCCCCCUCAGAGCCCGGUUCCUAGCCAAACCCCCAGGAAGUGAGUUAUGCUUACACUACUUUAAGUAUACUUAUGUUUAAGUUUAUUAUCGUUAUUAUGAACUUAUAAACAAGAUUUAUCAGUGAUUCCAAGUCGUUAUACUAAUUGAUCUACUUACGGGGAUGAUAUAUAGGUUGUGAUUUAGUGAGGUGUUUAAAGUGGGAUUUCAAAACAGUAUACUUCGUAUACGAAACGGAACUUACCUCCGAUAUGAUCCUACAUGGUUGUUCCUUACUUGAUAGAUCAUGAAAGUAGACUUUGAGUUAAUGAUGAAUCUAGACUAAUAAUUAGUCGUGCGUAAAGAUUAGACUAAAACUUAGCGAUAAUAAUGCUAGGUUUCAUCGAAGGAAAAUAGAAUCAUGAGAAGCAAAGUGCUUCCCGAGUUUGGAAUUAUCACUUUGAUAAGUGAGUGCAUAGUUACUUUCAUCUUACACAUAGAUAUGAAGUAUAUUAUAUAAAUUACAUGCUAUGUGUUCAUAUUAUAUGUUUACUUUAUAUCUAUGCUAGAUGAAUGAUCCUAUACAUGUUUUGAAUGAUUUAAACUGUAUAUAUAUUUUUUGUAUCUAUAAAAUCUAUUGGGUAAAACAUGGGUAGAUGAAUGAUAAGGGAUGAAAGUUGAUAUAGAGGAACAUUGGCAGUUAUAGACAUAGUGUCCUAUAGGUGAACAUUGACAACAAUGGACUUAGUGCCCUAUAGAUGAGCAUUGGCAGCCGUGCCACCACCUGUAGAUGUUUUGAUCUACGAUGUACUCUAAACAUCAUAGCAGCUGCGCUCAAAGGGUAGUAUCGGCAGCUGCGUGUAACGCAUGUGUUUCUAGGCUUGUCAUUAAUAUUGAUGUAAUAGUGUAGGUUAACCAUUGUAACCUGUUUCGAAAUAAUAGAAGUGUAUUAUUUGAGUAUUAUGUGUUUUGUACUUAAUUGUGUGUCUUAAUUAAAUUAAGUAUGAAAAUAAGCAUCAAAAUUAAAUGUUACAUAAAGCUGAUAUCUAUGGAUAAUUUUGUAGUAGUUGAAACGAGGUUUCUGAAUAUAUAUAGAAUGCUGAAAUCCGAGUUAUAACGAAGAAGUUAUGAUCUGUCGAAGUUUCGCGACAUAAAUCGGCACGACGAUGAAUGACGUAAAAAGUGAAUUUAUGUUAGAUUUAUCUUUAGUCCUAGUGAUCUAAACGAAAGUUGUAGAGUUCGUUAAACCGAUAGCGUGCAUAAAAAGAUCGACCAAAUCUGACUUCGUAUGAGUAAGUUAUGAUUUUCCGAAGUUUCGACUUAGCAGUGUGCAGCCCGAAUACUCGAUUUGAGAUCGAGCGGUUUUUAGUCGAAACAAUCUAAACGAGAAUCGAAGAUCUCGUCAAUGGUAGAGCAACGGUAAAAAGAUAAAUGAAAACGGACGUCAGAUGAAGAAGUUAUGAAUUUAUAACAGAGUUUUCCUAUCCCGGCCUACUAAAAAUAAAUAAUAAUAAAAUAAAUUCAAAAUCAGCCGACAGAGUCUAAACGAAAGUUGUAGAGUGUAGUCUCACCUACGCAUGGAUAUAAAGAACGUCGAAAACGGAAUUCAUAUGAAGAAGAUAUGAAUUUCUGAAGGAUUUAUAUGAUUAAUAUUUAUUAAUUAAUCUUUAAUUCGAAUGUAUAUCCGAAGGAGUCACCGACCUGAUCCACACUAUGCCCAGCGUACACCGAAGCGUGACCCACCUCGCACUCGAGUGCUCCGAUGACACAUGCAGUGACGAAUCCGAAGCGUACGCCCCGCGUACUGAGCAUUACGCCUAGCGUAAUGCGAGGCUUCAGCCACUAUAAAAGGGCAUGCGAGGGCAGCCAAUCCUUUUGCUCAAUUUCUUUUCUCUCUCUCUUGUUUUCCAUCGUUUUGCGUUCAACUUAUACCCCGAAUCCCCAGUAUCAUUCCCGAGCCCCGAAGCAAGUCCCGAAGCCCCGAAGAUCCCGAGGAGUAGAGUUCCCGAGCCGAAGCUCUACCCGCGAGAAGCCAAUUUUUGUGAAGAUCUUCCAGAUCUAUCAAAGAAUACUACUUCUACAAGUCGUAGUGCUAUCUGUUCAUCUUCUAAUCAAGUGAGUGUGUUGUUACUUUCUUCUAACGCAUAAUUACGAAGUAUUUUAUAUGAAAUACGUGUUAUGUCUAUAUUUUGUGUUGGAUAAGGUGUCUAAGUCCAUAACUAUUUCUGGUAUGUACUUGACCCGACCCGGCAUGGUCCAUUUGGGUUGCAUGGCAUCAUCCAUUUGGAUAGACUAUAUGAGAGAAUUAACACUUGUGGUUUAUUAAUAUAUUAUAAGUUCAAAUAUAUUAAUAGUAUUAUUUAAUUAGUAUUGAUCAAGAAUUAAUCUAGAAUUAAUUAAGUGAUCAAAUGGUGACUAAUUAAAUAUAUGAGUUGAUUAUGUAAAUCCUCCAUAACUUAUAUAGUGGACUAAAGGGCUCCAUUGAUAAUCAAGUUGGGUUUGUUGGAUUAUUGUCUAAGUCCAUAAACUAUUUUGGUAUGUACUUGACCCGAUGGUGUAUGGUCAUUUUGGGUUGCCUUCACCAAAGCAACUUGAUAGGAUGAAUUAUAAAGAGAAAGGAUUAAAUAUGAUUUAUUAAUAUAUUAUGAUAAUACUAUAUUAAAGGAGAAAUCAUAUUGUUUAAUUAAUAUUAGUCAAGAAUUAAUUGAUAAUUAAUUUUGUGACUAAAAGAGAUUAAUUAAACUUAAGGGACUAGAACUGUCAAUUGUAUGAUAGUUGAAUAUUGAGCUAAUGGACUCCAUAUUAAAGGAGUGGAUGAAUUCUAUGGGGAAACCCAUUAGAAAUCGUCCUAGGCCUUUAAGGAAGGAGCCCAUGGGUUACUUAGGGCUUAAGCAUCCAAAUUAGGGUUUCCUUGUUAGAUAACCCUAAUAGCCUCACUAUUUAAGGACCCUUUGGGCACCAAAAACGUAGGCAACUGAAUCCUAGGGGUUUCUACACGUUUUUGGGUGUUUCUUCUCUUCUCCUAUUCAUCCUCUUGCUCUUGGUGUUUGUGAACCAUUAGAGGAGUGACAUUUGUGACUCUAAGCUUUCUAAAGUCAUUACAAAGGAGGAUUUGAGAUUGUUAUUGCUACAUAACAAUCAAGGUAUGAUCUAAACCCUAAUUCAUAUCUUAUACUGAUUAUCAUAUACUAGAUCCAAGCAUUAGGGUUUGUAUGAGCACAUAGGAUGUUCUUAUAGCUAAAACCCAUCAGUGGUAUCAGAGCCUUGAUUGGUUUCUAUUGUAUUGAUGCCUUGUUAAUUUGUUCAUGCUUGAAAAAUUCGAUUUUGUGAGUCUGCCUAAUGAACUCGGCGAGUCCCAUUGUGGACUCGGCGAGUAGGCCCCUACUCGGCGGGUCCAUAGGGGUACUCGGCGAGUUCGAGCGUCAGAAAGAGGGGACUUCGAGAUUUCUUGCUGAUUUACUCAUGGAUACUUGCCUUAUCUGUUUUAGAUCAUUAAAAUCCGAUUUUAAACAUAUUUAUGAGUAUAUCCUUGAUUAAACAAAAGAUAAUUACCAAUUGAUUAGAUAAUAACUUCCUUAUAUGAUAAAGUUUGAUUAUUUGUAUUAAUUGGGUAACUUAUUUUGCAAGAAAUUGAAAUUAGGUCAAAUAUAGAUAAUGAUGAGAUUAAUUGUUUAAUUUAUAUUAUUUGUUAUUUGAUCCUUGUGUUAUGAAAAGUUUCAAUUUUCCCCUUUAGGUUUUAUAGUUUAAAUUUGAACUCAAAAGUUUNUAGGGUUUCAUGUACACCACAGGAACGAUGUUUCAUAAACUUGACGAGUUCCAUAGACUCGAUGAGUUAAGUGUCCUGGUGCCGGGAUUUUCGAUUUUCUGGCCAAAUUUUAAUGAGGAUAACUGUGAAAACUCGUUUUUCUUUCCUAAAUUCAAAUCUUUAAGAUCGGUAUGGAUAUCCUUAUCAGAUUUGGUGGAUUUAGUUAAAUAUGGAUGAUAUAGGAUUAUUUUGAUUCAAAUAUUUAACCUAGUAAGUUUGAAAAGUUUCAAAUUACACCCUUUAGGUUUUAUAGUUUAAAUUUGAACUUAAAAGUUUUAGUUUUGAAAUUUAAAUAGUUAAACCCUAAUAUUUUGAAAAGUUUUAAAAUUUGUCCUUAAAUUUUGGAAUUUAAAAUUUAAUUAAAAGGUAUUACUUUUGCAAUAUUAAUUUCUAAAACCCUAGUGUUUUGAAAAGUUCAUAUUACACCCUUAUGGUUUUAUUAAAUUAAUUAAGUGCUUAAUUAAGAGAGAGAAUUAAUAAAUCCAUAACAAUAUGGUUUAAGAUUAAUCAAAUUAAAAGUGUAAUUUAUUAAUAGAUUAAACCACCUAAUAUUUUUAAAGUGUAAAAUACACCAUUAUACUAUAUAUAAAAUUAAAAGUCUAAUAUAUUAUAUAUGUAUAAGUAAAGAGUCUGUCUUAUCGUUAGUAAGCCUUAUUCACGAAGUUGGUCUUUAAGGGGUGUUUAAGGAAGCGGCAUGUAAAAUGACCGUCAUUGGAUAUCCACUCUUACCCACCGCACCAUUAACUAGUGGAGGGUCAUUAGCCGAAUGGGUAGGAUAGGACAUAACCUUCCAUUAUAAGUAUAAUGAAAUACGAAGUAACUAAACGUUUAUAUAAAUUCUCAAAUCUUAGUUACUGUAGGAAAAAUGUGAAUUUGGUGCUAAUCCAUGAAAUUGCACAUUGCACCUUGUUGGUCGUUAGUGGAGCGUGUGUGGUUAACAGAACACUAAUAUGGGACCAAUGAAGGAUGGCAAUGGGUUUCUCGUAAUAUUAUCAUUGAUCAAUGGAGCGUGUGUGGUUAACCGGCACAUUGAUUGGGUGGUGAUCGACAUCGAGAGUAUCAAGCUAAUUUGCAUGGUUAUUCACACCUUGUUUGUGAUCCUCGGCGUCCCAGUCACAAACUUGAAAGGCAUAAUCGAGAUUAAACAUGCCAUUGAAAAGUUUAAUGAAUCUCAAAAGAUCUAGGGCUUUCAAUUCAUUAAUAACCUAAUUUUCAUUUUUGUUUUUCAUGGUGGAAAUUGGUAAAUCGUCAUUUACCUACCUUCAAAUAUUUUGCGACUGGAUUACGGCAUCCCUCUUCCGAAUUGUAGAAUAUUGUGUUGGAUCCUAGCCUUAAUAUUCCCUUUGGGUGUUAUAUUAAGGAUUGAAUCAACUAACUUGAACUUCUCCCAUUUUGUAGAUGUCUAAAUCUAACAACUAUGGUAUUCCACAAUCCUUUGGAAAAAGUCUUCCACAUGAAGAUGAUGUUCCACGAUUCGAUCGAGGAACAAGAGAUCAUGCUUCACUUCAUCCUCCUCCUCCCGUUGUUCUCCCUAACCCACAAGAUCGAAGAAUUGAAAGGUUCAAUGUCACUAAAGCCCUAUUGGAAAUGAAACAUGAAGAUAAUGUUGGGUGCGUCAUUCCCCGAUAAGUUGGCUGUGAACUGGGUUCUGCAGUCGCUCCCUGAAUCAUAUAAUGAGUUCAAGAGAAUGUAUUAUAUGAUGGAUCAUGACGAUAACCUCAUUGACCUAACUUACAUGCUCAUUGCUGCUGAAUCAGAAAUAAUUUGGCAAAGCAAUGGAGCGGUUUUGUUGGGAAAGUCAACCAACCAUGCUUUCGAGGACGUUCUAGGAGAACCGACCUGCGUUUGCUGCCAAGAGAAAGGGCGUUGGAUACAAGUUUGCCCUAAGAGCCUGAAGAAUCCAAAAGAUGGGAGAGUCAAAGAGUAUGGUUGUGCUUCAGGUAAAAAUCCACUAUCUAACUCCAUUAAGUUCUUAUUCGUUGAUUCUUAAUACAUGAUGUGAUAAGAUUGCAUUUGAAUGUUUUGCAGGAUCAGUGAAAAGAGAGGAAGCUUGAUGGAAAAGCAAGAUAAGUCUAAUCACAAAGAAAUGGAUCUCGAUCGCAUGGACUUGAAGAUUAGAUUUUGAGCUUAGAAAGUUAUGAUAGAGUUGUUAGGAAUAUUAGACUACAUAGUUUUUCAGUUAAUUUUGCAUUGUAAGGAAAAAUGUUUUCCGCUGCUUUUAUGAAUAAAAUAAAUUUUGAUUUGACUCAUUUAUUUAUUUAUUUCCUUGCAAUGAAAUCGUUAUGAAAAAUUGAUGUUUGCAUAUUUCUACAACGAAUGGAUGUGAUUCUUAAUUAUGUUAAUUAUGGAAAGGUCAAGAAUUUACCAAAUAGGAAAAGUUUCUCAUCGCCCAAGUUUCAAUUGGAUAGAGACUUGGGUCAUGCAACUUGGUUGCACGAUGAAUGAGAAAUUUCAUAUGUGGAAAUAAGACUAAUUCGUUGACAAAGUGUCAAGUGAAGAACUAGGAGAUCGAGUACACAAAGUUGUGUGUUGAUCAAGUCCACCGCAAGAGUAACGAAGAUAUUCGUCAUGAUUUACUAGAGGUUUAGUAAAAAUGAUUAUACUUAUAAGAUUAAGUGUAAUUCUGAAUUGAUUGAAAAAGGUUUAAAUCAAUAGCAUAACGAAUAAGAAGAAUCAAGUAGACAGAAAGAUAAAAGUCUCUCUAUUCUAAGAAGAAGGGAGAGUAUCUUUAUGCUUUAUGAUAUGUCUUAAUGAUUAAGAACCAUAUCUCAAUUGAUCCUCUAAGUAAGUCUUAGUACAAUUGUAUGUCUGAGAAGAGGAAUCAAGAAUUAAAGAAAUGGUUAAAAUCAAGAAGUCAAUCGUAUUUCGUUCCAAACAAGUCUUAGAGUUAAGAUUGUGACAUAGAGUGACAAGUAUUAGGAAGGUUUAUGACAAUCAUCAAAUGUAGAAUUUGGAAAAGGGUUUUCUUAUUCUUGCACAUUUGAAAUUCGUAAGUUGUGAUGUCUUGGAUUAGACAAAGACCAACGAGGACCAAUUUGUGAAGUGUUUUGUCUUGAUAAAAGCUACACUAACUCUUGAAUAUUUGGUUGUCGAGAAAUGUUUAUUGACAAGAGAAUCUUAUAUGUCAAGGAGUCAGUGGGAGUCUUAAUGGUCUUGAAAAGGUUUCAAUAACAAAUCAAAAUAAACCUUAUCAAUCAUCACUAGCACACGAGUUGAGGUUUACAACCUAUCGUGUUGACAUUAUCUUGUUUCUGUGCCGUUCCAAUCGAGUUAAUUAUGCAUGUGAGUUCUAUGAGUUCUCAUUUGAAUGCAUAAAAGGCAAGGACCUUGAUCAAUGGAAAGUACAUUGAUAGGAAAGGGUGAGCUGCUUAACUACUUGGAAGACAUGGUGGGCAGCCGUGUUACCAUAAGGCAAGAAAUCAAGAUUAAGAGUUCGGUCCAUAUAAGUUUGAAUUUGUCAUAAACUUUGGUUUUAACAAAUUCACAUGGAUAGGAACACAUACACUAUUAAAAUCUAAGUGUCAUAAGAUUCCCUCCUUCAUGGAAAUGACUGUGAGGUAAUGCUUUCACUAAAAGAGAUUUUAAGAAGAUAGUAAUUGUGAAAAUUGGAUUCUCGAAUUCGAUUAUGGUUACAGUAUCCCUUUCCAUGAUUCGAAUUGUAAGAUUUGGCAAUUAGUCUGAAUUGUUUAGACACACAUAUGAGCUAUCUAAGGGAAAGGUGUAUAAGCUUAGAUAAAGGAUUAUCAAAGCAUUAGUUAUUAGAAACAUGAACUUAAGAAAUUCAAUAGGUAUUGUUCUUCUGAAAGUUAAGUUGUUUCUAAAUACAUGUCAAAGCUAGUGGGAGCAUAAGUGUUAUGUUUAUAAUAAUCAUCAUGAUAGUGGGAGCAUAAAUGUUAUGAUUAUGUGAUUAUUAAGGCAAGUAUUGCAAGUUAGCAAUAUUAAUUAUAGAAAACAAGAGUUAUACUUUGCAAAGUCACAAUGGUUAAAAGGUUGUUUUGCUAUAAUUAAGGGAGAGAAUAUUAUGCUUCAUUUCAAAACUAAAGGCUUAGGUUGUGGAAUGUUAAUUAUUUUAGUCAAGGAUACAUAGUAUUCUUAAAUUUCGAUUAUGAUUACGACAUUUCUCUUCAUAGUUCGAAUUGUGAGAACAUAGCACAUAAAAUAUUAUGGCAGAAGACUGAUAAAGUAUCAAAUCUUUAUGCAUCGUGUCCCAUGCGCUUCGGGUAUAGGAUCGAUUGCAAAUGCUAUAAUAUUUGACCAUUCCAAAAUUUUCCAAAUGUCUAGCGCAUUUAGAGGGAAAAGGACAAGAAUAGGUUUUGACUAAGAUAAUUAAACAACUAUCAAAGGACAAUCCAAAGUUCGCCAAGGAUUGGUCACUUAUGAGUAGUUGGAAGUAUAGUAUUGAAUAGACCAUAUCGACAUUAUUAUGAAUAGAAAAGAUUCUAUUAAGAAUGAGUUGUCAUAUGGAAAAUAUGGAAACGUUUCCAUAUUGGGAGUCGGAUAUUGAGAAUCUAUGUCUAGAUUAGAAAUUUUAUGCAAAAGGAUGUUCAAAGGAAUGUCCUUUGAGUGAGAGACAUCACAUCUAAGGAAUUGUCUUGUAACAAUCUCCAAUAGACAGCUUUGUAAUUCAUUGGCAAUAGUCAUUGUGACUUUGGUGCAGUGACAUUAUGAAAGGAUGAUUGCAUAAAAUAUUAGAAUCUAACAUAUUCCAUAAGUGGCAAGAAUUUGAUAUUCUUUCACUUGUGAAAAGGAUUGGGAGUUAUGAAAUGAUUAUGAUUGGAAAUGUGUUCAUUUGAUCUAUUUCACAAAGUAAGAACCAUAGAUAAACACUGUGUGCAUGCUAAGAGCAUGGGACAAGUGUUGUAAUAAUUUAAGUAAGAAGUUUAUUACCCGAAACAAGAAAUAAUGAGUAAUCGAUAUGGUGAUAAUAAAAGGUGUUUUAUUUAUACUCAAGGUUUGAGGCCAUAUGGGACUAGUAUUAUUCUUGUGUUUCACUUUGCAUGUUUUGACUUCCUAAAUAAUUUAAAUUGGUUUAGAACAGUUAAAUUAUUCGAACGGGCCCUAGUCGUUCAUAUGUUGGAAGUAGGUAUGAAUGAAGACUGUCAUGAAUUGGUGUGUGGAUUGUCUAAAGAGCAUUAGACAUAAGCAAAUGUUUGCUGCAACGUUCAUGAGUGCUUAUAAAUAUGAUUUGAGCAUUGCAUUAAACCCACGCUCACUUGGAUCACUUCAUGGAUUUUAUCACGAGUGAUUGGUGAGACGAUAAUAUCUUAUAUUCUUGAAACCGAGAUGUGUGAGUUGUAUCUUGCGAGUUGGUUGCACAUUGAUAAUACGUAAACGCACCAGUAACUUGGUGUUAUAAAACAUAUUGUUGUGUGUGAUUCGGUGAGUAAGUGCAAUCGAACAUUGAGUCAAAGUUUAUCCGUUCCUUUUAUCAAAAGUAGGAUAAAAACGAUUUCUGUGGGCCCCUCGAUUAUUUAGUGAUGGCACCUAAGCGCUUGGCCAAGCCGGGACUAAAUUGAUGUGUUCAAUUGUAGUCUAUUGUUAGUCGUCAUAAAUCUGAAUUCGGGAAACAACACAUAGACAGAGAGAAUGUUUUAGAUCCAUGUCUCAGUCUAUACGAUAUCUAGAAUGGAGGAAUAUAUGAUCCCUUAUCUAAAGGAUACGCGAAUAUGAUAAGAUCAGAGUUGACAGCGGCUUUAGAAAGCUACGAUUGCAGAUCAGGAUCUGAAGUCAUACGCAUAAUAGUUAUUAGACUUAUCCAAGUGGGAGACUGUUGGAUUAGUGUCUAAGUCCAUAAACUAUUUUGGUAUGUACUUGACCCGAUGGUGUAUGGUCCUUUUGGGUUGUCUUCACCAAAGCAACUUGAUAGGAUGAAUUAUAGAGAGAAAGGAUUAAAUAUGAUUUAUUAAUAUAAUAUGAGAAUAAUAUAUUAAAGGAGAAAUCAUAUUGUUUCAUUAAUAUUAGUCAAGAAUUAAUUGAUAAUUAAUUUUAUGACUAAAAGAGAUUAAUUAAACUUAAGGGACUAGAACUGUCAAUUGUAUGAUAGGUGAAUAUUGAGCUAAUGGACUCCAUAUUAAAGGAGUAGACAAAUUCUAUGGGGAAACCCAUUAGAAAUCGUCCUAGGCCUUUAAGGAAGGAGCCCAUGGGUUGCUUAGGGCUUAAGCAUCCAAAUUAGGUUUUCCUUGUUAGAUAACCCUAAUAGCCUCACUAUUUAAGGACCCCUUGGGCACCAAAAACGUGGGCAACUGACUCCUAGGGGUUUCUACACAUUUUUGGGUGUUUCUUCUCUUCUCCUAUUCAUCCUCUUGCUCUUGGUGUUUGUGAACCAUUAGAGGAGUGACAUUUGUGACUCUAAGCUUUCUAAAGUCAUUAUAAAGGAGGAUUUGAGAUUGUUAUUGCUACAUAACAAUCAAGGUAUGAUGUAAACCCUAAUUCAUAUGUUAUAUUGAUUAUCAUAUACUAGAUAUAGGGUUUAUAGUCUUGGAUGAGUUGCAUGUACAAUAGAGAAACCUAGAUCCAAGCAUUAGGGUUUUUAUGAGCACAUAGGAUGUUUUUAUAGCUAAAACCCAUCAGGGUUAAACCCAUUGGAUGCUCCAUGGAGGCUCCAUGGGAGUUACAAACCCAUGGGUAAUGGAAAUGAAGAGUCAUGUCACAUUAGGGUUUACAUGGCGUAACCCUAGAUGUGACACACUAUAUAAAGAACAUCAUACUCCCUAAAAUCGGCUACACAUAGUGACAAGAGGGCUUGCCUGAUUUUUUGAGUGUUACACGUUCUCUCAAAGUUGUUCCAAAGCAUUUGGUGUUGUAUGAAGCAUUUGAGGAAUCACACUUAGGGUGCUAGGCUCUCAAGGUUUCAAGGAAUCAUAACAACAACAAGGUAUGUGUUUCUAGCUAUCUUUUAUAUUAUAAAGUUCCCCAUGUAUGCUAGAUAGGUUUAUGAACCUUGGAAAAAAGUAAUUUGCAUGUAUCUUAUACAAACAUAGAUCCAAGGUUCUCUAGGGUUGCAUGUACACUUAGGAGUGUUAGAAUUGCUCAAAACCCUUCGAUGGUAUCAGAGACUAGGCUUGCUUGUUUGAUAUUUGAUGCAAAAUAGUGAAAAAAGUCGAUUUUUUGUUGUCUGCCUGCUGAAAUCGCCAAGUCCAUGGGGGGACUUGCCGAGUUCAUGUGUAAAAUCAUCCUACUCGUCGAGUAGGUUCAUGCACUCGACGAGUAGGAGCCUCAGAAUGCAGUUUUUUGACUUUUGCUGCUGGAAAUGGACUAGAAACGUUACCCUAAACUGUUUGGGUGUUAUUAAACAUGUUUUAGAUGGUGUAAUGGUUGUUCUAAUCCAUUUAUAAUGACUAAUAUCAAAAUUCCAUGAUUUUAUGUUUUCUUGAAAAUUUGAUAUUCAUAUUCAUGUUCUUAUGAGUUUAGAUGAUCAUAGGAAUUAUGUGUAACUUCUUGAUAGUUUUAAUUCUUAAUCAUUAUGUGUUUUAAUGGAAUCCAUAAUUUGUCCUCAAGUUAUGAAUUACCAAAAGUUUUAUCUUUGAAUGUCCAUUGAAGAAACACAUAGGUUACAUAAAAUGAAGAUUUACUCAUUUUAAUGAACCAAUUAAUCUCAUAAGUUAUGGAUUGAAGAGUUUUGUUAAGUUACAAAACUUUCCCUCAAAUUUUGGAACUUGUAAAGUCACCUAAUUAACUUUAGUUCCAACCCCUAGAAUUUAAAAUGUUAAAAUUCAACACUUAUACUUUAUAAUAUUAUAAGUUUAAUAUAUAUAUAUAUAUAUAUAUAUAUNNNNNNNNNNNNNNNNNNNNNNNNNNNNNNNNNNNNNNNNNNNNNNNNNNNNNNNNNNNNNNNNNNNNNNNNNNNNNNNNNNNNNNNNNNNNNNNNNNNNNNNNNNNNNNNNNNNNNNNNNNNNNNNNNNNNNNNNNNNNNNNNNNNNNNNNNNNNNNNNNNNNNNNNNNNNNNNNNNNNNNNNNNNNNNNNNNNNNNNNNNNNNNNNNNNNNNNNNNNNNNNNNNNNNNNNNNNNNNNNNNNNNNNNNNNNNNNNNNNNNNNNNNNNNNNNNNNNNNNNNNNNNNNNNNNNNNNNNNNNNNNNNNNNNNNNNNNNNNNNNNNNNNNNNNNNNNNNNNNNNNNNNNNNNNNNNNNNNNNNNNNNNNNNNNNNNNNNNNNNNNNNNNNNNNNNNNNNNNNNNNNNNNNNNNNNNNNNNNNNNNNNNNNNNNNNNNNNNNNNNNNNNNNNNNNNNNNNNNNNNNNNNNNNNNNNNNNNNNNNNNNNNNNNNNNNNNNNNNNNNNNNNNNNNNNNNNNNNNNNNNNNNNNNNNNNNNNNNNNNNNNNNNNNNNNNNNNNNNNNNNNNNNNNNNNNNNNNNNNNNNNNNNNNNNNNNNNNNNNNNNNNNNNNNNNNNNNNNNNNNNNNNNNNNNNNNNNNNNNNNNNNNNNNNNNNNNNNNNNNNNNNNNNNNNNNNNNNNNNNNNNNNNNNNNNNNNNNNNNNNNNNNNNNNNNNNNNNNNNNNNNNNNNNNNNNNNNNNNNNNNNNNNNNNNNNNNNNNNNNNNNNNNNNNNNNNNNNNNNNNNNNNNNNNNNNNNNNNNNNNNNNNNNNNNNNNNNNNNNNNNNNNNNNNNNNNNNNNNNNNNNNNNNNNNNNNNNNNNNNNNNNNNNNNNNNNNNNNNNNNNNNNNNNNNNNNNNNNNNNNNNNNNNNNNNNNNNNNNNNNNNNNNNNNNNNNNNNNNNNNNNNNNNNNNNNNNNNNNNNNNNNNNNNNNNNNNNNNNNNNNNNNNNNNNNNNNNNNNNNNNNNNNNNNNNNNNNNNNNNNNNNNNNNNNNNNNNNNNNNCUCCUGGAAGAAUCGCGGGGCCACCCCGACUCAACUCGCCGAGUCUGAAGAACAACUCGACGAGUCCCAGUUAAUCUUCAAGCUACUCGCCGAGUCUGUUCAUCGGACUCGGCGAGUCCAUGCCAUGCAACCGCUCAAACUGCUUUCUAAGGUCAGAACUGCUCCGACCAUUCAUAGGUCUGGCCUUCCUAGACUGAUUCAUCACGUAAGGUCCUCAUUUCGGUGCUCAUAAUACACCCCAUGACUCAUAAUUUACAUUUUGACCUAAGGCAUAAGGAUUCCAAUCCAAAACCUCCAUUGAUUCCUGAAAUGCUCAGGCAUGGGACAUUCUGGACUUCCAAAGAUCUCAAUACAGGGUUCCAAUCGUUUGGGGGACUAAAGUAACACUCAAUCUAGCCACAAAAGGGUUCAAUAAAUCCUAAAUCCAUAUACACAUCAACAUAGAAGAAUGUAACUCGAAAUAUUACCUGAAUAACGUGCUCUCUGUGUCCCCAAUCCACAGAACGUGGCUCUUCCUGUUGUUCCCUUAACCAAGCCUCUUCUUCCUUGCAAAACCACACUUCCAAAAUCAACAAUGGUCUUCAACCUUGCUCCAGACGCUCACAAUCGAAUUAGGGUUUCUCUCAGAGGACUAGGGUGAACAAUGACGGCCAUAAAGUCCCUCAUAUACGUCCCAAACCUGAACGGUUAGGGUUUUCGCUAAAUAGCGCAGACUCGCCGAGUCCAUAUCCGGACUCGUCGAGUCCAGUCGCGAACCCGCAACCAGAUCCGCGAUCCUACUCGGCGAGUCUAGGCUCCAACUCGCCGAGUCCCCUCUUAAAACACCCAAAAUCAUAAAUAUAACAAUACCUGAAAUUCCAGGCUGUUACAGUAAUCGGGUUAUUGUUGGUUGGUAAAAGUAAAUACAAUUAUUUAUUGCGGGUUGAAAACACUAUAUGCUCACCAGGCUCCCAAGCCUGACCCACUCAGUUUAUUUGUAUUACAGGUAGUGGCGCGAGGGCAUAAGAUGGACGAAUCAUCAAGUUAUUUUGUUUAUUAGACCAGUUGUUAUAUGUAACUAUUGUAUGGUCUAUCUUUUGUUGUUUAUGCUUUUGUGUCUGUAUCGGAACAUGACAUCUCGAGUUUUGAUUUUAUAGUGAAAAUACAUUUCUUUAUGAAAUGCUUUGGUAAAUAUUAUUUUAUCAUACUUUGUUUUUGGGAACAAAUUUCGCAACUCUUUUAAAUCAAAAGGAUUUACUCUUAAAUUAUUUUAAAAAGCAUAAAUGAAACUGGUCUUUUAUGGCCGUGAUUUUGGGGAUGUCACAGUGGGUAUCAGAGCAUUAGUUUAAGCGAACUAGGAAUUUGUAAGAUUUCUAGACUUAAACUUAGAAUGCUAAGUGGAGAUUGUGAGAAGUGUGUCUGUUAUAUUAUGGACACGAGCACUAGUAUAUUUUAGGAAGUUGCCUAAAAUGCUCUUAGGUGCUAAAUGUUAUAUGUUGCCAUAUAUGAUAUUAUUUGUUUGGAUCUAUGGUCUGUUGCCGACCGGAUCAUGAAACCUUAUGUGUGUAGGAUUCUAAGCAUACGUCUACGACAUUAGAACUAGCAUGUAAACGUUUCGGAGUGAUAUGGAAGAUCGUAAUAUCUAUCAUGAAUAAAGAUCUAAAUUUCACCUUAUUCGGUGUAUUGAUCAAGAAUGGCAAGAACAAGAAGCAGUGAUGGAAAUGCAAACAAGAACAGGAAUCAACCGCCUCUAAUUGAACAAGUAAUUGUUGAAACUGCUGCACCAGAGCAAAUCACUCUGGCUGGGGUGCAAGCCAUGAUUCGGGCUAUGUUAGCCGAACAAAAGGAAGAAAUGCGACAGAUGUUGCAUGAAAAUAGGGACGAACCAAUCAUACCCAUUGAGGAACCCAAACUGAUUCCCGAACAAUCGGAGGAAGGAAACAAUAGUCGCGUUGUGAGUCAAGUUGGGAGUCAAGGAGAACGAAGGAACGACCCGGAAAGGGGAAACAAAAAGGAUGGGAGAAUGUAUAAGAAUUUCUUGGGCGCCAAGCCGCCAAGUCUUUCUGGGAACCUAAAGCCCAUUGAGAUUAUGGAUUAGAUCUCCGAAAUGAAGAUGGUAUUUGAAAGUUGCGACUGUAUCAACAAACAGAAGACUGUCUUUGCAGUUAGACAACUGAAGACCGGAGUCUUGAGCUGGUGGAAGUUGUUGGCAGAUAUUAUGUCAUGAGGAGAAGCCCUGAAAAUGUCAUGAGAGGAGUUCUUAGAACAACUAAGGGCGCAGUAGUGUUCAGAGAUAGAUCUGAUUGAUCUGAACAAUGAGUUCCAAAACUUAAAGAAGGGGAGGAUGAGCAUAAAUGACUAUGCUAUCGCAUUCACUGAUAAAAUGAGGUUAUUUCCAUACCUAGUGCGAAUGAAACUCUCCAAGAUUGAGAGGUUCGCUAAUGGACUACCUUCCGACUUUUGCCCGAUAGUCAAGAUGGCAACUACUCUAAAAAUAGUUGUUUGUGCGGCUAAGAAUGUGGAGACCCAGCAGAAGGAAAAGGGUCUGGAAAGAAUAGAGGUUGGUGAGAAAAGGAAGUUGGAUGGACCUUUAGGGUCCAACAAGAAAAUCAAGUUUUCGAAGUCUAGUUCGAGAGGAGGAGGAGGAAGAGAAGCCAAAUGGUACGACAAAUGUAAGAAGAAGCAUCAUGGAAAAUGUGAAGUAGUAGCCACAUGUUUUAAAUGUGGAAAGCCAGGGCACUAUGCCAAUGAAUGCACUCUCACCAAGAAAGUUUGUUAUGGCUAUGGUGAGGAGGGGCACAUCUCGAGAGAUUGUUCGAAGAAGAAGGAGGCAUCAAAACCCAAUAUUCCCCCAAAGCCGAAGGCGAGAGCAUUCCAGAUGACACUGGAAGCUGCAAAAUAUGAAGCUGAUGUCGCUUCAGGUACCUUUCUCGUAAACAAAUUGCAUGCCCAAAUUUUAUUUGAUUCUGGAGCCAACUACUCCUUUAUUUCGCAUGAAUUUGGUAGAAACUAGCUUCUCCUGUCGAUAGACUAGAUAAUGCUUUAUUAGUCGAAGUUGCUAGUAGCAAAUUUCUACCUAUUAGCCAUCGUAUGAAAAACAUCUUAAUUCACUUGAAUGGGAAUAAGUUCCAUGAGGAAUUAUUGCCUAUCGAACUAAACAAUUUCGACAUCGUGCUGGGAAUGGAUUGGCUUAGCGCCAAUGACGCCGAAAUAUUGUGCAAGAAGAAGAUUGUAAAGGUAAAUCCGCCAGGNGCAAGAAGAAGAUAGUAAAAGUAAACCCACCAGUGAAAGAGUCAUUUAUGGUGUAUGGGGACAAACGCAGAGUAAAUUCUAGAAUCAUUUAUCUAAUGAAAGCCAGAAAGUGUUUGGCCAAAGGAUGUACAUCAUAUUUGGCAUUUGUGAUAGAUUCUAAGAAGGAGAAAAAGGUGAUGCAAAGCAUUCCUAUCGUAUGUGAUUAUCGGGAAGUAUUUCCCAAAGAUCUUCCCGGAUUACCGCCUGAUAGAAAUUUGGAGUUCAUAAUAGACUUGUUACCAGGGACGACGCCUAUAGCAAAAGCACCUAAUCGAUUAGCACCAUCAGAGAUGAAGGAGCUAAUGAUGCAACUUCAGGAGUUAUUGGGCAAAGGUUUAAUUAGACCUAGUUUAUCACCCUGGGGAGCUCCGAUGUUAUUCGUGAAGAAGAAAGAUGGAAGUAUGAGAAUGUGCAUCGAUUAUAGAGAGCUGAACAAGGCAACAAUAAAGAAUAGAUAUCCGUUGCUGAGGAUUGAUGACUUGUUCGAUCAACUACAAGGUUCAAGUUAUUUUUCAAAGAUCGACCAAAGGUCAAGAUAUCAUCAGCUGAAGGUGAAAGAGCAGAUAUAGAGAAGACUGCAUUCAGAACACGAUAUGGACACUAAGAGUUUUUGGUUAUAUCAUUUGGACUAACCAAUGCUCCAGCAUCAUUCAUGGAUUUAAUGAUCAUGGUUUGUAAUCCGUUCCUAGAUAAAUCUGUGAUAGUGUUCAUAGAUGACAUUCUGAUUUAUUUGAAAAGCGAAGAGGAGCAUGGCAUACACUUGCGAGAAGUGUUAGAAGUCUUGAAGAAGGAGAAGUUGUAUACAAAUUUCUCCAAAUGUGAUUUCUGGAUUCGAGAAGUCCAAUUCUUGGGUCACGUGAUCAACUAAAAAGGGAUAAUGGUUGAUCCAGCAAAGAUUGAAGCUGUAAUGAAGUGGGAACAACCGAAAAGUCCCACGGAGAUCCGAAGCUUUUUAGGAUUAGCCAGAUAUUACCGAAGGUUUAUCCAAGGCUUUUCUACGAUCGCUACUCCAUUAACAGCGUUCACCCACAAAGGAGUUACUUAUGCUUGGAAUGAUAAGCAUAAAGAAGAAUUCGAGAGGCUAAAGAAGAAGCUAUAUGAGGCAGCGAUUCUUUCUCUACCCGAUGGAGUUGAAGACUUCGCUGUUUAUAGCAAUGCGUCUGGUGUUGGCUUGGGUUGUGUUUUAACCCAAAGGGAAAAGGUGAUCGCAUAUGCAUCUCGACAGUUGAAGGAGCAUGAAAAGAACUACCCGACUCAUGAUUUGGAGUUGGAAACGGUAGUUUUCGCUCUGAGAAUAUGGAGGCAUUACCUCUAUGGCACGAAGUGCAACUUUUCACUGAUCAUAAGAGUCUCCAAUAUCUCUUUAGUCAGAAAUAAUUAAAUAUGAGGCAAUGAAGUUGGCUUGAAUUACUUAAGGAUGUACGACUGCGAGAUACUUUACCACCCUGGUAAGGCUAAUGUUGUUGCUGAUGUUCUCAGUCGGGAAGUCAAUCUUGAAAGAAAAAGGCCAAGAGCGUUGAGAAUAGAAGUUGUCUCAACAAUUGUGGAGAGUAUAAAGAAAGCUAAAGAGGAAGCUUUUGUGAAGAAUGAUCGAAAAGAAGAACUUUAGGGAAAAAUGUUGGUGUUCGGUAUAAACAGUCAUGGACUGAAGGUGUUCCAAGAUCGGAUUUGGAUACCUAAGACAAGAGGAGUCAGAGAUCUUAUGAUGGAAGAAGCUCAUAAGUCCAUGUACUCAAUUCAUCCCGGUAGUACUAAAAUGUAUAGGGACCUAAAACCCUACUACUGGCGGCCGACGAUGAAGCUUGAUGUUGAAAAGUAUGUAGCCGUGUGUGUGACUUGUGUGAGAGUCAAGACACAACAUCAGAAACCGUAUGGGAGUUUAGAACCUUUGCCUGUGCCUAUGGGUAAGUGGGAAGACAUUGCUAUGGAUUUUAUCACUAAACUGCCCAGAACGAAAAGUGGUCACAACAUGAUUUGGGUGAUCGUUGAUCGAUUCACUAAGAGUGCGCAUUUCAUAGCAUCCAAUGAGAAAUGGUCUAUGGAAAAGCGUGCGAAUUCUUUUGUGAAGGAAGUUGUGAGGCUUCACGGUGUUCCGUUAACGAUUGUGUCAUAUCGUGAUAGCCAUUUCACCUCGCGAUUUUGGAGAAGUCUACAAGAGGAAUUGGGUAGCAAGUUGUGUUUGAGUACAUCUUACCAUCCACAGACUGAUGGUCAGAGCGAACGGACGAUACAAACACUUGAAGAUAUGCUGAGAGCAUCUACCCUAGAAUUCCAAGGUACUUGGGAUGAACAUUUACCUUUGAUGAAAUUUUCCUACAAUAAUAGUUUCCACUAGAGCCUAAAGAUGGCACCUUGUCAAGCUUUGUAUGGACAGAAGUUUCGUACGCCGUCUUAUUGGCUUGAGGCUGGAGAAAAGAAGUUUAUGGGACCCGAGAUGGUUCAUCAAAUUGCUGAAAACCUGAAAAUAAUUUAGGAAAGAAUGUUAGUAGCUCAGGAUCGUCAAAAGUGCUAUGCUGACAAAUAGCGAAGACCGAUGACUUUUGAAGUUGGAAAUUCGGUUUUGCUUAAAGUCUCGCCAUGGAAGGGACUUAUAAGAUUUUGUAAAUGGGCAAAGUUUAGUCCAAGGUUUAUUGGACCUUUUAAAGUUCUUGAGAGGAUUGAGAACCAAGCUUACAAGAAUGAAUUGCCAGAAGAACUGCAUGGUAUUCAUAACACUUUCCAUGUGUGUUAUUUGAGGAAGUUUACUAGAGAACUUCCCGACAUGAUUCCACUUUCGGAGUUGAGAAUCAAUGAGAACAAAAGGUUGAUUGAAGAACCAGAGGCAAUCGUUCACUGAAAGACUAAGAAGUUGGGACGCAAGAUGGUCGAGUUUGUGCUUGUCCGAUGGAAACACACGAAUAGGCCAAAUCUCACCUGGGAGACGGAGAGUGACAUGAUCAGUCACUACCCGCAUUUGUUUGUUGAUGUGUGAUUCCGAGGACGGAAUCAUUCUAAGGUGGAGAGAAAUGUAACACCUGUGUUUCUGGGCUUGUCAUUAAUAUUGAUGUAAUAGUCCAGGUUAACCAUUGUAACCCGUUUCGAAAUAAUAGAAGUGUAUUAUUUGAGUAUUAUGUGUUUUGUGCUUAAUUGUGUGUCUCAAUUGAGUUAAGUAUGAAAAUAAGCGUCAAAAUUAAAUGUUAGAUAAAGCCGAUAUUUAUGUAUAAUGCUCUAGUAGUUGAAACGAGGUUUCCGAAUAUACAUAGAAUGCCGAAAUCCGAGUUAUAAGGAAGAAGUUAUGAUAUGUCGAAGUUUCGCGACAGAAACCGGCACGACGCUGAAUGACGUAAAAAGUGAAUUUACGUUAGAGUGAUACUUAGCCCUAGUGAUCUAAACGAAUGUUGUAGAUUUCGUUAAAUUGAGAGCGUGCAUAAAAAAAUCGCCCAAAUCUGACUUCGUAUGAGGAAGUUAUGAUUUUCCGAAGUUUCAACUUAUCAGUGUGCAGCCCGAAUACUCGAUUUGAGAUCAAGCGGUUUUUAGCCGAAACAAUCUAAACGAGAAUUGAAGAUCUCGUUAAUGGUAGUGCAAUGGUAAAAAGACAGAUGAAAACGGACGUCGGAUGAAGAAGUUAUGAAUUUAUAACGGGGUUUUUCUGUCCCGGCCUACUAAAAAUAAAUAAUAAAAAAAUAAUAUCAAAAUCAGCCGACGGAGUCUAAACGAAAGUUGUAGAGCGUAGUCUCACCUACGCGUGGAUAUAAAGAAAGUCGAAACGGAGUUCAUAUGAAGAAGAUAUGAAUUUCCGAAGUUUUUAAAUGAUUAACAUUUAUUAAUUAAUCUUUAAUUCGGAUGUAUAUCCGAAGGAGACACCGAUCUAGUCCGCACUACGCCCAGCGUAGUUGAGUACGACCAGCGUACACCGAAGUGUGACCCGCCUUACACUCAAGAGCUCCGAUAACGCAUGCAGUGACGAAUCCGAAGUGUACACCCCGCGUACUGAGCAUUACGCCCAGCGUAAUGUGAGGCUUCAGCCUCUAUAAAAGGGCUUGCGAGGGCAGCCAAUGCUUUUGCUCAAUUUAUUUUCUCUCUCUCCCGUUUUGCAUCGUUUUGCAUACAAAUUAUACCCCGAAACCCCGAUAUCAUUCCCGAGCCCCGAAGCAUGUCCUGAAGCCCCGAAGAUCCCGAGGAGUAGUGUUCCCGAGCCGAAGCUCUGCCUGCAAGAAGCCAAUUUUUUUGAAGAUCUUCCAGAUCUACCGAAGAAUACUACUUCUACAAGUCGUAGUGUUGUCCGAUCAUCUUCUGAUCAAGUGAGUAUGUAGUUACUUUCAUCUAAUGCAUAAUUACGAAGUAUUUUAUACGAAAUACGUGUUAUGUGUAUAUUUGUUGUUAUAUGUGUGAAUGUAUAUUCACUUUCUUCUAUCUCGUACAUAUGACUAAUUCUCUAUGAAAUAUGUGUUAUGUGUAUCUGUCUCAUCUGUUGUUUGGAAUAUGUAUUGAAUGAGAAUGUUAUACAGGUUUUAAACUAAGUAUAAAAAUAUAUAUUUUUAUCUACUAAUAUGUUGGGUAGACCAUGGGUAGAUGGUUGAUGUGUGAUAAACAGAUGAGAGGCCUCGAUGUUGCUGUUGAUCUAGUUAUUCAGCGGACUAUGGAUAAUGACCACAGACUCUUUCGAGACAGUCAUGUGGAACGCUGUGACAUCCUCAAAAUCACGGCCAAAAAAGACCGUUUUAAUUUAUGCUUUUAAAAUAAUUUGAGAGUAAAUCCUUUGAUUUAAAAGAGUUGCGGAAUUUGUUCCCAAAACAAAAUAUGAUAAAAUAAAGUUUUUCAAAGCAUUUCAUCAAGAGAUGCAUCUUCAUUAUAUAACAAUAUUCGGGAUGUCAUGUUCCCAUAAACAGACCAAAAAUAUAAACAACAAAAGAUAGAUCAUACAACAGUUACAUAUAACAAUUGGUCUAGUAUCAAAAGAUCUUGAUAAGUCAUCCAACUUAUGCUCUCGCGCCACUACCUAUAAUACAAAUAAACUGAGUGGGUCAGGCUUGGGAGCCUGGUGAGCAUAUAGGGUUUUCAACCCGAAAUAAAUAAUUAUAUUUAAUUUCACCAACCAACAAUAACCCAAUUACCCAUUCCCGUUAUCCUCACUUUACGUCCCUAAAACAACAUCUAUCUCAAGGGAUCUAAUAUAGGAUUUUCAUCGGGACAGACACUGCACAGGGGUUACCUCAAUAGUAGAUGUCCUAAAGGCAACCAUGAGGGGGAUAGAGUACACCGGUGAACACAUCGUUCACAACACCUAGCUAGCGUUCCACAGGACUGUCUAGAAAGAGUCUGUGGUUGUUAUCCAUACUCCGCUGAAUAACUAGAUCAACAACAACAACAUCGAGGCCUCUCAUUUGUUUAUCACACAUCAACUAUCUACCCAUGUUCUACCCAACAUAUUAGUAGAUAAAAAUAUAUAUUUUUAUACAUAGUUUAAAACAUGUAUAGCAUUCUCAUUCAAUACAUAUUCCAAUCAACAGAUGAGACACAUACACAUAGCACGUAUUUCCUAGAGAAUAAAUUAUAUCUCUGAGAUAGAAGAAAGUGAAUAUACAUUCACACAUAUAACAAAAAAUAUACACAUAACACGUAUUUUGUAUAAAAUACUUCAUAAUUAUGCAUUAGAAGAAAGUAACUACACACUCACUUGAUCAGAAGAUGAUCGGACAACACUACAGCUCUAAGAGUAGUAUUCUUCGGUGAAACUGGGUUCACUUCACUCACCAGGCUUCUUGCGGGCAGAGCUUCAGCUCGGAAACUCUUUUCUUCGAGGGAUCUUCGAGCUUCAGGACUUGCUUCGGUUGUCGGGAUGAUACCGGGGCUUCGGGGGUACUUUUUCACGUAAAUCGAGGUAAUAUGAGUGAGAGAGAAGAGAUUUGGCAACCACAAACGGUUGCCCCUUCAAAUCUAUUUAUAGGGCUAUUUUCUCAUUUUCCACGUCGUGGGCACUUCUUCCACGUCGUGAGCUUGGUCGUCAUUGCAUGCGUCAUCGUCCACUUGCUCUGCCAGGCUCCAGAAGGCGUCAGAAGCCAUGCCACGUCGUGGUCUCUGACGGUUUUGGUGUUUCGCACCCCGAACUUCAGAAAUCCAUAACUUUCGCAUACUUACUCCGUUUUCGACGUUCUUUAUAUCGACGUGUAGGUAAAAACAAGAUCUACAACUUUCAUUUAGACUUUGUAUGCUAAUUUUGACUUUAUUUUUAAUAUAUUAAUAAUAUACUAUUGUUAGUAGGCCGGGACAGGAAAACCCCGUUAGAAAUUCAUAACUCCUUCAUCUGACGUCCAUUUUCGACUGUCUUUUCACCGUUGGAGUACAAUCGAUGAGAUCUUUGAUUCUCGUUUAGAUUGUUUCGUCUAAAUAUCGCUCGAUCUCGUAUUCGAACUUCGGGCUAUACACUGCUAAACAAAAACUUCGAAAAAUCAUAACUUCCUCAUACGAAGUCAGAUUUGGGCCUUCUUUUUAUGCACGCUCUCAGUUUAACGAACUCUACAACAUUACUUUAGAUCGCUAAGUCCAAAUAUUUUUCUAAUGUAAACUCACUAUUUACGUCUCGCUGUGUCGUACCGGUUCUGUCGCGAAACUUCGACAAGUCAUAACUUCUUCGUUAUAACUCGGAUUUCGGCAUUCUUUAUAUAUUCAGAAACCUCGUUUCAACUACUACAACAUUAUCCAUAGAUAUUGGGUUGAUCUAACAUUUCAUUUUGACGUUUAUUUUUAUUCUUAAUUAAAUUAAGACAUACAAUUAAGCACAAAAACACAUAAUACUCAAAUAAUACACUUCUAUUAUUUCAAAACGGGUUACAAAGGUUAACCUAGACUAUUAUAUCAACAUUAAUGACAACCCCAGAAACACCGUCAUUACAAUUCUCUCCACCUUAGAAUGAUUCCGUCCCCGGAAUCACACAUCAACAAACAAAUGUGGGUAGCGACUCAUCAUGUCACUCUCCGUCUCCCAAGUGAGAUUUGGCCCAUUCGUGUGUUUCCAUCGGACAAGCACAAACUCAACCACAUUGCGUCGCAACUUCUUAGUCUUUCGGUCAAAGAUUGCCUCUGGUUCUUCAAUCAAUCUUUUGUUCUCAUCGAUUCUCAACUCCAAAAGUGGAAUCAUGUCGGGAACUUCUCUCGUGAACUUCAUCAAAUAACACACAUGGAAAUUUUUAUGAAUUCCAUUCAGUUCUUCUGGUAGUUCGAGCUUGUAAGCUUGGUUCCCAAUCCUCUAAAGAACUUUAAACGGUCCAAUAAACCUUGGACUCAACCUUCCCCUUUUACCAAAUCUUAUAAGUCCCUUCGACGGCGAGACUUUAAGCAAAACCGAAUCUCCAACUUCAAAAGUCAUCGGUCUUCGCUUGUUGUCAGCAUAGCUCUUUUGACGAUCUUGAGCUGCUAACAUUCUCUCCCUAAUUAUUUUCAACUUUUCAGCAGUUUGAUGGACUAUCUCUAGUCCCAUAAACUGCUUUUCUCCAGCCUCAAGCCAACAAGACGGCGUACGACACUUCUUUCCAUACAAAGCUUGAUAAGGUGUCAUCUUUAUGCUCGAGUGGAAACUAUUAUUGUAGGAAAAUUCUACAAAAGGUAAAUGUUCAUUCCAAUUACCUUAGAAUUCCAGGGUACAUGCUCUCAUCAUAUCUUCAAGUGUUUGUAUUGUUCGUUCGCUCUGAGCAUCAGUCUGUGGAUGGUAAGUUGUACUCAAACACAACUUGGUACCCAAUUCCUCUUGUAGACUUCUCCAAAAUCGCGAGGUAAAGCGGCUGUCACGAUCUGACAAAAUCGUUAACGGAACACCGUGAAGCCUCACAACUUCCUUCACAUAAGAAUUCGCACGCUUUUCCAUAGACCAUUUCUCAUUGGAUGCUAUGAAAUACGCACUCUUAGUGAAUCGAUCAACGACCACCCAAAUCAUGUCGUGACCACUUUUCAUUUUGGGCAGUUUAGUGAUAAAAUCCAUAGCAAUGUCUUCCCAAAUACCCAUAGGCACAGGCAAAGGUUCUAAACUCCCGUAUGGUUUCUAAUGUUGUGUCUUGACUCUCGCACAAGUCACACACUUGGAAACAUACUUUGCAACAUUAAGCUUCAUCGUCGGCCAACAGUUGUAGGGUUUCAGGUCCCUAUACAUCUUAGUGUCGCCGGGAUGAAUUAAGUACAUGGUUUUGUAAGCUUCUUCCAUCAGAAUUUCUCUGACUCCUCUUGUCUUAGGUAUCUAAAUCCGAUCUUGGAACACCUUCAGUGCAUGACUGUUUACACCGAACACUAACGUUUUGCCCAAACAUUCUCCCUUUCGGUCAUUCUUCUCAGAAGCUUCCUCUUGAACUUUCUUUAUACUUUCCAUUAUUGUCGAGACAACUUCAAUUCUCAACGCUCUUGGCCUCUUCCUUUCAAGAUUGACUUUCCGACUGAGAGCAUUAGCAACAACAUUUGCUUUGCUGGGGUGGUAAAGUAUCUCACAGUCAUAGUCCUUAAGUAACUCUAGCCAGCGUCGUUGCCUCAUAUUCAAUUCCUUCUGAUUAAAGAGAUAUUGGAGACUCUUAUGAUCAGUGAAAAGUUGGCACUUCGUGCCAUAGAGGUAAUGUCUCCAUAUCUUUAGAGAGAAAACUACCGCCGCCAACUCCAAGUCAUGAGUCGGGUAGUUCUUUUCAUGCUCUUUCAACUGUCGAAAUGCAUAUGCGAACACCUUUUCCCUUUGGUUCAAAAUACAACCCAACCCAACACCUGACGCGUCGCUAUAAAAACAAAGUCUUCAACUCCAUCGAGUAGAGAAUGUAUCGGUGCCUCGCAUAGUUUCUUCUUUAGCUUCUCGAAUGCUUCUUUAUGCUUAUCACUCCAAGCAUAAGUAGCUCCUUUGUGGGUCAAAGCUGUUAAUGGAGUAGCGAUCAAAGAAAAGCCUUGGAUAAACCUUCGGUAAUAUCCGACUAAUCCCAAAAAGCUUCAGAUCUCCGUGGGACUUUUCAGUUGUUCCCAGUUCAUUACAGCUUCAAUCUUUGCUGGAUCAACCAUUAUUCCUUCUUGGUUGAUCACAUGACCCAAGAAUUGGACUUCUCGAAUCCAAAAAUCACAUUUGAAGAACUUAGCAUAUAGCUUCUCCUUAUUCUAGACUUCUAACACUUCUCGCAAGUAUCUACCAUGCGCCUCUUGGCUUUUCGAAUAAAUCAGAAUGUCAUCUACAAACACUAUCACUGAUUUAUCAAGGAACGGAUUAGAAACCCUGAUCGUUAAAUCUACGAAUGUUGUUGGAGAAUUGGUUAGUCCAAACGACAUAACCAAAAACUCAUAGUGUCCGUAUCGUGUUCUGAAUGCAGUCUUCUCUAUAUCCUGCUCUCUUACUUUCAGGUGAUGAUAUCCUGACCUAAGAUCGAUCUUUGAGAAAUAGCUCGAACCUUGUAGUUGAUCAAACAGGUCAUCAAUCCUCGGCAACAUAUAUCUAUUCUUUAUUGUUGCCUUUUUCAGAUCUCUGUAAACGAUGCACAUUCUCAUACUUCCAUCUUUCUUCUUUACGAAUAACACCGGAGCUCCCCAGGGUGAUGAACUAGGUCUAAUGAAACCUUUGUCCAAUAACUCCUGAAGUUGCAUCAUCAGCUCCUUCAUCUCCGUCGGUGCUAAUCGGUAAGGUGCUUUUGCNNNNNNNNNNNNNNNNNNNNNNNNNNNNNNNNNNNNNNNNNNNNNNNNNNNNNNNNNNNNNNNNNNNNNNNNNNNNNNNNNNNNNNNNNNNNNNNNNNNNNNNNNNNNNNNNNNNNNNNNNNNNNNNNNNNNNNNNNNNNNNNNNNNNNNNNNNNNNNNNNNNNNNNNNNNNNNNNNNNNNNNNNNNNNNNNNNNNNNNNNNNNNNNNNNNNNNNNNNNNNNNNNNNNNNNNNNNNNNNNNNNNNNNNNNNNNNNUCUUUCCCAGGUGGGUUUACUUUGACUAUCUUCUUCUUGCACAAUAUCUCAGCAUCAUUGGCGCUAAGCCAAUCCAUUCCAAGCACGAUGUCAAAACCUUUAAGUUCAAUAGGCAAUAAUUUCUCGUGAAACUUAUUCUCAUUCAAAUCAAUUAAGAUGUUUUUCAUACGAUGACUAACAGGUACAAACUUGCCACUAGCAACUUCGACUAAUAAAGCAUUAUCUAGUCUAUCGACAGGCAAAGCUAGUUUUCUACCAAAUUCAUGUGAAAUAAAGGAGUAGUUGGCUCAAGACUCAAAUAAAAUUUGGGCAGGCAAUUCGUUAACGAGAAAGGUACCUGAAGCGACAUCAGCUUCAUCUUUAGCAGCUUCCAGUGUCAUCUGGAAGGCUCUCGCCUUCGGCUUUGGCGGAAUGUUGGGUCUUGCUGCCUCCUUUUUGGGGCAGUCCCUAGACACGUGUCCCUCCUCACCACAACCAUAACAAACUUUCUUGGUGAGAGUGCAUUCGUUGGCAUAGUGCCCUGGCUUUCCACAUUUAAAACAUGUGGCCACUACCUCACAUUUUCCAUGAUGCUUCUUCUUACAUUUGUCGCACCAUUUUGCUUCGCCUCCUCCUCCUCUCGAACUAGACUUCGAGAACUUUUUUUUCUUGUUGGACCUGAAGGUCCUUCGAACUUCCUCUUUUCACCAACCUCUAUCCUUUCCAGACCCUUUUCCUUCUGUUGGGCCUCCACAUUCUUAGCUGCUCGAACAACUUUUUUCAGAGUGGUUGCCAUCUUGACUGUCGGACCUAAUUCGGUAGGUAGUCCAUUAGCAAACCUCUCAAUCUUGGAGAGUUCCGUUGGCACCAGGUACGAAAAUAACUUUAUUUUCUCAGUGAAUGCAGUAGGAUAGUCGUCUACGCUCAUUCUCCCCUUCUUCAAGUUUUGGAAAUCAUUGUUCAAAUCAAUCAGAUCUAUCUUUGAACAGUACUGCACCCUUAGUUGUUCCAAGAAAUCCUCCCAUGACAUUUUCAGGGCUUCUCCUCAUUGCAUAGUAUCUGCCAACAGCUUCCAAAAACUCAAGACACCAGUCUUCAGUUGUCUAAAUGCAAAGACAGUCUUCUUUUUGUUGCUACAGUCGCAACUUUCAAAUACCAUCUCCAUUUCGGAGAUCCAAUCCAUAAUCUCAACAGGCUUCAGGCUUCCAGAAAGACUUGGCGGCUUGGCGCCCAAGAAAUUCUUGUACAUUCGCCCAUCCUUGUUGUUUCUCCUUUCCGGGUCGUUCCUUCGUUCUCCUUGAGUCCCAACUUGACUCAUAAUGCGACUAUUGUUUCCGUCCUCCGAUUGUUUGGGAAUCAGUUCAGGUUCCUCAAUAGGUAUGAUUGGUUCAUCCCUAUUUUCAUGUAACAUUUGUUGCAUUUCUUCCCUUUAUUCGGCUAACAUAGCCUGAACCAUGGCUUGCACCCCAGCCAUUGUUAUUGGUUCUGGUGCUGCUGCUACAACAGGUAUUUGCUCAAUCACUGGUGGUUGAUUCCUGUUUUCAUCUGCAUUUCCAACGCCACUCCUGGUUCUUACCAUUUUUUAUCUACACACCGAAUAAGGUGAAAUUCGAUCCUCAUCCAUGAUAGAUAAUUAAAUCAUCCUUAUCACUCCGAAACAUUUACAUGUUAGUUCUAAUACCGACGUCAUACGCUUAGAAUCUUACACACAUAAGGUUUCAAGAUCCGGUCGGCAGUAUACCAUAGAUCCGAACAAAUAAUAUCAUAUAUGGCAACAUAUAACAUUUAGCACAUAAAAGCAUUUUAGGCAGCUUCCUAAAAUAUACUAGUGCUCGUGUCUAUAAUAUAAUAGACACACAUCUCACAAUCUCCACUUAGCAUUCUAAUUUUAAGUCUAGAAAUCCUACAAAUUCCUAGUUCGCUUAAACUAAUGCUCUGAUACCAACUGUGACAUCCCCAAAAUCACGGCCAGAAAAGACCGUCUUAAUUUAUGCUUUUACACUAAUUUCAGAGUAAAUCCUUUGAUUUAAAAGAGUUGCGGAAUUUGUUUCCAAAACAAAAUAUGAUAAAAUAAAGUUUAUCAAAGCAUUUCAUUAAGAGAUACAUUUUCAUUAUAUAACAAUGUUCGGGAUGUCAUGUUCAGAUAAACAGACCAAAAGCAUAAACAACAAAAGAUAGACCAUACAACAGUUACAUAUAACAAAUGGUCUAAUAUCAAAAGAUCUUGAUAUGUCAUCCAACUUAUGCUAUCACGCCAAUACCUGUAAUACAAAUAAACUGAGUGGGUCUGGCUUGGGAACCUGGUGAGCAUAUAGGGUUUUCAACCUGCAAUAAAUAAUUACAUUUAAUUUCACCAACCAACAAUAACCCGAUUACCCAUUCCCGUUAUCCUCACUUUACGUCCCUAAAACAAUAUCUAUCUCAAGGGACCUAAUCAAGGAUUUUCAGCGGGACGGACAUUACUGCAAAGGGGUUUCCUCAACAGUAGAUGUCCUAAAGGCAACCAUGAGGGGGAUAGAGUACACCGGUGAAUACAUCGUUCACAACACCUACAGGUUAUGAGCCUGCUAGCGUUCCACAGGACUGACUAGAAAGAGUCUGUGGUCGUUAUCCAUACUCCGCUGAAUAACUAGAUCAACAACAACAACAUCGAGGCCUCUCAUCUGUUUAUCACACAUCAACUAUCUACCCAUGUUCUACCCAACAUAUUAGCAUAUAAAAAUAUAUAUUUUUAUACAUAGUUUAAAAACUAUAUAGCAUUCUCAUUCAAUACAUAUUCCAAUCAAUAGAUGAGACAUAUACACAUCGCACGUAUUUCAUAGAGAAUAAAUCAUAUCUAAGAGAUAGAAGAAAGUGAAUAUACAUUCACACAUAUAACAACAAAAUAUACACAUAACACGUAUUCUGUAUAAAAUACUUCAGAAUUAUGCGUUAGAAGAAAGUAACUACACACUCACUUGAUCAGAAGAUGCUCGGACAGCACUACAGCUCUAAGAGUAGUAUUCUUCGGUGAAACUGGGUUCACUUCACUCAUCGGACUUCUUAUGGGCAGAGCUUCGGCUCGGAAACUCUUUUCUUCGCGGGAUCUUCGAGCUUCUGGACUUGCUGCGGGUGUCGGGAUGAUACCGGGGCUUCGGGGGUACUUCUUUGCAUGUAAAUUGAGGUAAGAUGAGUGAGAGAGAAGAGAUUUGGCAACCACAAACGGCUGCCCCUUCAAAUCUAUUUAUAGGGCUGUUUUCUCAUUUUCCAUGUCGUGGGCACUUCUNUUCACAUCGUUACAUCAUCGCAAGUUGGGUCUGGUAGACUCCAGGAGUCGUCAAAAGACAUGCCACGUCGUGACCACUGAUUUCACAUCGUGGUCUCUGACAGUCUUGGAGUUUCGCGCCCCGAACUUCAGAAAUUCAUAACUUUAACAUACGAACUCCGUUUUCGACGUUCUUUAUAUCGACGCGUAGGUAAAAACAAGGUCCACAACUGUUAUUUAGACUUUGUAGGCUUAUUUUGACUUUAUUUUUAAUAUAUUAAUAAUAUACUAUUUUUAGUAGGCCGGGACAGGAAAACUCCGUUAGAAAUUCAUAACUCCUUCAUCUGACGUCUGUUUUCGACUGUCUUUUCACCGUUGGACUACUAUCGAUGAGAUCUUCGAUUCUCGUUUAGGUUGUUUCGGCUAAAUAUCGCUCAAUUUCAUAUUCGAACUUCGGGCUGUACACUGCUAAACCGAAACUUCGAAAAAUCAUAACUUCCUCAUACGAAGUCAGAUUUGCACAUUCUUUUUAUGCAUGCUCUCGGUUUAACGAACUCUACAACAUUCCUUUAGAUCACUAAGUCCAAAUAUUGCUCUAAUGUAAACUCACUAUUUACGUCUCGCUGUUUCGUACCGGUUCUGUCGCGAAACUUUGACAUGUUAUAACUUCUUCUUUAUAACUUGUAUUUCGGCAUUCUUUAUAUAUUCGGAAACCUCGUUUAAACUUCUACAACAUUAUCCAUAGAUAUCGACUUUAUCUAACAUUUCAUUUUGACGCUUAUUUUUAUUCUUAAUUAAAUUAAGACACACAAUUAAGCACAAAACACAUAAUACUCAAAUAAUACACUUCUGUUAUUUCAAAACGGGUUACAAAGAUUAACCUAGACUAUUAUAUCAACAUUAAUGACAAGCCCAUAAACACAGUCAUUACAAACGCUAGCAGGCUCAUAACCUGUAGGUGUUGUGAACGAUGUGUUUACCGGUGUACUCUAUCCCCCUCAUGGUUGCUUUUAGGACAUCUACUGUUGAGGAAACCCUUAGCAGUAAUGUCCGUACCGAUGAAAAUCCUAGAUUAGGUCCCUUGAGAUAGAUGUUGUUUUAGGGACGUAAAGUGAGGAUAACGGGAAUGGGUAAUCGGGUUAUUGUUGGUUGGUAAAAGUAAAUAUAAUAAUUUAUUGCGAGUUGAAAACCCUAUAUGCUCACCAGGCUCCCAAGCCUGACCCACUCAGUUUAUUUGUAUUACUAGUAGUGUCGCGAGGGCAUAAGAUGGAUGAAUCAUCAAGUUAUUUUAUUUAUUAGACCAGUUAUUAUAUGUAACUGUUGUAUGGUCUAUCUUUUGUAGUUUAUGCUUUUGUGUCUGUAUCGGAACAUGACAUCCCGAGUUUUGAUUUUAUAAUGAAAAUACAUUUUGUUAUGAAAUGCUUUGGUAAAUAUUAUUUUAUCAUGCUUUUUUUGGAACAAAUUCUGCAACAAUUUAAAAUCAAAAGGAUUUACUCUGAAAUUAUUUAAAAAAACAUAAAUGAAACUGGUCUUUUCUGACUGUGAUUUUGGGGAUGUCACACUGCGCCUAAUCGAGAACAUCAUAAUCCUGGCAGCUACGCCCAAAGGACAAUAUUAGCACUUGCGCCUAAUAGAGAAUAUUAUAAUUCUGGUAGUUGCGUCUAAAUGAUAAUGUUGGUAGUUGUGCUUAAUAGAUAACGUUGACAACUGUGUCAUUAGGAAAACGGUGGACUGCGUGCCUAUUCCUUAGGAAAAUCCUUAGGAAUGAAUGAGUUAAUGAUAAAUGAUUCUUAGGAUACAUCCUUAAGAAAUAACGAAGAUAAUGGGGAUGGAUAAUUGGGUUAAUUUUUUAAUGAUUAAACAUAAUUAUAUUAUUGUGGGUUGAAAACCCUAUGUACUCACUAGGUUUCCCAAUAUGACCCACUCAAGUUUAUUUGGAUCACAGGUGUCUAUACGAAGCUACUUUACACUGAGAGAUUAAGGAGACGUAAAUCACUAGUGUAAAUGAAUGGAAGGUCUGUUUAUGCUUAUAUUUAUGUAUUAACGAUGACGUCCUAAAGUUUUAAAAAGAAAUGAAAUACAUUUCUUCGAAAAUGCUUUGAUAACACAUUUAUCAUGUUUUUCUGGGAACAAAUUCCGCAACAUUUUUAUAAAAAGGGUACUCUCAUUUUUAAAUAAAGCAUAAACAAAUCGGUCUUUUCUGGCUGUGAAAAUGGGGAUGUCACAAUUGGUAUCAGAGCAUUAGUUUAAGAGAACUAAGAAUAAGGGUUUAUUUCUAGACUUAAACUUAGAAUGCUAAGCGAUGAUUAUGAGUUGAGUGUGUGAUGUUGCGCAUAAAAAAACACAAAGAUAACCAAGAAUGAACCUGUUGAUUCUAAAAGAAUAGCCAGGACAAUCUCUUCAAAACCACGUUGAUUCUACGAAUACUGUGGGAUUGGCUUCAAAAACUGGGUUAACACGCACAAAAUUUGGGAGAAAACUGAAAGUUCAUAAAAUUGAUGAUCGACCAUCCAAAUUACAUAAAAAACAGUUAAAUAAAAAGCAUAAAUUAAAAUGAAACCCUAAAAGUCCAUGGGCGAAAUACAAACCCAAAAAUUAAGGAAAAAUAACAAAAUUGUUCAUAACUCCAUUUAGAAAGCGAUUUCUGGACUCAAAAUGGGUAAGUCCCUUUCGGGGACUUAUCUAGAUGUGCUCCUUGCUCCAAGCUUCGACUUGACUGGUCGUAGGCCCAAAACGGAGACUCGUAGCCAAAGUUAUGGCCAUUUCCGUGAAGCCCCUUUAAUCACACGAUCGUGGGCCUCUAGGAAUGCAAUGGCCCGAUCCUCCACACUAGGGCCCGCAUCUGUGUGUCUAAUAUAUUUUAGGUAGUACACCUGAAUAGACACAGCCACUAUCUUAUUUUGGGAGGAUGCCUAAAAUGCUUUUAUGUGCUAAAUGAUUUGUGAUACUUUAUGAUGCUAUUGUUCGAUCAGAUAUAUGGUAUGUUGCCCACCGGAUCCAGAAACUUUAUGUGUUUAGAUUUCAAAAUGUUUAAUUACAGUAUUAGAACUGGCAUGUAACUUUUCGGAGUGAUAAGAAGAUUUACAUGUGGAUCGUAAAUAAAACCUUUCCUAUCUUAAUUAUCAUCAUUACACAUCAAACGUCUGAUUUGGUGUAUAGAUCAACAUGUUGAGAACUCGAAGCGGAUUAGGAGACGCUAAUGGAAAUGUUGAUCAACGGCCUAUGAUUUAACGUGCACUAAAGGUAGCAGCUACACCAUAGCCAAUCACAAUGGCAAGAGUCCAAGCAAUGAUUCAGGCUAUGAUAGCCAAACAAAGGGAGGAGAUGAGGCAAAUGUUGCUUAAUAGGGAUGAACCUACCAUGCUCAUUGAAUAACUAGAACUAAAUGAUGAACAGUUAGAGAAGGGAAUUACAGUAGAACCGUUGGUCAAGCUGAACUGCCAGUGGUUAGGAGGAAUAACCAAGAGGAAGGGAUCAAGAGAAAUAGAUGCAAGUAUAAGGAUUUCACAACUUGCAAACCAUAGAUUUUCACUGGGAAAGAGGAUCCAAAUCGGAGUUACAGACCGGAUCUCGGAGAUGGAUUUGGCUUUCAUAACAUGUAGAUUCAAAGGAAAGCUAAAAACCAUAUAUGCAGUGCGUCAGUUGAUGGGUGGAGUUGUUCACUAGUGGAACACUUUGGGAAAGAUCAUGAGUCCUAAUGAGCUGCUGCAACUGACGUGGGCAGAGUUCCUAGUGCAUUUCAAACGAAAGUUUUGCUCGGCCCAAAAUCUGUUGGAGCUAGAGAACCAAUUCCUAACAUUGAAGAAGGGCAUCAUGCCUAUUGACGAAUACAGCAAUGCCUUCACCGACAAGAUGGAAUUUUCUUUGCGCAUCGUCCCUGGCGAACUAACUAAAGUCGAUAAGUAUACAAAGGGACUACCAUGGGAAUAUGUUGUGCUAGUACGCCAGGCACCUACCAUCGAGGCGACUAUCUGGGCUGCUAAGUCUGUUGAAGAAAUGAUCAAGAGUAGGGCCACCAACAACGUCGAAGUUGGUGAAAGAGAAAGUUUGAAGGAUCUUCAAUGUCCAAUGAGAGGAGAAAAUGCUCGAAGUCUGGUUCGAAGAAGUUUGAAGGAGGAGGAGGUGAAGCAAGAUGGUGUGAUAAGUGCAAGAAGAAACACUUUGGAAAAUAUGGCAAGAAGGUGACUUGUUUCAAGUGUGGAAAGUCUGGGCAUUAUGCCGAUGAGUGUAUAUUCAACAAAAGGGUGUAUUACGGAUGUAAUGAAGAAGGGAAUUCAAGCUGGACUGCCCAAAGAGGGAAGGAGCUACAAAGCAAAAUGCACCGCCAAAGCCGAAGGCAAAAACAUUCCAUAUGAUCCUUAAUGAAGCAGAUGAUAAUGCAAGGAAUCAAGAAUGAGGACUGAUACCCGAAGAUCAAGUUAUGAAGUAGCCAUGCAGAUAGUAUCAGGAGGUGUAGCCUAUUAGAGGCAUAUUAUAGGUUGAACUUUAACAUCCAUGUAAUCAUUUCAAGAAGUAAUAUAAGCCUUGGUUUUGUUAUCUGGUGCGUUAAGUUGUUAUGUGAUUUUCAAGUAUGGUGACUUGGAAAACUGCGAGACAAUACUUGGGACAAGUAUGAGUAUAUGUGAAUGGUAGUAGAGGCCUAUACUACCAGAAGCACAGGACUCGCACUUGGAUUAGGGAAAGUCACAAGGUUACCAAGGCACUAGUAAUUGAUUCUUUUUUGUUCAUGUUUGUCGUCACCAUCGUUUCGGUAAUGACUAAGAAGAUGAUUGUUAGUCCAACCCUAGUGGUCAUAUCAAAUCGAGUCCGACUAAGAUGAAUAUGUUGCGUGGUUCAAAAAACCAAGGUCGAUGUUGCAUCUGACUUAAGCCAGACGAUUGAAGUGAAAGAUAAUCGAACCGAUCAAUAGAAGUAUCGUAACCUUUGUUAAGGUAAGAAGCUUGUAGCUAGAAGUGCUACAUGCUAGAAUAUGAUUAUAUCACAUUAGAACAUGAAGGAAGGUAUAUUUUGUUCUAUAGUUUGACUCUAAAAGACCUAAGUCUAAGUGUUGCAUCAUACGAUAAGAGGUCAUUACAACAUGACCCAUCGGUUUAUUGUGGUAAUCAAAUAACUUCUCUUAAUAUAAGUAUGUUUAACAAGAAGUAGGAGUCUCUGAUUUGGAUCGAUUUUGUAACUCGAAGGUUACGAUUGGAAGUCCAACAUAGGAUAAAGAACGGGUGCAAGAUUGAGUACCUCCUGCGGUCAAGAAGUCCAAGAGUUUGAUACUCAUUCGAAGGAACAUAAAAGUUACGAUUAUUACCUAAUAUGAAGAGAUAACAUAAGGAUUCAUUAUACAAGCCCUAUUUUGUUGAUUAUUCUGGGACGUAAUCAUCCUAAGGAGGAGAUAACUGUAACGCCCGCAGAUUCAGGCUAGUCAAUUAGAGAUAUUGAGCGUCAAAAAUGACAUUUUUAUGGGAGUUUAUUUAGAAGAAAUAAUCUUAACCUAGUAAUAGUAUAUGUCACAAGGGUUCCGUACAUAUAAAGAACGCCGAAAUCCGAGUUAUAACGAAGAAGUUACGACCCGACGAAGUUCUACAGCAAAACCGGCACGACACCGCGUAACAUAAAAAGUGAAUUUUUGAUAAAUUACUUUUUAGCCUUAGAGAUAUAAAUGAAAGUUAUAAUAUAGGUUAAACCGAUAGCAUGCAUAAAAAGAACGUCAAUAUCUAACUUCGUAUGAGGAAGUUAUGAUUUUUCUAAGAUUUCGCAAAGUAGUAUACAACCCGGAAUUCGAAUUUCAGAUCGAGCGAUUUUUAGCCAACACAACCUAAAUGAAAAUUGAAUAUCUCAUUAAUAGGAGUUCAACGAUAAAAAGACAUUAAAAAUGGAGUUCGAAUGUACAAGUUAUGAAUUUUACACGGUCAUUAACAAUGUAAUCUUCUCAUACUAGUAAAUUUAAAAUCGGUCGAGAGUUAGCUGUUUGAGUCAAAAGGAGAGUUGUAGAUCAUGUCAAUACCUAUGCGUGGAUAUAAAUAAUGUCAAAAAUGGAGCUCGUAUGCAAAAGUUAUGAAUUUUUGAAAAUUGGUUGUUUUACCUGCGUCCAGCACCACGUGUCAGCACCAAGCGAAGCCAUGGUGCCUACGCAAGGCCACGACGUGGAUUGGCUCCAGAUAGCCUAUAAAUAGAGGCGGAAAUCAUCCGUUUUCUUCACACCUUCACCCUUCUUUCUCUCUCAACGCUCCUAAUCUCUCCCUCCCAAUCCCUAGCAACUUCUAAGUGCUCCGAGAAGAAGAUCUUUCGGCUCAGAAGUUCCACCCCCGCAUAGCCCGGUUCCUAGCCAAACCCACGGUAAGUUAGUUAUGAUUACCCUACUUUAAGUAUAACUUAUGUUUGAGUUUAUUAUCAUUAUUAUGAACUUAUAAACAAGAUUUAUCAAUGAUUCCAAGUAGUUAUAUUGAUUGAUCUACUUAUGGGGAUAAUGUCUAGGCUGUGAUUUUGUGAGGUGUUUAAAGUGGGGUUUCCAAAUAGUAUACUUCGUAUACCAAACGAACCCUACCUCUGAUAUGAUCCUACCUGGUUGCUCUUUACAUGAUAGAUCAUGAAAGUAGACUUUGAGUUAAUGAUGAAUCUAGACUAAUAAUUAGUUGCAAUAAAGAUUAGACUAAAACUUAGCGAUAAUAAUGUUAGGUUUCGUCGAAGGAAGAUAGAAUCGUUAGAAGUGAAGCGUUUCUCGACUUUGGAAUUAUCACUUUGAAAAGUGAGUGCAUAGUUACUUUCAUCUUACACAUUGAUAUGAAGUAUUUUAUAUAAAUUACGCGCUAUGUGUGCAUGUUAUCUGUUUACUUGAUAUAUAUGAUAAAUGAACGAUCUUAUACAUGUACUCUAAACAUCCUAGUAGCUGUGCUCAAAGUGUAGUAUCGGUAGCUGUGCCGUCACACCCCCAAACCAGAACGACGGAAACGUUCAGGGGCGGAGGACGUCAUGUAUAGUAUCAUAACAAUGCAUAAUAGUAAAACAAGCAACAACAUCAUCCAUUGAAUUAAUGAUAGAAUUUAUACAUGUGUGUUCUUUGUAAAGUUGUAAGACACCAAAAAUAUAUAAUCAAAAUAAAGACGAGUCUUGAAUACGCUCUGUCUCCUCAAAACCUGGUCAUCGAUACAUGUCUACUGGUGACCUAAGAAUACAAGUUAUUUUGAAAGAGUAGAUCAACAUUUAAGCUGGUGAGUUCAUAAGUAUAUUAGUGUCAAAAAUUUUCAUCUGUUUCAUGAAAAUGUUUGUAAGUAUUUAGAUGUAAAUGUUUGUAUGCUUCCAAGAAAAUCCUAUAUUUUCUACUAAAAUGAAAAGUAGUCUUCUUCCAAGACUCAACUGUUUUGUAUGUUUGUUUUCUCGUAAAAAUUGAUGUAAGAUGUAUGUUUGUACUUGUAAUAGUAUAAAUGUGGGUUUUCCAUAUUUUUUUAAAACUUUCUAUACACGAAAAAUAGUAUGCAUUUCUUACGUGAGAAUAUCACUGUGUGAAUAUGAUGGAAAAAUGACGAUAUUCAGUAGUGUUGUAUAAAAUAUCUACUGAAGCACUAACUACCUUAAAGCAAAUUGUUAAUUAAGGUAAAACGUGAUGAGGUUAUAACCAUGCUUGAUUGACUUGUAUAAAACACAACGAUCAAAAUACAUCGAAAUGGUAUGACAUUUGUCACUUGUAGACCUGUAGGUCCCAUUGUAGCUAGCAACAAGGUUUAGGAUGGUCAAUCCAGUAUAGAUCUAUACACAAACUCACGCUCUCCCUCCAAGAGACUCUGGUUACAAAGCGUGACACAACAAGUAUAUUGAUAUGCCAUGAAGUAGUGGCUCACAUUAAUGUUAUCUUGUUCUAGUUAUAGUAUGUAUGUUCCUUUCUGUUCUAGUUAUAGUAUGUAUGUUCCAAUCUGUUCUAGUUAUAGUAAGUAGUAAUACUCUAAACUAUACCUAUUAUAGUUUACUAGUAUGAUUGUUUGACUGUUACUAAUUUGCAGAAAAGUCUCAAUUACUCACAUAAGCAACUAACUUAAGUAUGUAACUUAAAAAUGGGUUUAAUAUUCAUAUAUGUAUUUAAUAAGCAUAACUAUGAUUUUGCUGACAUUCGAACUAGUGAUCCUACCCUAAGCCCACAACCAAACAAAGAAACAGGAGUUAAGGUAUCUCGCAGUAGUCCUAAGCCCGUUAAAGCAUACUUACACGUAAACAGAUAGACGAAUAUGAUUUGAUAUAAAAGAAGUUUAUAAAAGAUUUAAAAGAGUUUUAACAAGUUUUGAGUAUAAGAAAUCCCUUUGGAUGUUGUUUUCACAUGUAAAUGGUUAACAAAAUUUAAUUGUGUUCUACUUGUUAUCCCCCAUAAAAGCAUUUAAAAGGUAUUUAAAAGUGUAUUGUAGGGGUAUGAACUCAUAUGUAGUGAGUGAUUCGAAUGAAAGAUCGAUAUAGGAUGAUAAGUAUGCCAAGUGAAGUAUCGAGCACAAACGGGUCCUAUUAAGCAUAUAAUAACACAUAUAUGUAUACAAUUAGUAUAUAUAACAACUAAAAUGUAAGGGAAACAACCUUAGGAACUAGGAAACACUUUGAAUGAAGUGUUAGCAUCACAAAUGAUUGGCUGAAAGGUGUUCACGACUAAACAAGGGGUGUUCACGGCCUUAGGAGGGUACAUGUCCAUAGAACGCAUGAUGUGUUCACGGACCAAGGUUGAUCUUAUGAAGGUUUCACGGUCCUAUGAUGCAUCUAUGAAGGGUUCAUGGCCCUAUGAAGGGUUCACGGUCGUGAACUCUUGAAGAUCUUGCAAAUAAGUGUUUGUUUCAUGGGUGGAAUCAAGUGUUUCUAAGGGACAACAAGAUGAUGGAUGAGAUACUUAUGUUUUGGAAGCCUUUAGAAGUGUUCACAGUUGAAGAUAGUUGAGAGAGAAGUGGUGUUCACGGCUAGGGUUUAAAGAAAUGAAGAAAAAUGAGCCAACUCCUUAUAUAUAAGACUUGUUCACGGCCAAGGAUGGGUACACGGCCAUGAACCUAGAUGUGGCCGUGAACUCCUUUUGGUGGUGUUUCCGGCUCGAUUGCAACUCAAUGAACUCAAGCUAACACUUCCUAACUCACAAUCCUUGAGUGUACUAGGCUUAGAAAUUCUCAAACAUACCCUUAACACAACAUAAAGGUAACAGAAACAAGUCUGACUUUAGAUUGAAUUGAUUGACUUUACAAGAUAGAAAUUCCAGGUUGUCGCAUGUGCCUAAUAGAAAACAUCAUAACCCUGGCAGCUACGCCCAAAGGACAAUAUCGACUGUUGUGCCUAAUAGAAAAUAUCAUAAUUCUGGCAGCUGCUCCUAAAUGAUAAUAUUGGCAGCUAUGCUUAAUAGAUAAUGAUGAUAUAUGGUCCAUUAGCAUGGCCUAGACUGCUCUAGCGCGCCAUAUGAUGCGACAUCGGCUCCGACCACCUGCUCUAAGGAGAUGCUUCUGCACCAGAGAUAGAUCUGUGAGGUCACAACAAACAAGACCGUUAGAGCUGCCCCAAAGACUGUGCCCUGGGAGAGAGCUCCGACGGUCAAGUUAGAUCAUUUGGUAGAUCUGAGAUGGAUCUCUUUAGCUAGAGAGGAUCAUCCUUGUGUUGGUGGUGUUGUAUGGUGGUUGACGGCGGCGGGUGCCGGCUGAGCCACCCGGCCAAAGUAUAGGGCGGCGGCUGAGCCAAGGGGAAGAUCCUAAUGGUGGCAGAACCACCUAGGAAAGAGUCCUCCUUCAUGAAGGAGGCACUAUUCUAUUUAUAGGGGGACAACUAGGUCAAGGGGAAUUAGGUCAGGCCUUGGGCCAACCCAAUUCAGGCCCAGCUAGCAAGGAGCUGGGUAAGGCCGCCCGGAGGCGCCGCGCGGGACUUANUGACGGGCGCGUACCAGGAAAGGACGGCAAGGGUGCGCCAGGAAAGGGAGCGUCAGGUCGGGCCUGCAAGAGAUUCCCCAGCAAGGCUGGCAAGGGAGUCCCCAACAAGGUUGUCAAGGGAAUGCCAGGAGAGGCUGGCAGGAGCGCGCCAGGCCAAGAUGGCGCGCUAGAGCAGUGUAGGCCAUGCUAAUGGACCAUAUAUCAUUAGAUAACAUUGACAGCUGUGUCAGUAGGAAAAUGAUGGACUUUAUGCCUAUUCUUUAGGAAAAUCCUUAGGAAUGAAUGAGUGAAUGAUAAAUGAUUCUUAGGAUAGAUCCUUAAGAAAUAACGAAGAUAAUGGGGAUGGAUAAUUGGGUUGAUUGUUUAAUGACUAAACAUAAUUAUACUAUUGUGGGUUGAAAAACAUAUGUACUCACUAGGUUUCUGAACCUGACCCACUCAAGUUUAUUUGUGUGACAGGUGUCGAUACGAAGCUACUUUACACUGAGAGAUUAAGGAGAUGUAGAUCACUAGUUAAAAUGAAUGUAAGGUCUGUUUAUGCUUAUGUUUCUGUAUUGACGAUGACAUUCCAAAGUUUUAAAAGAAAUAAAAUACAUUUCUUCGGAAAUGAUUUGAUAACACAUUUAUCAUGUUUUUCUGGGAACAAAUUUCACAACAUUUUUCUGGCAUCGGGCCUCGCCCGGUAUACAAAUAACAUAUAAGCACAUGCAUAAAAAUCACUUAAACACAUGCAUAAAAAUCACAAUGAUAAAUAGCAUACAAUAUAAUCAUUACGCCCCGCCCGGUAAUCAUAUAAACACAUAACACAUGCAAGAGUAACACAUACAACUAGUAAGGAAACUCACCUCAAGCUGCAAAAUCACUCGGAUAAAAUCUCAAUCUGUUGGUCCGGAAGAUCCUCGCGCUAACCUCAUAAUAUAAAUAUCCAAUUAAUAAUUGGAUCUCGACCCAUAAUAACCAAUCUAAGUUCCUUUUCCAAUAUCCAGGGUAAAAGAUUGUUUUACCCUUUUUCUUACAUGGCCCAAAACCAAGGCCCAAUCCAUUGCUCAAAAGGGCUAAAUUCCAAAAUGGCAUCCAUAGGCCCAAUAAGGCCCAACUUCCAAAUUGGGCUGAAAAUCAUCAUGGACCUAAUCCCAUGAAAGUCCAUAGUCUAUCCAUGACCCAAAGUCAAAAUUCUAAUGACCUAACAAGGCCCAAAUCUUAAAAACCCAAAAUAUGGCCAAAACCCAGGGAAGUCAAACCAAAAGUCAACCUACUGUACGCUUAGCAUACUCCUUCCAGGGCAAGUAUGUGCAUCGUACCAACUGGGUAUGCCCAACGUACUCCCCAGAUUAUCAACCCAACCCAUUAAUAACUUAAUUGGUUAAGCCAACAUGCUAAACUCUCAGAUCUGGUUCUAAAUGGCGACUUACUAUGUAAAGUUGACAACUUUACACCCAUGCAUGAAUUAAUGGGGCCCAACACUAAAAAAGAAGCUUAAUAAGACUCUUAACACUUGCAUGGAAUAAUAUCUUACAUAAAGUUUGCAUUUUUAUGGGCAAAGGACCUCAAAUCAGCGAAGAUCUAACAUCCAUAGCUUCUGGAGUGGACCAUAACUUCAUAUAUGACUUAAAAGACCCAAAAACGCAUAAAUAUCACCAUAAAAUGGAUCUAGCACAAAGGACCAUCCAGAUGAGAGAUUUUUACCUCAAAAGGCUUGCUAAGGUGAAGAUAACUCUAGAUCUACAAGAUUAAGCUACUCCCAAGAAACCUCGAAGUGUUCCUCGUUUUCUUCUUCUUCACCACAAAACACCAACAAACUCACUUUCAAGCUCAAAUCUGACCAAAUACACUUAGGGUUUCGAUAUUGUGACAUAGGGUGAUGGAGGCUGAUCAAUAAAAUGUCCAAAGGUGGUUUAAGAUGUUUAAGUAGGCUGCAAACCCUAAAAAUUAGGGUUUGCCCCUGCUCUACGUAUGUCAUGCAUACUCUACGUACGCCCCACAUACGUGGGUGAAUCUUGCGUCCAGAAAAUAGAUAGUAUGAUAAGCGUACUCAUAGAGUAUGCCCUGUGUACUAGCUAUGGACCAAAAUGAUAAGGAUUUUGCAUUAAGGGGUUAGAAAGAAACUUACCAAAUUACGAAUGUUACAAUUCACUUUAAUCAGAAUUUGUCCUUGAAGUAUGCUGCUCCAAACAACUUUGGGUAGUGCUCUCUCAUCUCGUCCUCCGGCUCCCACGUCCAUUCUGAACCCUUUCGAUGCUGCCACUGAACUUUCACCAAUUCAACAACCUUGUACCUCAAGGCUUCGUCUUCCUGUCAAGAAUUGUUACCGGUCUCUCGAUAUAAUUCAUGCGAUCAUCCACUUAAAUAUCCUCUAAUAGAACCACCACGGAAUCAUCAAUUAAACAUUUUUGUAACUGAGAGACAUGAAAUAUGCUAUGGAUCAUACUAAGAUCCUCGGGAAGAUACAAGCGAUAAGCAACCCGAACCACCCGUGUGAUAAGUCCAUUUUAUGAAUGUACUAAAUUGUCAUAAAUCUGUUGAAUUGAUGUAUAAUUGUCCAAGAAUGGCACUACAUUGCUGAGUUAUUGAACUUCAUAUGCAGGUCAAUAUAUUGUACUAAAAGUGGGUGGAACCUACAAGUAAAACGGAUUGUUAAAGGAAUGAAGAAACGUUGCUGGGAAAAUUGACCAUUCUUCAAUGUUUUGGUCUAAUCUCAAGUUCUGGAGCUCCGAUUGACAUGAGUAUAGAAGUUCUGGAAACUAGACAAGAUUUUCUACAACUUUCGUGUUUUGUGCUUCUGCUAGUUAUGUCGUUUUGACUACCAAAACUUGCACAGAAGAUGAAGGACACCUCCAGACAUCUAAGACGUCCAGGUCAAACAGCCAACAUCUGGUCGUUAUUUCAGAGCAGAAAAGAAGGAAGAACCCCGUCAGCAUCUAACAUGGAAUCUAAGAUGUCCCCUAGGAUGUCUUGGCAUUUUAGGGACGUCCCGUGUUGGAACGGUGUGUUUAGGAAAGUUUAGAAAACAAGGCACGACGUCCUAGAACGCAUCUAAGACGUCUCCUAAGACGUUUGACGUUUUUGGCCAUUUUUUAGUAUAUUUCAAGGACGUACAAAGAUCGCUUGGGCGUUAUACACGACGUCUAAGAUGUCUCCUAGGACGUCCAACGUCCCACAUCGCCCAAUUUCAUUAUUUUUUAUCCCACACUAUAAAUAGGAGCCUAUUUCGUUGGUUAAAAUUCGGAUUCAAAGCAAGAUUCGAUUCAAUUCAUCAUCAAGCUAUAAGUGAAGAUCAUUUCAUUGGUUAAUUUUCAUCAAUUCUUUAUUUUCCAGAAUUAUUUCUUCUUCCCCAAGGUUUAUUUGUUCUACACUUCGAUAAUCAUUAGGCUACAUUUGUUUGAUGAUUCUACGUUUGUUUAUGAAUUCUAUAAUGGAUUUUAUUCAUUUUAAUCAAGUUAUUUGUCUUAUGAACUCAAUGGAAGGCUAAAUCAUUAGGGUUACUUCCGGGGAUGUUUAGGACUUUUUGAUGAACACACUUGAUUAUUACUUGAUUCUAGUUAAUUUCAAUUGUUGUUUUAUGCUUCAUGUGAUGAUCUUUUGGUAAUGAUAAUUGAAAUUGGGUUGUAUGAAUUGUUUGAUGUCAUAAUUAAGAUAGUCUAUUGUCAAUUCAUCAUUUGUUCCAAGUUCACAUAGUUUAGGAAUAAAGACAAGUGAUUGAAUCAACAUAUAUUAUUCCAACUUAUGAUAUUGAAUCUUAAUGCGGUAAUAGGUACUUGUAAGAUAUUUUAUUGCUAGUCCACUAAUUGUUCUUAAUCCAUUGAGGCAUAAAGGAGUAAGACAACUAGUUAAAUGAACAUUUAGUAUGCCCAAACUAUGUAUUACAAGUUAAUAAAUCCCAAUUGUAUCUAAGUAAUUGAAUUAGGAUUUAAGGGAAGAAAGUGUGUGAAUUUAAACUGUCCAUAACUGAACCGGGAGUACUCUAGUUUUCUCAUUGAGAUUUUCGUUGUAAUUAAUAAAUUUCCAUGCUUUUUGUUUGAUCUUUGCGUUAAAUUCUUUUUCGUGACAAUUGCUAGUAGCUUUUUUUCGUUGACUAUUUUAACACAAAGUUUGACAACAAACUCCCUGUAGAUUCGACCCUUACUUACCCUAGCUAUCUAGUGGUUUUGAGGUUAUUUUUGAUUGAUACAACGACAUCAAUCAUAAUUUGGCGCCUUUGUCGGGGAGAUUGUGCGCUUGAGCUAUUGUUUUUAAGUAGUUAUAGCCUUUUACUUUCAUUUUCAAUUCUCGUUUGUAGUUCACAUUUUGUUUUAUUUGUGUUGUGCAGGCACACUGGUGCAUGCAUACAAGACAUAGCAGACGCUCUUCACCGCUUGCAUUUGAUCCGGAAAUCGAACGAACAGCUCGCUCAAAUCGGGUCGCCAGAAGGAACAUCAACACUAUGAGUGUAGAUAAUGUUGUCGUGGAAGAUGUGGUUGAAGGGCAUGAGGAAGAAGCCAACAAUCCUCCACCACUAGUUCCACCACCAGCUCCUCAAUUCCCAAACAACAACAAUGGGAAUAACAACAAUGCCGGUGCACCAAUCAUCCAACCAGUGCAACCAUAACUGAAUAGAAACAACCGUGGCCAAAAUGGUGGAAACGGAGGAAAUUGGGCAUAGAAUAUGGGAGGCAAUGUAGGAAACCACACUGGUGGUAAUGUUAGAAAUCAUAACCAAAAUCCUAGAAAUGUUGGUCCUCAAUUCGGUAAUGGUGGUAAUGGUGGUAACGAGGAUGAUUGGGAUUUUGACGAUGGAAGUUACAACGGACUUGGUUGGAAUCAUAACCACAACGGUGGUAAUAGGCGGAAUCAAGGAAAUCGGGGUGGAAACGGGUACUAAAACAAUAACUGGAACAACCUGAAUUUCCCUAAUGGUGGCAACAAUUACUACAAUGAUGGGUUCGGAAAUCAAGGCUUUGGGAAUCAAUAUCGAAGGAAUCCAAAUGGUGGAUUCAACAAUGCGAAUGGAGGAUACUAAAAUGAAGGUAAUCAAUUCCCUCAUCUUUACUUUCUGCAGCCUAAUAGACAAUCUGUGGCGUCUCAUUUUCAGCCGAGAGAGUAUGAUGAUGCUUCACCCAUACUCUUCGCAGAAGUAAAUGAGCAUCAUGUAGAAGUAAGACCACAACUAAUUAGUGUCUUACCCGUCUUUAGAGGCCAUAAAACUAAUGAUCCAUACAAUCACCUCUAUGAGUUCCUUGCAAUUGCUAACGCGAAUACUCCGCGAGGAACUAAUAGAGAUUCAUUUAGACUUCUCUUAUUUCCGUUCACUUUAAAAGAAAAAGCUAAGUAUUGGUUCACUUCUCUUGCCCCCAUAGUAUCACUACUUGGGAGCAAUUAAAAACUAAAUUUUUGCAAGAGUUUUACCCAGCUAGUAAAACAACGGAAAUAAGAAAAGCCAUAGAAGAUUUUGCACAAAAACCCAAAGAAGAAUUUCAUGAUGCAUUUGAACGCCUCAAGGAAUUGUUCCGUUCAUGUCCCUAUCAUGAAUUUCCCCGUUGGCAACUGGUAGGUUUCUUUUAUGAUGGAGUCGAUACUGCCAAUCAAAGCAUGAUUAAUGCCUCGUCCGGCGGCAUUAUUAUGAUACAAGAUAGUGAAGACGCUUGGCGAUUCUUAGAGUAGUUGAGUCAUGGUUCAAAAACCAAUUACUCAGCUAAGAAACGGGACAAUCCAGUUUCAUCUGUUGCUUCAGUUGGACUAGACAAAAAACUGGAAAAAUGAAGUCAAAUCUGAUAUUAAUUCUUUAAAUAAAAUUUUUGACUUACUACUCUCUAGUCUAGGCAAAAAGAAAGGUGUGUUUUUUCGCAGGGACAGAAGAUAUGUGUAAGCUGUGGAGAUUCAUGACACAUUGCAGAUGAGUGCAUGAGAAUUCAAGAGGAAAUCAAUCAAGUGCAUGGUUAUGGUCAAUUCCAAAAUAAUCCACGAUCAUUCAAUCGGAACUACAUCCAAGGCGGGAACUACAACAACAUUGGGAUUUUCAACAACAACAACCGUCAAGGGAAUUACCAAAACCAAAAUCAGCCAAAACAGUUCCAGCAGUCCAACUUUAACCAAGGUGGAACAUCAAAGAAGGAGGAAAAUGAUGGCAACAAGUUGGACAAAAUCAUGGAGUUCAUAACCUAAACAUAUCAGAAAACCGACACUAACUCCAAGUCUAUAGCUGCUAUUGAGAAGCAAAUUGCUCAACUGGCGGAGCAAAUUGGGAAAAGAGAAGAUGGCAAGUUUCCAAGCACCACAACAGUGAACCCAUCUCAUACCCAGAGACCCCGAAAAGAGCAUCAAGUGAACGAGGUAAUUACCUUGUGUAGUGGAAAAAAGGUUGACAACAAGGUAAGUGCUUCUACAUUAGAUAAUGACAGUGACACUGAAGUCAUCUUUGAUGAAAAAGAAGAGUUUGAGAAAGAUUUUAAAUCCGAAAAACAAAAAGAAGAUAAGGUUAAAAAUGACUCUAAAGUUGGGGAGCAUGGUGUGGAGGUUAAUACCGCACCAUACCCUUCGGCUUUAGAGAAGCCGGCAUCCUUCCCUUUUGGGAAGCGAGGGCUAAAAAUGGAAGACAUGUGAGAUCUAUUUAGUCAAGUUAAAAUAAAUAUCCCAUUAGUCAAACUUAUUAAGGAGGUACCUUCUUAUGCUAAAUUUUUGAAGGAUUUGUGUGUUCAAAAACGCAAACUCCAAGCAUACCUCCCUAAAAAGAUUGAUUUAGUCAAGCAUGCGAGUUCGAUAAUAUCAAAUAAACUUCCACCCAAGCUUAAGGAUCAUGGAGCACCUUUAAUUUUUGUUACGCUAGGUAACAUUAAUAUAAAAAAGGCGCUCCUUGAUCUUGGAGCUAGUGUUAAUAUAAUCCCGGGAAAUUUUUUUGAUCAACAUGACUUAGGCACUUUGGAACAAACUGAUAUUAUUUUACGAUUGGCCGAUAAGUCAACAAAAAUUCCUUGGGGAAUAUUAUCAGAUGUUAUUAUUAAGGUGGGAGAUUUCUAUUACCCAGUUGAUUUUCUUAUGCUUGACACCGUGAGCACUUAUAAAGAAAGUCAACCUUCUAUUAUUUUAGGUCGUCCGUUAUUGACAGCAAUAAAUGCACAAAUUAAUUGUAGAACGGGUGCAAUGGAUAUCUCUUUUGGAAAUAGGAAACUUAGAAUUGAUAUUUUUAAUACGUUUCCUAACUCACCAUCAGAUUAUGAAUGUUAUCAUGUGGAUGUGGUUGAUGACUUAGUGCAUCAAUUCACUCUUAAAAUCUUACACCCUGAUCCAUUGGAGUUUUUUCUUUCUAAUGACAGGGACGAAGUUUUAGAGUUGGAUGACAUCAAGAUGGUUGAGGAGGCAUUUGAAAAUGUUAUUGAGCAAGAGAGGCCACCAUGGAGUUAUCAAGUUGAAAAAUUGCCAACAAGUUUUUCGGACCCACUUAAGCCAUCUUUGGAGGAGCCACCCAGUCUUGAACUCAAAACUCUUCCUUCACAUCAUAGAUACUCUUUUUUAGGAUCUAAGGAGAACUUACCAAUUACCAUAUCUUUUGAUUUGACAUGUCCACAGGAGGAAGCAUUACUGAAGGUGCUUUCGAAGUACAAGGGAGCAAUUGGAUGGACCAUAGCAGACUUGAAGGGAAUUAUUCCAGCCACAUGUAUGCAUUGAAUCAUCACUGAAGCUAGAGAAAAGCCAUCCCGAGAUGCACAACGAAGGCUCAACCCGAAUCUGCGAGAAGUUGUUAAAAAGGAGGUGUUGAAAUGGCUUGAUGCGGGUAUUAUCUACCCAAUAUUUGAUAGUGAUUGGGUGAGCCCGACACAGACAGUGCCAAAGAAGUCGGGCGUUACAGUGGUAGAUACAGAAGAUGGAGAGAAGAUCUCAACAAGAUCGGUCACCAGAUGGAGAGUUUGCAUCGACUAUCGCAAACUCAAUGCUGCAACAUCAAAUGACCAUUUCCCUCUCCCUUUUAUUGAUCAAAUAAUUGAGAAAUUGUAUGGUAAAAAGUUUUAUUGUUUUUUGGAUGGAUACUCGGGGUAUAAUCAAAUUGCCAUCCACCCCGAGUAUCAAUCCAAAAUGACAUUCACGUGUCCAUAUGGCACCUUUGCUUUCCGAAGGAUGCCAUUCGGCUUGUGUAAUGCCCCUGCCACAUUUUAAAGAUGUAUGAUGGCUAUUUUUUUAGACGUGGUGGGGGAUGCAUUAGAAAUUUUCAUGGAUGAUUUUUCUAUUUUUGGAUCAUCUUUUGAGACAUGCUUAGACCAAUUAGAAAAAGUUUUGAAACGUUGUAUUGACUCUAAUUUGGUUUUAAGUUGGGAGAAGAGUCAUUUCAUGAUAAAAUAGGGAAUUGUACUUGGCCAUGUUGUCUCCGAGCAUGGCUUUGAAGUCGACCGGGCCAUAGUACAAAUUAUUUCUACUCUUCUCCCACCAACUUCAGUAAAAGGCGCCCGUUCUUUUCUUGUACAUGCCGGCUUUUAUCGAAGAUUUAUCAAGGAUUUUAGUGCAAUGUCAAAACCUCUUUGUAAUUUACUUUUAAAAGAUGCACCAUUUUCCUUUGAUAAAGCAUGUCUUGAAUCUUUUACCACAUUAAAGAACAAACUUGUUGAAGCUCCUAUCUUGCAAUCACCCGAUUGGACUUUACAUUUUGAAAUUAUGUGUGAUCCAAGUGAUUACGCGGUAGGGGCAAUUUUGGGACAACGGGUGAAUAAAAAACCCAUUGCAAUUUGUUAUGCGAGCAAAAAAAUUUCGGAUGCACAAUUGAAUUACACUACUACCGAAAAAGAGUUGCUUGCGGUCGUGUUUGCACUUGAAAAUUUUAGAUCUUACAUAUGGGGAUCUAAAGUUGUAAUUUUUACCGACCAUAGUGCCAUUCACCACCUCUUGGAAAAGAAGGAUGCCAAACCACGUCUCAUAAGAUGGAUCCUUCUUCUUCAAGAGUUUAAUCUUGAAAUUCAGGACAAAAAGGGUUCUGAAAAUGUUGUGGUGGAUCAUUUAUAUAGAAUAACUAAUAAUGAUAACUCAACGAAAGUUAUUCAAGAAAACUUUCCAGAUGAGCAUAGUCUUGUUGUCAAAACUAUACCAUGGUUUGCUAAUUUAAUUAAUUACUUUGCGACAGGGGAAACUCCAUUGUAUUGGAAUGCUCAACAAAUGAGGUUCUUCCACUCUCAAACAAAAUACUACAUAUGGGAGGACCCAUAUAUUUUCAAAAUUGGAGCAGAUCAAGUGAAUAGGAGAUGUGUACCACAUACAGAGCAAGAAGACAUUCUUCGACACUGCCAUUCAUAUACAUGUGGAGGGCAUUUUAGUGCCAAAAGGCAGGGCAUCGGGUUCUACAAAGCGGUUUUUUCUGGCCCUCUAUUUUUAAAGAUGCACAUACAUUCGUUAAAGCUUGUAUUCGUUGCCAACAAGUUGGGGGGAUCUCAAGACGGGACAUGAUGCCAAUGACCCCAAUUUUAGUAGUUGAAAUCUUUGAUGUAUGGGGCAUUGAUUUCAUGGGUCUGUUCCCCACUUCUUUUGGCAAUCUAUACAUUCUUGUAGCCGUUGAUUAUGUAUCAAAAUGGCUCGAAACCGAGGAUACACACACGAAUGACCAUAGUGUUGUUUGUAAAUUUGUUAAAAAGAACAUAUUUUCUACACACGGAAUCCCUCGAACUAUUAUUAGUGAUGGGGGCUCCCAUUUUAAAAAUUGGCAUUUUGCAAAGUUACUUAAACACUAUAGUGUCACACAUAUGAUAGCUACUCCAUAUCACCCACAAACAAAUGGACAAGUAGAAGUGUCAAAUAGGGAAAUAAAACGAAUCUUGGAGAAGACUGUUCAUCCCGACCGAAAAGAUUGGUCAUUAAGAUUAGAUGAUGUGUUAUGGGCAUAUCGAACAACCUAUACGACGCCCAUUGGAAUGUCUCCGUAUCGGCUUGUUUAUGGAAAGCCAUGCCAUCUCCCGGUGGAGUUAGAACACCGUGCCAUGUGGGCCAUAAAAAAUGCUAACUUUGAAUUGAGUGAUGCAGGUAUAGAAAGGAAACUCCAAAUUGUUGAAUUGGAAGAGAUUCGAAAAGAAGCUUACGAAAGCUCAAGGAUCUAUAAAGAAAAGACGAAGGCAUUUCAUGACCGACAUAUUGUCCGAAAACAAUUCGUUAAAGAACAAUUGGUGUGGCUAUUCAACUCUCGUCUCAAACUCUUCCUCAGAAAGCUUCGGAGUAAAUGGAAUGGACCUUUUGUGGUGAAAAAUGUGGCGGAUCAUGGAUCUAUUGAAAUCAAGGACACGAAAGGCAGUGAACCAUUCAAGGUAAAUGGACAAAGACUCAAACCUUAUAUUCGAAUGGUAAAUGGUGAAACAACAUUCGUUGAGAAAACAACGCUCAAGGCAACACAAUAUUUAGAAACAACUUAGUCGAGGUAAACCGUCCGGCUGAAGACAUAAAACUUACCGCUUUUCGGGAGGCAACCCGUGGUUUGGUGUGUUUUUACUUCUAUUCUUCUUUUGGUGUGUUUUAAUUCUUUUCGUAUCGAGGACAAUCCAAGGUUUAAAGUUGGGGAGGGGGUAUUUAAUUUUUGUUUAAAAUUAAAUAAUAUUCGAAAAAUACUCAAAAAACAGCAAAAAAAAAUAGCCUCAGGCAUCCUAGGGGUGUCUUAGACGUUGUCUAAGACGCCGUCGGGCUGUCACUUCUUUUCCCCCCGAUGAAAACCCUUCGCGAAAAUUAAAAAAAUACCCUUAAUGUGUAUGACGUCCUAGGACGCGUCUAAGACGCCGGCUAGGACGUCGACGUGUUUUUCAACCGUUUUAUGCCGUUUUCUGCAUUAUUGUUGGUAUCUUUCUUCUCCAAACUGCCAUAGCCGAAAACCCACUUGUUCUUGCUUAUUUCCUUUGAUUUCUUGGCCAAAACUCAACCAAAAUUCGUGGUUUUUGUUGCAAUCUUCAAGAAAUCAAGUAAGAAACAUCACAUUGCAAGAUUUACACACUCUAAUCACUUAUUUGGGGCCGAUUUCAAAACCCACAAAAACUAGGGUUUCGAAAUUUUGACUUAUUUUGAGAUUUUACUUCAAGUUCUUGGUUCUUCUUCACUAGAAACACAAUUUCAACAAGGUAUAUGCUUCAAAACUCCAUCUUUUAGUUGAAUUUCAGAAUUUUUGCAUGUAUGUUCAUAUAUGUUUGAAAUUUUGAAAAAGAUGAAGAAUAUGAUAUAUAUUGGUAUGAAUUCUUGUGAAUUAGUGUUUGUAGUUGUUAGAAGUAUGUUCCAAACAAGUUGCAUGUGUUGAUUCGAGAAAUUUCUAAAAAUUGAAUUUUUGUUGUUAGUUGUUAAAAAAUAAUAAUAAUAAAUAAAAGCACAUAUAAUGUUGGAAAAUCAUUCUUAUGUUUAUAUUUGUGUUUGAAUUAAAAAUUCAAGUUUUUAGAAAAUUUCAGAAUGACACUGAAUUUUGACAUUGCAUUGUUAGUCUGAAUAUUUGCCUGUUACAGUUCUGUUCUGGUUUUAGUUAGAACUUGUCAGUUGAAGUUAACUUUUGGUUUAACUGUGUUUUUACUGAUUGGAUAAAUUUUUGAAAAAUAUUUAGUUACUAAAAACAUAACAGGACUUAAAACGGUUAUUUAUUUAGACUGGAUUUAUUUUAACUUUGUUUGGAACAACUUGCCAACUGAAUUAUUUGUUUUAUUUUUGUGACAUUUGAUAUGUUUAAUGGCAAGUUUUGUUUUGUGGUUUUGUGUAUGAAUUAUUUUGCAGAUGCCAGCAAAGAGAUCAAGGGUAGCAUCAUCAAGCAGUGCAUCUAGACAACCAGCUAGACAGUCGGAGCCAAAUGUACAUGUGGCUUUCAACCCACAGUAUCAGACAUUGCAUGAGCAUCUAGAUGACAUUCGUCCAACAGUUUAUGAGGCAACUCAUCCGAAUAUGGGUUUUAUUGUAGAGUACAUGGUGGAGCGACCGAGCUUCACUAGGUAUAAUAUUGUGGAGACGUUUGAUCGCUAUGGAUGGGGUGGAGUGCUAGACUUCAAUCCCACGCAGAUUUAUGUUGAUAUAGUGCAGGAAUGGAUGAGGAAACUUCGACGUGUCGAGGUGCCUGGUAGGCCGGAGGAGUUGCCGCUGAUUGGGACGGUCCGUACUCAUGAUAUAGUGAUAACUGUGCAGGGUAUUCGGGACAUGUUUCAUGUAGAUACUGGCUGUCAUUUUCAUUAUCUUGAGAAUCAUCUGACUGAGUAUAGAUGUAUUGACACGAGGGGGUAACCCUGGGGUUAGUAUGACUGAAGUAUACCGUAUAGUGUUCCAUGAGGGGACGAGGGCAUACGACAGAUUCCGCGAAUUGGUGCCUUUAGCAAAGGCAUUACAUAACAUUAUCACGAAAAAUGUGAACCCAAGGAAUAGUGAUCCUAGGGCGGUGAGGCCACAUGACUUAUAUGUAUUAUAUGGAUUGAUGAUAGGAUCUAUCUUUAUCUCUUAUGCAUAUAAUGCUAUGUGCAACAUAUGGUCCUGUUUUGAUAUCCAGCACAGAGUCACUACCCCCCAUGUUGCCCUGAUAUCGACAUAUGUUGCCUUGCUACUUCUUUUAGACACAUCUCAUUUCAUGUUGAAAAUGGGAGACAUAUUCUGAGGGAUUCUACCACAAAUCCGACAUACACGGCACCACUCGGAGUGGGGGAUGAGGAGCCAUUCGUUGGUGAUUUUUAGGGGGAUCAGUAGCAGCAAUAGGCAUAAGCAGCAGGUCGGGGAUAGAACAUGCAGGCAGCUUGGGAGGACUUUGUGGGGAGGCAGAACAUGCAUAACCAGGAGGUGCAGGCUUGGAUGGGGAGAACGGAUAUAUGGUUGAAGGGUGUCGAUACGACACUAGCUGAUAUUACUGAGCAGAUGCGACAGAUUGGCAUUACAUCUAGCAACACUUAUAGUGUUGCCACUCGUCAGUUGUACCAACAGGAGUACUAUGCAGAUGCUGCCUACACAUAGAGUCGUGUCCAGUAUGAACCGAUGGACAUUGAUCAACCACAGUAUCGAUACCGAGCUCCAGCUCCGUUCUUCUACCGAUCCGGGAAUCUGAGCAACUAUCCACCGCCAUCCGAGCAUGAGCAUUAUCAGCCACCACCAGCUACAGAGGACUCUACUCGCUUUGAGGAUUUAGUUGGAUCGAUCUUUGGGUAUCCUCCACCAUACCCACGUUAUCCUCCACAGUCGCCCCCACAUUGAACUUUGGUGAGAUCCUCUUUUGAUUUUUAUUUUUAUGGUUGUUUGAUGAAGACUUUUUUUAUUUUUAUUUUUAUUUUUCGUUUGCUUUUCAUGUCUUUAUUUGGGAUGAAUGUACUAUUAUUAAACUCAUUAUUAUUAUUACUCUCUCUUGGGUUGGUUCCAUUAAAUAUGUGAUGAGUUAGUAGCAUCUCUAUAUCUUGAACGUAACUCAUCAAAAUGGAAAAUGAUAGGAGUUUCGUAAAUUGAGUCAUAAUAUUUAUUUAAUAUUGAUUUUGUGGAUUGCUCAACCGAUUUGGGAAUAUUUAUAUUUAGUUAAAAAAUUGUUAUGUGAAAUACCCAAGUGUUUGAAAAAUGACGGUUUUUAGCUCGAGCCUACGAUCUUUCAAUUGAGGACCCAACCGAACAAUAUGUGUCAUCACGCUCUGAGUACUUGGUCUUACUUACUCUUGCGCCUUUGGGGUUGGGAGGGGACUAUUAUUGUUUUCACACAAUAAAAAAGCAUCAAAAGACAUUGAAGAACUUCCAAGUAUCUAUAUUCAAGCUCAAGUCAAAUACCAAAAUGAUCAAAUCCGAUGAAGCCAUCAAAGAACUUGAAGAAUGCAAAAUCAAGAUAAAUAUGAAGAAAAGUUCAAGUUGAAGACAUUGUGUGAAAUAAUGUGUGACCCCUCGAUAGCGGGAGCGUAUGGGUUGGUCCAUUAAGUGUUACCGACCGCGCUAACUAUGUUAGUGAACCUUGAAAAAAGGGACUUUGGCAAUGAGUUCAACUGAUUACUCAUGAGGGUGAUUAUUGGAAAGGGUUCAAAAAGUGGAGGGUUUCAAACAACAAAGUAAAAUAAGCAUAACAUGUGUUUUGAGUUUAAAAGUCUGGAUAAGAAAAUAAUAAUCCCCAUAAUCAAUAUAUUGUGCUAUUGGAAAUGUUGUGAUAAAAAGUACAGAAUUCAUGAUUCCAUUGAGUUUUUCUUAGGAUAAGAGAGUAAAGACUACGCUGAUUAUUUCAGGCCAAUCUCGGGACGAGUUUGGAAUAAAGUUGGGGAGGUUUGAUAAGUCCAUUUUAUGAAUGUACUAAAUUGUUAUAAAUCUGUUGAAUUGAUGUAUAAUUGUCCAAGAAUGGCACUACUUUGAUGAGUUGUUGAACUUCAUAUACAGGUCAAUAUAUUGUACUAAAAGUGGGCGGAACCUGCAAGUAAAACAGUGCUAAAGGAAUGAAGAAACGUUGCUGGGAAAACUGACCAUGCUUCAAUGUUUUGGUCAUAACUGAAGUUCCGCAGCUCUAAUUGACAUGAGUAAAGAAGUUCUGGAAACUAGACAAGAUUUUCUACAACUUUUGUGUUUUGUGUUUCUGCUAGUUAUGUCGUUUUGACCACCAAAACUUAAACGAAAGAUGAAGGAUGCCUCCAGGCGUCUAAGACAUCCCCUAGGACGUCCACAUCAAACGGUCAGCAUCUGGCCGUUAUUUCAAAGCAGAAAAGAAGGAAGAACCCCCGUCAGCGUCUUACAUGGCGUCAAAGAUGUCCCCUAGGACAUCUUGGCAUUUUGGGGAUGUCCCGUGUUGGAACGGUGUGUUUCGGAAAGUUUAGAAAACAAGGCAGGACGUCCUAGAACGUGUCUAAGACGUCUCCUAAUACGUUUGACGUUUUUGGCCAUUUUUUAGUGUAUUUCAAGGACGACAGAUGGCAUGCAAGGACGUACAAAGAACGCCUGGGCGUUAUACACGACAUCUAAGAUGUCUGCUAGGACGUCCAACAUCCCACAUCCCCCAAUUUCAUUAUUUUUUAUCUCACACUAUAAAUACGAGCCUAUGAAUUCGUUUUUAGGGUUACCACCUCCGAUUUUCAGAGUUUUUCAUGUGUUUUUGAGGCUUCUAAAACACUUGGAAACAUUUGAAAACACAAAUCCAUUCCAUUAAAAUCCGGAUUCAAAGCAAGACUCAAUUCAAUUCAUCAUCAAGCUAUAAGUGAAGAUCAUUUCAUUGGUUAAUCUUCAUCAAUUCUUUAUUUUCCAGAAUUAUUUCUUCUUCCCCAAGGUUUAUUUUUUCUAUAAUUUGAUAAUCAUUAGGCUACAUUUGUUUGAUGAUUCUACAUUUGUUUAUGAAUUCUAUUAUGCAUUUUAUUCAUUUCAAUCAAGUUAUUUGUUUUAUGAACUCAAUGGAAGGCUAAAUCAUUAGGGUUACUUCUGGGGAUGUUUAGGACUUUUUGAUGAACAUAAUUGAUUAUUACUUGAUUUUAGUUAAUUCAAUUGUUGUUUUAUGCUUCAUGUGAUGAUCUUUUAGUAAUGAUAAUUGAAAUUGGGUUGUAUGAAUUGUUUGAUGUCAUAAUUAAGAUAGUCUAUUGUCAAUUCAUCAUUUGUUCCAAGUUCACUUAGUUUAGGAAUAAAGACAAGUGACUGAAUCAACAUAUAUUAUUCCAACUUAUGAUAUUGAAUCUUAAUGCGGUAAUAGGUAGUUGUAUGAUAUUUUAUAGCUAGUCCACUAAUUGUUCUUAAUCCAUUUAGGCAUAAAGGAGUAAGACAACUAGUUAAAUGAAAAUUUAGUGUGCCCAAACUAUGUAUUACAAGUUAAUAAACCCCAAUUGUAUCUAAGUAAUUGAAUUAGGAUUUAAGGGAAGAAAGUGUGUGAAUUUAAACUAUCCAUAACUGAACCGGAAGUACUCUAGUUUUCUCAUUGAAAUUUUCGUUUUAAUUAAUAAAUUUCCAAGCUUUUUGUUUGAUCUUUGCUUUAAUUUUUUUUCGUGACAAUUUCUAGUAGUUUGUUUUUUUUCGUUGACUAUUUUAACACAAAAUUUGACGACAAACUCCUUGCGGAUUCGACCCUUACUUACCCUAGCUAUCUAGUGGUUUUGAGAUUAUUCUUGACUGAUACAACGACAUUGAUCAUCGUGCCAAAACCCUAAAGAGACCGAUGUGCCUGGGGCCCAAUUUGCUCUUCUUCCUGAAUCGGAUGACACCUUUCCAAUGUGACAAGUUCAGGGGGACCAUAUCCCUAACCUGAAACUCUAAAUCUGAUUGGUGCUUGUCGGCAUAGCUCUUCUUCCGGCUCUAAGCUGUCUGGAGCCUACUCCAAACUGCUGAAUCAACUUGGUAGUCUUGAGUACCGCUUUGGUACUCCCCAUUAGUAGCUGACCGUCCUCACCCCAACAUAUCAUGGUACUGCAUUUCUUUCUAUAGAGCAUCUCAAAAGGAGGUCGAUUAAUGUUGGCGUGAUUACUAUUGUUAUACAAAAACUAUUGGAUUAGGUGUCUAAGACCAUAACUAUUUUGGUAUGUACUUGACCCGAUUGUGAGCAUGGUCCUUUUGGGUUGCCUUCACCAUAGCAACUGAUGGGAUGAAUUAAGGAGAAAAAGGAUUAAUUAUGAUUUAUUAAUAUAUUAUAUGAAUAAUAUAUUAAAAGAGAAAUCAUAUUGUUUAAUUAAUAUUAGUCAAUAAUUCAUUUUGUGGCUAAAAGAGAUUAAUUAAAUAAAGGGGACUGAUAUUGCAAUUAUAUGAUAGUUGCAAAUUGGGCUAUGGAUUCCUAAUGGAAAUCGGAUUGGACAAAAUCUAUGGGAAGCCCAUAUGGAUUUCGUCCAAGGGCUUUCCAAGGGAACUCCAUGGGUUGCUUAAGGCGUAAGCAGUGAGAUUAGGGUUUCCUGAUUCAAAACCCUAAUAGCCUAAGUAUAAAAGGAACCCUUGGCAAGCCAAAAACGUCCCUAACCUUAUAAGAGAAACCCUAGGACGUUUUUGGUGCCUCCUCCCUCUCUCCUUGUUCAUCUUGUUACAUAUGGUGUUUGUGACUCCAUUAGAGGUGCAACAUUUGAGGCACUAGGCUUUCAGAAGUCAAUUACAAGAAGGAUUCGGAUUGUUAUUGCAACAUAACAAUCAAGGUAAGAUCUAAAAUCUAUCCUUUUGUCAAUUUUGAUUAUUGUAUACUAGAGUUAGGGUUUAUGAGCUUUGGAUGAUUAUUACGUAUAUCAGACAAACUAGAUCCAAAGCUUUAGGGUUUGCAUGUACACCAUAGGAUUGACGUAGUGCUCAAAACCCAUCAAAAACUACGCCAAAGGGAUAUAUGUAUCCCAACUCCCACCAAAAUCCAGAACACACGCCCGAAGCAUAUCCUCCAAGGUAUGAAUAGUCCUCUCGCUCUGACCAUCAGUAUGUGGGUGGAAAGUCGUACUGAAAUGCAGAUGAGUACCCAGCUCGUCGUGGAACCUCUUCCAAAAUCUGGAAGUAAACCGGACGUUCCUGUCUAAAACCACAAAACGGGCACACCAUGAAGUGCCACUACCUCCCUGAUGUAUACCUCAGCUAACUUCUCUGAGGAGAUACUAUCUUGAGUCGGAAUAAAAUGUGUGAACUUGGUCAAUCAAUCCACGAUGACCCAAAUCGAAUCCACUCUAUGUUCACUCUAAGGCAACAUCGUAAUGAAAUCCAUGGUAAUCUCCUCCCAUUUUCAAACAGUGAUAUCUAACGGUUACAUCUUGUCGUGAGGCCACUGAUGCUCGGCCUUGACUUUCCUUCAAGUCAAGCAUCUCUCCACGUACCAAGCUACAUCCCGCUUCAUACAGGGCCACCAAUAAUCAGGAUGAAGAUCAAUAUACAUCUUCGUCGUGGUGGGAUGAAUGGAGAAUCUCAAUUUGUGUGCCUCCUCCAUCAGAACUUGACGCACACCAGCCCAAUCGGAACCCACACUCUUCGAUGGAGAUUCAAUAACCCUUGGUUUUCAUAAUAAAAGGAAGCCACCUGACUCACUGUGCGCUCACUCUUCCCAUCACAACCUCAACCUGAGCCUCUCAAAUCUACUCUAAAAGUGGAGUGAUCACAGUCAUCCUGAAACAAAUAUCCUUGAACGGAGCCGCGAUCGCCUUGCUGCUAAGAGCAUCGGCCACCACAUUAUCCUUCCCCGUAUGGUAAAGGAUCUCACAAUCAUAAUCCUUCACCACAUCCAACCAUUGGCACUGCCUCAUGUUCAUAUUUGGCUGAUCCAUCAGAUACCUCAAGCUCUUGUGAUAUGUCUAUAUAGUACAGCGGGCCCCAUAGAGGUAAUGUCAUCAAAUCUUGAGGGCAAAAACCAUAGCCCCAACUCUAAAUCAUGCAUCGGAUAAUUCGUCUCAUGAUGCUUCACUUACCUUGAAGCGUAAGCGAUCACGUGACCCCUCUGCAUCAGAACUACACCUAAACCUGUGAUCGACGCAUCAUAAUAAACCAUGAAAUCUUCAACACCCUCCGGCAGGGUCAAAAUAGAUGCCUCACACAAUCUUUAUCUUAGGGUCUCAAAAGUUGCAUGUUGGUCGGGCGCCCAGCGAAAAGUGACAAUCUUCUUCGUCAACCGAUUUAGAGGAACCGCUAUCUUGGAGAAAUCCUAAAUGAACCUCCGAUAAUAGCCUUCCAACUAAGGAAACUCCAAAUCUUAGAUGGAGACCUCGGUACCUCCCACCUCAUCACGGCCUCGACCUUGGCCGGAUCGACCAGAAUACUGUUUUGGUUGACAAGGUGCCCUUGAAACUGCACCUCGUGCAACUAGAACUCGCACUUGGAGAACUUUGCAAAAAGUCUCUCCCUCCUCAAAGUUUCCAAUACCUCCCUGAAGUGCUCCUCAUGUAGCUCCUGGGUCUUGGAAUAGACCAGGAUAUCAUCAAUGAAUAGGGCAUUUUGUAUAAUCAAUUGUUGAUGUUAUUGAAAAUAAUGAUGUUAUUGAAACAUAUGCAUGGCAUGUAUUCCCAAUAAUUAUAUUUAAUUAAUUGGUUGUUGUGCAUGUUAUUAUAUUGGGAACAAAUUAGAAAGUGGUCCAUGUGGUAGUACAUGAUAUGUAUGGGGACCAUUUGUAGUUAAUAGUCAAUGGGUAUUUUUAUAAUGGAAAAAUGGGACCUUUGAACCCAUUAUAGAACCAUAUCCAUGACUAUAUAACAAAUUCACAUGCAUGCACAUUAUUCCAAAUUUUUCCAUGCAUAAAUAUUCAAACCCAUUGGUCAUGAGUUUACUUAAAAAGGCAACAUACUUUCAUAAGUGAGUAAAAUAUCAUUUCAUGUCAACAAUUUACUUACAAAGGCAACAUACAUUCAUUAGUGACCAAAAUACCCUUUUAUGUCAUGAGUUAACUUAAAAAAGCAUCACGCAUACAUAAAUGACUAAAAUACCCUUUUAUGUCAUGAGUGAACUUAAAAAGGCACCAUGCAUACAUAAAUGACCAAAAUACCCUUUUAUGUUAUGAGUGAACUUAAAAUGGCACCAUGCAUACAUAAAUGACCAAAAUACCCUUUUAUGUCAUGAGUUAACUUAAAAAGCCACCAUGCAUACAUAAAUGAUCACAUCACAUGUAUUCAAAUACACAUACUUUAAAUCCAAAUUACCAUCAUCCUAAUACACAAACUUAAAAUCCAAAUUACCAUCAUCCUAACACACAUACUUUAAAUCUAAAUAACACAAAGGAAAAAUCAACACUAAUAAAUUAGAAGAGCUUUUCCCUUAGAAUUUCCUGGAUCAUCAACACCACCAACUUUCUUGCCUAAUUUCAACUUGAAGAUUCUCUUUGACUUUCUUCUCCUUAUCCUGUUCAAAAUCUUGGAAAUUGGUCUAACCCUUACCUGUUGAACCUAGAUAAUAGGAGUAACCUCCUAAAUUUGAACAUUAUCAACAACUUGGACAUUAGGAAUAACCUCAUCAUCUUGAACAUUACCACCCUCCUCAACUUCCUCACCCAUAACACCCCCAUCACCUUCAUAACUUCUAGGUGGAAUAACUUGCAUAGACUGACUAAAAUCCCUUGCACUACUGGAUUCAACAUGAGUAGAAGUAACUUGCAUAUCAUUUUGAGUAUUAUCCAUCUCAAUUGGAGUCAUUUAACCUCUUCUUGUUGUUGUGGUUCACUUGUACUACCCUAUAUGGCAUGAUAUAAUUAUGUUAGUGGCAAAUCAUAUGUAAAUAAAUUUAAAUUUUAAAUGGUUUUACCUGUUCUGCAUUUUUCUUCACAUAAACUUUUUGUUUCUUCUGUUUCUUUACAUUUAACUUUUGGGGCCUUCUCUAUGGACAAGUGGCCUUACUGUGACACAUCUCCUUGCAUAUAAUACAUCUAAUUUUCUUUCCAUCCUUAGAAACCCUGUGUGUUCCUGUAUUCUUUGUAGUGGAUUUCUUCUUCUUAGUAGCUGGCCUACCAUGCAUCCGUCUACUAAUAAGAGGCAAUGGUGGAGUAUAAUUUGUCUCUGGCCACAUGUCACUGCCAUUCAUGGGGGAAAUUCUGUAAUUGUAUGCCUUCCGAAUUGUGGUGGUGUUAAACAUGUUGUCUACAUAGGCUUCUACAUCUCUAUUAAGAUUGGAUAUGGUAGCUACAGAAUGAGCAUAUCCAUAUCCAUUUAACCGCCACAACCUACAUGAACAUGUUUUCCUUUAUAAGUCCACCUCAUAUGCAUCUGUUUCUCCCUUACCUCGAACUGGUUUAAUCCACUAGGUAGUACCUGAUAAUGCCUCUGAAUUUUUUAAGCAAAUUCACCUUAUCCCUUAUCUCUGGACAAAUAUUAUUUCCCCAUUGUUGUCCCUUUAAUUUCAUGUUGUACAUUUUGUCCAUCAUGUAUAAUCUUAACUCCUCUAACAUGGUUAUUAUGGGCUUCUUCCUGGUAUCCACUAUUACAACAUUAAAACUUUCAGAGAAAUCAUUUUCAACUGCAUCACAACACCUUCCAGCUUGAAAGUAAGCUCUUGACCAUGUUUUAAGAUCUUUCUCCAUGAGAUAUUGAUGGGCAUCUGGGUUUAAUGUCUCAAUUUCCUUCAUCACAACUUUAAAAGCAUGCUCAUUUGUGGUUUUAGAUGCUCUCCAAAACAAGGUAUGAUAUAUGACACCAGUGAAUCUCUUCUGCAAAUUUUGAAAAAUAUGUCUAGCACACUGCCUGUGCAUAUGGAAGAAACUCUUUAACAGCCUCUAUCAAACCUUGUAUUAAUAAAAAGGUUUAAAUCAGAUAGUAUAAAAUAAAUAUAAAUGAAUUACUAUGUAAAAUACUAACCUUAUGUUGGUCUGACAUUAAACUGAAGCAAUUGCCUAAACUUAAGUUUAGAUUAUUAAUGAGAAGCUCUAAAAACCACUUUUAAUUCUACUUGUUCUCCACACUAACCAUUGCCCAAUCAAUAGGAUAUAUCUUGUUAUUUACAUCCCUCCCAAUAACACAAAGCAAUCCCCCCUUACAAACACCUUUAAGAAAACAUCCAUCAAGACCCAUUAUCCUUCUACACCCUUUAAUCCAACCUUGUUUAAUUCCUUGAAAACAAACAUAGAACUUGCUAGAAUAUUUCUUUCCAUCUGGACCAUCCUCCACAUCUAGUUUCACAGUUGACCUAGGAUUUGUCCUUAAAAUCUCAUCAACAUAUUACCAUAGCUUACCAUAAUGUUCAACAAGGCUACCUUCAACAAGAUUUAAUGCAUACUUCUUUGUUCUCCUACAUUAGCCCAUACUAACUUGGAUACUAAACUUGGUCAUUACCUUUACCCUAAGCUUCCUUACACUCAUUUUAUGACUUUGUACAAUCUCUUUGGUAUAGUGACUCCCAAUCCAUGCAUAUGUCACCAAUAAUCCAAACUUGAAGUUCCUAGCACAAUUAUGAUAAGCUUUUUGUGACUUGAUUUGGAAAGUCUCUCCAUCAUUCAUCCAAGAAGCCCAUAAUAUAAAUGUGCAAGCACCCUUGCUACAUCUCACCAAAAGUCUUUUCCUAUCAUAUUUUUUCAAAACACAAUUGAUAUCCAUUAGCCACAACAUAGUUGCACAACCUUGACUUUACUUGCCCUGGACCCUUAGAUCUCAUUCCUAGAAUUGGUUUUUGUUUUUUCCAGUGUAAUAGCUCAUUAAAUAUGGAAAUAGUUUGGAUGUUAGGUUCAACUUCUCUCCCAUUAUCAUCAUCUACAAUGUUGUUAUCCUCCUCAUCAUCAACACACAACUUACUCACGAAAGGAUCAUUUGAUGUCCUAUUCAUAUGCACUGCAUCCUUAUUAAAUUCAAAGACAACAUUCCUAAGUUCAUCUAUGUUAUCUUCAUCUAUGUUAGCGGCGCAGCUUUUUGCCCGUUUGCCUUCAAUCGAUAUGUAUUGAACAAAAAUGUUUGAAUGUCUAUCAAUACAAGGCUCAUGUUCAUCAUCAAACCACCCACCAACACCAACCCCAAUAUGAUCCACAUAAACCGAAAUUACACCAUCUGUUCCAUCAACAUCAAAAAUAAAAGCAGCAUAGUCCACAUCAUCUGAAAAUGGGAUUAAGCUCUUCCAUCAGGGAAUUGCCUGGUUUACAGUAGUAAAACUUUUUACACUCUUCAUGCAUGAAAUGUUCACAGAAGGUCACAAGCUCAGAAUAAGUCAUAGAAGAAAAGUCGACAUCAGUGAACAUGGUUUUCACACCACCAGUGUAAGAGAAAGGAUUUCGAUUAAAUACCCCUUGGUAGUUGAGUUCCACCAUCACAAACACUCCAUUAGGUUCCGAUUGUGCCAUUUUUGCGACUUCUUUGGCUCUUCAGCUCGAUCACAAAAAUGCUUCACAAAACCUAAAUCAAUUUCUUUUAAAACUAAAUAAUGAAGACGAGUGAAGUUCGAUAGCUGAAGACAAAAGGCUUAAAGCUUCGUAUAUCAUCUAUUGAUGUGGCAUAUCUCACAUGGCAUCAGAUUAGCUAAAAAAGAUAUAUUAAUUGACAUAUAUAAAAUGUCAACCAGGAAACCGUUUACAAGUAUGGAAAUGACUAAAUUAAUAAGUCAGAUACCAUUUUAAUGGUCUAAUGUACCCAAAAAACUUUAAUGACCAAAUUAGCCAAAUGUAAAAAGUUUCAUGUGCUACAGUGACAUUAUCCCUGAUGGGUUUUGAGCAUUCUAACACUCCUAUGGUGUACAUGCAACCCUAGAAACCUUGGAUCUAUGUUUGACUAAUAUACAUGCAAAUAAUUAUUUUCCAAGGUUCUUAUCCUAUCUAGCAUGGCAUGGGAACUUGAAUCAAAUAGAGCUAGUAGAAUUACUUACCUUGUAGUUGUUUAAAGCUUCGUAUAUCAUCUAUUGAUGUGGCAUAUCUCACGUGGCAUCGGAUUAGCUAAAAAAUAUAUAUUAAUUGACAUAUAUAAAAUGUCAACCAGGAAACCGUUUACAAGUAUGGAAAAUGACUAAAUUAAUAAGUCACAUACUAGUUUAAUGGUCUAAUGUACCAAAAAAACUUUAAUGACCAAAUUAGCCAAAUGUAAAAAGUUUCAUGUGCUACAGUGACAAUAUCCCUGAUGGGUUUUGAGCAUUCUAACACUCCUAUGGUGUACAUGCAACCCUAGAAACCUUGGAUCUAUGUUUGACUAAGAUACAUGCAAAUAAUUAUUUUUCCAAGGAUCUUAUCCUAUCUAGCAUGGCAUGGGGAACUUGAAUCAAAUAGAGCUAGUAGAAUUACUUACCUUGUAGUUGUAGUUGAUUGCUUGGAGUUUUAGAGCCUAGCACCAAUAGUGUGGAUGCCUCAAAUGUAAAUCACAAAUCACUACAAACUUGGAACUUUGAGAGAAUAGUAACCACCUUUCUUGAAAUCGGCCCUCUUACUUUACUCACCACAACUAGUAUGAUUUCAAGAACCAAAGCCUCCUUUAUAUAGUGUGGUGGAUUAGGGUUACAUCCAUGUAAACCCUAAUACCCAUGUCUUUUCAUUUCCAUGAGAUCCAUGGGUUAAAGCUCCAUGGAGUAUCCAUGGACUUUCCAAGCAAGCCUAGCCCAUUCCAAAUAAGCAUUAGCCCACACUAUAUAAAUAUAAGAGCCCAUAUUUAAUUAGUAAUACUUUUGAUCUCUAAAUUAAUUUUAGAUUAAUUAUAGAUCAAUACUAAUUAAAUAAUAUGGUUUUAUAUUAAUAUAUUAGAACUUAUAAUAUAUUAAUAAAUCAUAACUUAUACUAUUCUCAAAAGAUUAUCCAUAAAUUGUUCGGGUGAAGUGCAACCCAAAUGGACCAUGACGGGUCGGGUCAAGUACAUACCAAAUAUAGUUAUGGACUUAGACACUAUAUCCAACAAUCCCUACAUAAAGUCAUAUGUAGUCAAGGAUCAGAUAGAUAAUCGAACAUAUGACUCACCUAAGAGCGAACAAUCAGAAAAGAACAUCACAAUCAAGCCUUAGAUCAAGAGUUAUCAGUCUAUCCAACUUAAACUAGAUAGACCUAAGAUAUUAUUACCACCUAACCAUGUGACAUAAACAUUUAACAGAUACUAGCAUAUUUAUACACUUAGCAACUAUCCUUCCCUAGUUACCCUGUCAUUGAUCACUUCUCAAUCAAGUGAUCAUCUGGUCAGUCAUGCAUAAUCAUGAUAAUUGACCUACCCCAAUUUCCCUAACUAAACAUAACUCAUAACAAUAUCAUACAAUAAAUAGGAAAGACCUCACAAGAAUAGCAUACCCAGACACCAAGUGUUCUAAACUGCACAUGCAUAUCCUAGCCAACUAGCAUAUUUGUACUCUAACAGUAUCUCCAUCCUAUCAUGCACAGGAUAUAUAAUGAGAUAUGUGGCAUACUAUGAAACUCACCUGAACUGAAGAACCGGAGAAGCACAACAACACUCUUACACAUUUCACUACUCGAUCAUGUGAACCAAUUAACACCAAAAUAGAUAAAUCCUCAAUCAAUAAUCCAAAUCCUCCAAGUUUGACCCUAAGUCAAACUGGUCAAAAGUCAAUAGUCGAUGUAACGCCCAUGUUUCUUUCCAGACAUUAACUAAAUAAUUAGGGUCAACAAUCACCACAACGUGGUAACCUCUUGGCCACAUCCUGGGAAUUUCCAUACAAAAUAGUUACGAAGCUUAGGAUCACCAUGUCGUUGCAAGCCUAUUGCCACGUCGUGGAAAUUCACAGGAAGUCAUAUUCUUCAUUAUGAGCUUAAUGCUUACAGAUCUAAGCUCAAACUUUCAUAUUUGAUUCUUCUUGAUGAAUUAAUGGAUCUUAAACCAUAAGUCUAUUAAGUCUUUAAUAUGACCAAAACUAGAGCAUGGAGAAAAGGGAGCUAUGAAUUAACGCUUUUUCCAUCAAACAAGACCAAAAGAUGGUCACCAAACAAUUCUAAAGUUCUGGAGUUGGCCAAAACUCCAAGAAAAUGCCUUCAAGGGACUUCAAAGCAUGAUAUGAGAGAAAAGGAUGAUAAAGGUGGAAGCUUUAUACCUUCCCAAAAUCCACAAGACAUAGGAGAUGCAAGAUCUGAAGUAGAUACACCAUUCAAACUAGCAAACACACUGUCGUUUCCUUCCCAAAGUGCAACCCAAGGCUUCAAACUUCAAGAACUCCAAGAACUCAUCAAUAUCACUCAAAUAGGGCUAGGGUUUCGAAAUAGGAGGAUGGAGACUGAGGGAAAUGAGCUAACCCUAGAGUUAAGGCCAUUAAAUAUGGGAGAAAAUAUAAAAAAAAAAAUUAUGUGCUUGGGCUACAGCACUCACAACGUCGUGGCAACCCUCUAGUCAUGUCGUGGUGCUCUUCAAAAUGUGCGUUCCCGAAAAUAUGUGUCACGUCGUGGUCAUCCAUGCACCAUACCAAGGCAUAGAUUUUUCUCCUAAAACCCCAUCUUUGAUCCUAUUAGCUCUUUAGUUAAACUAUUAUAGAAAAUAGGUGUUAUAGCCACCAUUCCGAGUUCCUUCUGUGACUGCUAAAUUAGUGUUUGGCGGGUUGGGGAGCCCGACUUCUUUCUCUUAUAUCUUCACAUAUAUAUAUAUAUAUAUAUAUAUAUAUAUAUAUAUAACAUUUUUUUUUCAAAAGUGUAAUACUAUCAAGGGAAAUUGACUUAUCAGGGUAAUUACUGUUUUGUUUUGUUCACAUCGGGGUAACUCUUUUUUUAGUACACAUCUAGGUAACAAACUUUUUGUAAGUGUUCACAUGUGACCAUUAUAAUUGGUUGUAGCAAGUUACAACCGAACGUAAUUGUCAUAUAUGAACACUUCCAACAAGCUCGUUACCUCGAUGCAUACAAAAAAAUGAAGUUACACAUAUGUGAACAAAACGAAAAGGUAAUUACCCUGAUAAGCCAAUUUCCCUUUUUAUUAAGGUGGCAAAUCAUAAUGUUUGUAAUAUUAAUAUAUUCAUUUAAAUUUCUUUAAAACAACAUUUGUAACACCCGGAAUCUAGAAGAUUAAUUAUGGAAACAAAUUCCCUUACCUAAGUAAAAACACGAUGAGUUGAUGGUGGGAAACUCGAUGUGUUGGAGGUUUUUGGGACACACGUUUUUAUGAACCAACUCGGUGAGUUGGUGAAGGAAAAUCGGCGAGUUGGACACUGACUGAGAAACCCUAAUUUUUAGGGUGUUACACCCUAUUUAAAGACCUUAAGUUCUUUAGCUGGCCUCCUUACCGGCCUCCUCUAUCCAGAAACCCUAAAACUGAGCCUUGUCUUCCAUUUAUGAGUGUGAAAGCUUGGGGAGAGCCUUGAGAGUUCAUUUUUGGUGCUUUUUGAAGGAGCUAAGGAAUUAGGAGUUGCUUGGCUUGAAGAAGAAGUCUUGGAUCCAGAAUCUCUGCCUCAUUUGCCAAGUUUUUGAGGAAUCGUGUUCUUACCUUGCUUAUUUGUUGCUUAGAUCUCUUCUUGGGUUAGAGUUUAUGAUUUUUAGCCAUUUUGGGUGAAUGUUGGGGAUUAGGAGGUCCCAAGCAAUUAUUAUUUCAGAUAUAAGGGCUAGCGGCGCUGCUUGUUGCCCGUUCGCCUUCAAUCGAUAUGUAUUGAACUUUCAUUGGAGUAUAUUUUCUUAAUAUAAAUAUAUAAUAGAUAUAAGGUCUACAUGAGCUCUUUAGGCAUAAAGGUGCCAACUUUAUGGAUUUAAUGGCUUCAUGUAUUCAUUAAGUCUUUCAGUUAGCCCUUUUUGAGCUUUUGAUCACCUCCUAGUCAUGCUUAAGUGUAAAGUUGGAAACUUUACACGGCCAUCUAGCCUUAUGGGGACAGAUCUGCAUUAUGGGUUUUAUCUUUGAUGAUUAAGUGAUUAAUGAUUAAGCCUUCACUCUUUUAAGUUUAGGGUUUGGGUUUGGACCCAUUAGGUGAUUCCUAGGGGUAAAGUUGGAAAAUUUACCCUUCUUGAUCUCAUUUUGGUCGAGAGCAGAGCUUUGGAGCCUUUGGACUCGAUGAAGGUACCUUAAUGCAUUAAGAUGUUGGUUCUUGAGAGAACUCGGCGAGUUGACUUGGUUUCCCCGAUUUGUGUAGUUGAUGGAGAAACUCGACGAGUUGGGUUAACUUGGACCGUUGACUUUGACUUUCGAUUUAUGUCUUUGAACAAGUUUGUCCCAAUGGGUACUUGAGGUAAUCUGAAUUGUAAUUAAGGGAAUUAUGAGAUUAGGAUAAGGCCCAUAUGGGGUUGGUCCCAAUUUGGAAAAUUGGGCCAUUACUGGGCCUUUGCGGAUCUUUUGGUUUUGGACUUUUUGGUUAAUGGAAUUUGGGCCUCAGUUUUGGUUCAUGACGCGUUAGGGUUAAAAUGGUCAUUUUCCCCCAAGUAUGGAUGGAGGGCUUUAGAAUGGAACCCAAUUGCUAAUUAGGUGUUAUUUUGAUCUCAUAGCUCGGAGGUCUCAUCAGGGCAGCAGCUAGGGACUUCUUUCUGUGAGUUUCUGCGUUCGAGGUGAGUCUCCUUACUUUUCUAUGGUUUGAAGGCAAUAAUGACGGCCCAUUUGGUUUAUGUAUUAUAGGAAGACCUGGGGGAUAAACCUUGGCAGUUUGUAUGAAAGACCAGGAGGCGGCUCCUGGCAAACUGUAUGCAAGACCAGGGUCUGAACUCUAGCAGUUGACUAGUUAAGUAGUGUAGAUUUUAUACUAUUUGUCUUUGUGACACUUUCAUGGAAGACUCGAAGGUGGAUCCUGGCACUUGUCUGUAAGACCUAGGUUUUUGGCCCCCGGCCUGACAAGGAAGACCACAAGGCGGCUCAUGUCAUAAUGGCAAGACUAUGGAUGGCACAUAUCACCUUUACUAAUUGGGGUAUAUGUAUGCUAAGUAAGACUCAGUGAUAUUAAUGUUAUUUAUAGUUUUGAGUUGAGUUUUCUCCUGCGAUUGAGGUGCAACAGUUGGUGCGAGAGUUUCUGGAUCUCUGUCAGACUACUGAGACUGUGGCAGAUUGUGGAAGGGUGGAAGUGAUGUAAGACUGAGGGGUGGCCCGUAGCAUUCACUAGUUAGAAGUUGGUAUAAAAAUGUUGUAAGACUGUGGGGUGGCACGUAGCAUUCACUAGCGAUCAGAUAGUGUGGGAAGUGUUGUAAGACAGAGGGGUGGCCCGUAGCAUUCACCAGUCCCUAUACAGCGGUGAGAGUGUGGCAAAUUUGUGAUUUGCUCACGGUUUUCUUCGGAUGAUUUUGGCCAGGAUGGAUCAGUUCGCAAGGCUAUGGGAAGGACACAACAUGUUUGGAAUCAAGAUAUGGGAGGUCGUGGGAGACCGGGUUUGAGGUAAGACUAUAGUUGGUCUGUAACGUUCAACCUAGUAUCAGAUUAUUGACGAGACGGUUUGGGUAGUUAUUGCCAGUGAGGCUUUUUUUCAAAAGUUGCGAUGGGCGAUUGUGUGGAGUUUCAAAAGCAGCUACGAGGCAACAAGCUGUUUUGGGCAGUAUUAGUGAUUUUUGGGCAGUAUUUUCGGGUAGUACUAGUCAUUUGGAAUUUGUGUGUGAAUAUGUAAUUUUUCAAACAAUUUUUUUUUCAUUUAUAAAACUCAUAAAAACUCAUAUAUUUCAUUUCAUAAAAUCACAAGUGUCUCAAGUCAACAUAAAUCCACAAGAAAAAUCAAAUCCUAGAAUCCUCAACAUAAUCUCGAACAGGUGUGUACAAUCACGUCGGUGCCUUCCCGCGAUCCUCGGAGGUACUUGAAACACAUAUCACAUAGCACGGUAAGCAUAAAGCUUAGUGAGUUCCUCAAAAUACCAUGCACACACAUAAUUAGCCACUCGAGGCUAUCGCUCUGUAAGACCCUCCGGUUAAUGUGUCUUAGCGAGACCCACCAGUCCUACAAAUCGUCAGACCCUCCGGUCCGGUCUAAGUGAGAACCCUCCGGUCUCACUACUCGUUGGACCCUCCGGUCUAGUCUAAGUGAGGACCCUCCGGUCUCAUAGUUCGUUGGACCCUCCGGUCCGGUCUAAGUAUCUCAUAAUAUAGUACACAGUAUAUAUCACACAGAAAUACAUAACUCAAGCAAGCACAUAAGACCCUCUGGUCACACAUAAUGACCACACUAGGUAAGGUAUAAUGAGAAGACUCACCUCCUAAGAACUCGGAUAAUCUCAAACUCAAAUCACAGGUUUAGCCUCCGCCUAAUAUACACAAUAAUUAUCCCUAAUUAAUAACGGCUCUCACAAGGCUGAACUAACCCUUCCAUACACUCACAGAAGGGUAAAAGACCAUUUUACUCCUCCAUGGGCUUAAUAGACCACAUGUUGACCAAACCCUAAAAGUCAACCGAAAGCCAACAGCAAGGAGUACGCUGUGCGUACCAACUCCCUACGUUGGGCAUACUCGGCUGCCAUGCAGGCAUCGUGGAGACUCGACCUCUACGUUGUGCGUACUGGGAUUAUGCCCAGCGUACAUCCUAGUUUCACUCUCCUCACAAUUUUGGUCUUAAACAGUUAAUACAUUGGCUCAUAAUUCAGAUCUGGACUCCCUAAUGUCUCUUAAUCCAUAAAGUUGGUGACUUUAAGCCUUUGCGUGGCUAAAUAGGUCACAAACACUGAAAACUCCCAUCCCCUUUCCUCAUGAAACUCAUAACUCAUGCAUGGCUUACUCCUAAUGUCCAAGAUUAGAUUUUUAUGACUUUACUCCACAAAAUACACUGAAAAGGGAUAGAUCAAGGCCUCUAGAGUGCAUUAUCUCAUAAAGUCUCCAUCUUUUGGGAAAAAACCCUAAAGUAAUUCAUAUGAAUGCACCAAACAAACAAAUGAGAAAGCUUGAAGAUUUAUACCUUUAUGUGAAACCUUCUUCACAGCUAAGCUCAGAUCCAACUCCUGGGGCUCUCACUCCUUCUUCUCUAAAGCUUCCUCUCUACUUCAAGAACACAAGAUUACACCAACAAGCUCUCAAAUGCACUCUCCAGCUAUAAUGACGGAGAUUUAGGGUUAGGAGGGGUUGGUGUUUGGGAAUGGUGGCCAGGAAUGAGGCCAUCAUGUCCUUUAAAUAGUGAGCUCAUUAAAAUUUAGGGUUUCAUUAUGGGCCUAGCAUGCCCAGCGUACCCACUGGUACGUCGCGCGUACUAGGUGGCCUCCACAUCACUAACACGCAUUGGAGUAUGCUGAGCGUACACUCAAGUACGCCCCGAAUACUCGUUUACCACCUUUUCUCUAAUAAGGCCAAAAUGGACAAAUGCUCAAUAGAUCAAGGUUUACAAGGUAUACCUGGACUUGGGAUGUUACAUCGUGUGUGAGUCUCUUGUAGUUCGGGGAAUAUAAUAAGUUGCUUGUAGUGGAUUAAAUAAUCUCAGAGUGGUUGAUUUGAUUCUAUUGCGCAGUUCUCGUCUGAGUCUAACCAUUGCAGGGAUGAAUCUUCUACUCAAAGGAUUAUCUGAGCCUAUUGUCGAGUAUAAGUGUUCUGUAGCUGCAAAUGAUCUGUUUUUUGGUUCCUUUAAAAGCAUUAAGAUAUUGGUUUUAUAGUGGUUCAGAGAGGGGGAGGGGGUGAUCAGCCAGGAAGUCAAAUCAAAUUGAGAUUUCAGGUAUCAGGAAAGGUAAAGGUGGGUUUUUCUGCAAGGGAUUAAGGUUCGUUCUGCUAGGGUUGGUUUCAGUUGCUAUGGGAAGGUGGUAGUAUUAUGGGGUUGUGAAGAUGAGUCCUUAUGGGGACAGUGUUAUCUGGUGCUAUCUGUCAUGGAGUUCGGCAAUGUCCAGGGUUUUCCAGGUUCAAGUUUAAUGGUUAGGGAUCUUCUAUUUUGGAUUUGUCAUCGGUAUGGGUGGGCGGUUAUCUAAGCGGGGUGACUUCCUUAGUCUUUUGGGGUUCAAGGAGUUUAGUCAGGAUCAUCAGUUCGGUACACGAGAUUUUAGGGAAUGAUUUCGAGGAUGAAAUCUAAUUUAAGUGGGGGAGAGUUGUAACAUCUGGAAUUUACAAGAAUAAUUGUGGAAAUAAAUUCCCUUUCUAGGGACCAACACGGCGAGUUGAUCGUGGGAAACUCGACGUAUUGGAGGCUUUUGGGAUGAGCGUUUUUAUAAACCAAUUCAAUGAGUUGGUGAAGGGAACUCGGCGAGUUGGACGCUAAUCGAAAAACCCUAAUUUUUAGGUUGUUGUACCCUAUCUAAAGGCCUUAAGUUCUUUGGUUGGCCUCCUUACCAGCCUCCUCUGUCCAAAAACCCUAAAAUCGAGCCUUAUCUUCCAUUGUUGAGUGUGAAAGCUUGGGGAGAGCCUUGAGAGUUUAUUUUUGGUGCUAGUUGAAGGAGCUAAGGAAUUAGGAGUUCCUUUCCUUGAAGAAGAAAUCUUAGAUCCAGAAUCUCUGCCUCAUUUGCCAAGUUUUUGAGGUAUCAAGUUCUCACCUUGCCUGUUUGUUUCAUAGAUCUCUUCUUGGGUUAGAGUUAAUGCUUUUUAGCCAUGGUUGGGUGGAUUUUGGGGAUUAGGACAUCCCAAACGAUUAUUAUUUCAGAUCUAAGGUAUAUAUGAGCUCUUUUGGCAUAAAGGUGCCAACUUUAUUGAUUUAAGGGCUUCAUAGAGUCAUUAAUUCUUUCAUUUAGCCGUUUUUGAGAUUUUGUGCUCGUCCUAGUCAUGCUUAAGCGUAAAGUUGGAAACUUUACAUGGCCAUCUAGCCUUAUGGGUUCAGAUCUGCAUUAUGGGGUUUUGUCUUUGCUGAUUAAGUGCUUAAUGAUUAAGCUAUCACUCUUUUAAUUCUAAGGUUUGGGUUUGGACCCAUUUAGGUGGUUCCUAGGGGUAAAGUUGGAAACUUUAACCUUCGGGGUCUUAUUUUGGUCAAUAGCUGAGUUUGGAGCUCUUGGAUUCGAUGAAGGUAGCUUAACGCAUUAAGCUGUUGGACUUUUAGAGCUCAUAUCGUGAGUUCGAUCUUAUCCAUCCGCUGAAUCGACUUCUGACAGCCCGACUCUGGAACCCAUCCAUCACUGGCUCACGUCGUGAGCUUCAUGCUCACGUCAUGAGUCCUCUUAUAGUGUGGGGUUGAGUCUUUUACUCGAAGGAUUAUUUGAUCUUUGUUGCGUGUGGCUAUAUUAAUGAGGAAGCUAGUUGACAUUGGUGGGAUUCCUUUAGCAGUUGAGGGUUUGGUGAGGUCGGGAACCUAGGAAAGCCUAGGAUAUGCUUUAGUGGGUUAGUGGUACGGUUUAGUGAGUUUUGGUGCAUUGUGCUGAAGAAGUGACUUAGAGGAUUCGAGAGGAUUACUGAGGAAAGUAUGGAUAGGUGGGCUUUAGAAUGGAACCCAAUUGCUAGUUGGGUGUUAUUGUGAUCUGAUAGCUCGGAGGUGUCGUCAGGGCACUAAUGUCGGCCCAUUUGGUUUAUGUAUUAUAGGAAGACCCAGGGGAUAACCCUGGGCAGUUUGUAUGAAAGACCAGGAGGCGGCUCCUGGCAAACUGUAUGCAAAACCAGAAUCUGAACUGUGGUAGUUAACUAGUUAACUAGUGUAGAUUGUAUGCUAGUUGUCUUUGUGAUGCUUGCAUGGAAGACUCGGAGGUGGCUCAUGGCACUUUUUUGUAAGACCGCAGGUUUUGGCCCCCGCCCUGACAAGGAAGACCACGAGGCGGCUCGUGACAUAAUGGAAAGACUAUGGAUGACACAUAGCACCUUUACUGAUUGUAGUAUAUGUAUGCUAAGUAUGGCUUGUUGAUAUGAAUGUUAUUUAUGGUUCAAUCGGUAUGUUUGGUAUGUGGUAUUUGGGGAACUCAAGAAGCUAUGUGCUUACAUUUUGUGCUUUAUGGUUUCAUGUAAUUCCAUUUUGAAAGGAAAGGGUUCGGCUUAAUCGCAACGCAUACACCCAUGUUUUCCGCAAUGUGUGAUAUUUAGGAAUGAACUCUGAUAAUUGUUUUAUUUUGAAACUCUUCUAGAUGUCGGAUUAAAGGUUAAUGAAUGUUUUGGGCAUAAUAAAAACGAAAUUUUUACCCCUGAUUUUCGGGAUGUUACAACAUUUAUUACCAUUUAUUGACAUUUAAAUUGGCCACGACAUGUUUGAAACCAUUUGUGAUAGCAUAAUUAUCAAAUCAAAUAACUCUAUAUAUUGAGACAAGAGCAAUGUUAUCCAUGUGGAUAAAAUGUAUUUCUAUUUUUUGUAUUUUAAAUUCAUGUAAUACAUGGAACAAAAUUGAAGAUGAUAUUCUAUUUCAUGUUAUUGGUCUCAAUAUCUGACACUUUUAGUAUCUAGUAAAUUUUAAUUUUCAUAUGUAAUAUCUUAAACAAUAAAAUUCUAUAAAAUGACGAUGUAUUUUUUCCAUGUCAAAUGUGAUUUUUUUUUUGUAUCAAAGUAGUGUAUUUUAAAAAGAUAUUUACCAAGUUGGAUUGAGUGACAAGUGGAUUGAGUUAACUGAAAAAAAAAAUUAUUUUUCAUGGGUUAGAAAAGAUGAAAAAAAAAAGUUGAUAUAGAACUCACACCACAUGAAUGAUUUGACACCGUUCUACUCCUACGACCUUUACCCCCAACAUCGAAUUCAUUAUGAUUGUUAGCCUAUCUUACGAGACAGACAUGACCUCCUACUACCAUGUAUACUAAGUCCCACUAUUUAUAACUCUACCCUAUAAAACUCGACGGAGCGCUGGGGUGAAGGGUUACGGGAUCCUUUCCCGCUCACCGGAACANNNNNNNNNNNNNNNNNNNNNNNNNGGGGGGGGGGGGGGGGGAAGGCUGCUGCACUCUCUCUCUCUCUCUUCUUCCUAUUGGCUGGUUUUUUUCCCAAGCGAACUGUUUGAAAUAAAUAACAAAAUUAAUUUUUUUUUCAAUACAACUAUUGAAAAACAACAAUGAAUUUAUAUAUAUAUAAUUUUGUUUUUACCUCUAUAACAUCUAUAAAUAUACACAUACUUUAACCUUUCAAACUCACACCUCCUUCUAUGAAUUUCUCUGUACUUUCUUCAAAAAAAGGAAUCCAUACAACCAAACCCCAAACUUCGAUAGAAGGAAAAAAACCAAUGUUUCAAAUUUAAGCACCCCAACUCGAAACAUUUUUGAUAUCGAUUCAUCUCAAGGGGUUUAUCGUCCACAACUCGAUGCUCACAUUUAAUCUUCACUACAAUCACAAUACCAAAAUAUUAGACAAUUUUACCCGAUGCAAGUUCCAAAUGUUACUCCAAAUAUGCUAUUAAACUUUGUUGUUUUUCCUGAUCAACUUUCGCCAAAUCAACCCCAAACUCAAAUCCCACUCUUUCAAUCUCAAACCCAAACCCAACCUAAGCCCAAACACAAUAUCAACAACAAUACCAAAUCUUCGAUGAGUCGGAUGAAGAGAUUGUACGGGAAACUCAACCCACAACCCCCAACCCCACAAAGUAAAACAACAAGUGAGAGAGGGUUCCAUACAACCGGGACGACAGAAGCCGCAACCAUGGACUAAACGAGAAGAGAUAAUUGGGGUAAAAGCUUGGGUUGACAUUUCAGAUGAUUCAGCGACAGGAAAAUGCACAACCUGAGGAUCAUUUUUGGUUUCACAUUCUUGAGAGGUUUCAUAAGGAGAUGGGAAAAAGUGACGAGUAUCGUACCAAUCAUCAAUUGAAUUCAAAGUUUCGAGAAAUAGCGUGGGCCGUUUCAAAAAUGAGCGGGUGUACAACAACCUAAAAACCUAAUGGAAAAGCAGCCAAGGAGAUGAAGAAAUACUUCAGGAAGUUUUGCAUUUUUUCGAGAGGAAGUGGGAAAGUCAUUCAAGUGCCACGAUUGUUGGAAAAUAUUGAUUAAAAGUCGUAGGUGGAAAAAAUACGAGCAAGAGUUUAUACGUCGAGUACAACAAUCAAAACGAACAAAAAUGAGCUCUAGUGGUUACACAACUUCCUCCGAUGCUCGGGUCGGUCUAGAUUUAAAUGACGAGGACGCACUCGAGCUAGAAGAAAUUGUCCGACCGAUAGGUAGGGACAAAGCAAAAAUGAAGGGAAAUGAGACUUCUUGGGGUGAAUCGAAUUUCAGCAUGGACGCGGACCAAGUGCGAAAAAUGGUGGAGAUAUUUGAUCGAUAUAAUCUUAAUUUUGCUGAAAGUUUUGGCAUUCGACAAAGACAAAGAAGGAGAAAAAAAGAAGGAGAACGCAUAGAAACAAGAAAUGGAGGAGAUGAUGUUAUUGAUGAAAAAUACCGACCAUCUUUCGGGACUAGCUUCGGAGCUCGUUUUGAAAAAAAAAGGUGCGGAUUAUGCAAAAAUAUUUUCCCUAAGAGUGUUGUUUGUUUUUUUUUUCUAGUUAUUUAAAUCUUAGGUUUUUAUGUAAUUUUUAUUAUAAUUAACAAUGGCGGAGUUACUAUAUCAUUAUAAAUAAUAUUUUGUUUCUUAUAAUGAUAAUCUUUCCUAAUAAAUAAAGAACUUUUUGUCACAUGUCAAACUCUCAUUGAUUUGACCACAUGUCAUUUUGUGGUUAUUUUCAAUUAAUUUUUUUUUACACAUGUCAUUUUGGGGUUUUUUCAUUUUAUUAAUUUUCACAUAAUAUUUAAAUGUAAUAAUUACAAUAAAUAUAAUAAUAAAAUGCAUAUCAAUUUUAUUAAUUGACUUCCUUUUAAUUUUAAAAUUUCUAAAUUAAAGUUUCAUUAGUUUCCUUUAUUUAUUUAUCUAAAUUAUUUGUUUAAUUUAAAAGAAAAACAAACAAUUUAAUUUUAAUAAUUAAAUGUUUUUCUAUUGUUUUCUUAUAAAUUCAAACUUGUCAAAUGUUUAAAAUUUUAUAUGUUUUUCUUUAAAAUGAACUCAUGUAAUACAUGAGUGUUACACCUAGUGAUAGAUUAUAUCACGAGUACAAUUCAUUUAAUGAAACAUAUGUACGUAUAAUUAGAGAAAAUUUUUAAUAUUAGCAUGUUAAUCCUCUCUAAAAAAUAAAAAUAAUUUUGCCACAUAUCACUCUUUUAUUAAUUUGGACACAUGUCAUUUUUUGGUAUUUUUGAUUAAAUGUUUUUUCCAUUUGUCAAUUUUUUAUUUUUUAAUAUUUUCUUAAUUAACACAUCAUAUAUACACCUCAAUUAAUAAUUACCUUAAUUGAAAAUAACCAAUAAAUUACAAUAUUAAUAGUCAUAUAGUAUUUAAUAUGUUUCCUUUUAAAUUUAAAUUUUAAAAUUUUAAUUUCAAAUCUAAAAUUUCAAAUUUGAAUAAAAUUUGUUUGAACUUUUAUAUUUAAUUUUUGUUUUAUCAAACUCGUAUAACAUACGGGUCUCACACCUAAUGGAGAAUUAUAAAUCAACGUUUAUUGUCGGUCUAAACUUUUGAAAUGUCAUUUUUGCAAUGAUCGGUAUAACUUCUCCUUAAAGGAAUUUUUAUAGUCAUUUUCUCUUUCAAGAUUGUAGACUCUUUUACAUUAUUUUGAUAAAAGAUAUAUUUGAAUAUAUUUUUACGACGUCGGCUUUCCUUAUUCUUAAAUCCUGGCUCCGUUCCUUUUAAUUAAUGUAGUGGUUUUUAUUUUUAAUUAUAUAUAUAUAUAUAUAUAUUACUUAUUCAUUUAUAAAAUUAUAAAUCAUAAAAUCAAUUAUUUUUACUUAAAAAAGAGUGAUACACCUUUACAAAAUUAUAAACCAUAAAAAUCAAUUAUUUUUACUUAAAAAAUAGUGAAAAAACCUUCCCACAUACACCUUGGUUUCUAACUAAGAAAAAAAAUGUAGGAAAAAGGAUAAAAUGAUAAAGAAAAAUAAUAAAAAAAAAAAUAAAAACCUUCCCGUACCCACCCUCCGGCAUAAGAAGGUGCGUCCCUACGAGUACAAGAUACACAGGUGUAGAUACAUAUGUAAAAAGCUAGUAAUUAACCAACUAAUUAUUAAUUAUUAAAUAAAAUAGGGAUAUAAUAUUAAUGAUAAACACAUUAAAAUAUUCCAAAUGCUCAUGAAGUCAACAUGAGAAAUUAUAUUGCAAUAAAUUUCUUGUUGGGUGAGAAAUUCACAAGUAAAAUUUGUAUAGUAAAUAACAAACCGAAAGUUCCAGAAACAGGUCAAAACUUAAAACCCUAAAUGAGCUUACAAAUUUCCAUUGGCCACAUACCCCACCACAAAGGCACAAACAAUCAAUGAAACAAGUGUAGAUGUAGAGGCCUUUUUCACCACAAUCACCCUUCAUCGGCCAUUUCGAAGGCCACGUGAAAUGUCACUAACGUGGCCCUCUAAAUAUCCACUACUUUGUCUUUAACCCCUCCCCCCUCCCUUAUAAAACACUCCAUCCUCCUCCUUAAUCACCAUCACCAACAACCUUCUCUCCUUCCUCAAAAGUACCACCAUCUUUUCCGACAUGGCAGCUUCUUCAAUCUUCAUGGCAACUCCCAUCACACUCCUCAAAAAAACUCCCACCUUCUCCGUCAAAUGCAUGUCACAAACACCUCAAAGCGGUGAACCGGAGAUUUCAAAAUCAGCAACCACCCCAACACCACCACAGAUCAACAUUCCUCCUCCUCCGCCACCUGCUCCAAAGGUCAGCACGAAAUUCUCUGACGUGUUGGCGUUUAGUGGACCUGCACCGGAGAGGAUCAACGGAAGGUUGGCGAUGAUAGGGUUUGUGUCGGCGAUGGCUGUGGAAGUGAGCAGCGGUCAAGACGUGUUUACCCAGAUCGGCAACGGCGGAGUUGCGGUGUUUGUGGGGACUAGCGUCGUGUUGACGUU